This 94136-nucleotide long non-coding RNA is filed under the name Eucalyptus grandis. RNAcentral's name for it is "long non-coding RNA (EGRA_LNC005497)". Lineage: Eukaryota; Viridiplantae; Streptophyta; Magnoliopsida; Myrtales; Myrtaceae. The record is from RNAcentral.
UAAACGCCCCCAAAGUAAACCAAUUUCAUGUGGGGAUUUUAUGUUGCAUACCUUGUGAAUAGUGGCCAAGCGUUUGGUCUCUUCCUUGAUCUGACCCAGGUGAGAGAGGAUGCAGUCGCAGAUCUCCAUCUUCUUCCUCUUGAUCCCCUCCUCCUUGGCCCUGAAAGUGGACGGAGCAGCCCUCGACAUCUCCUUGUCCUCCCUCAACAGCGACGUGUUGCUGCUGAAGCUCAAGUUCCCCGACGAGCCCUGCAGGAUCAGCAGCAGCUGUUGCUGCCGCUGCCGCUGGGCCUGUUGCAAGGCCUGCUGCUCGUGCACCUGCAUCAAGAUCUUCUUCUUCUUCUCUCUGAUCUUCAAGCAACAGAAACCCCUGUGACCUCUGAUAAACCAAGUGUAUAAACUUCAGUACCGUCCCCACUGAUAAACCAAGAAUAUUCCACCAUCUUUGCUGUCUAAUACUAAUAAACCAAGUAUUUGAACUUCAGGACAGUCUGCACCAAAUGCAACCAAACCAAGUGUUCAAACUUCAGGCAUAUGGCUAGCCUACCGAUGGAAAUUUACCUCAAAUGGAGCCAGGAGUUCCUCCAUCUUCCCUGGUACGCACAUUUGUUCUUGUGCGCUGCUCUCUGCAUGCGAAACCAAUGAUGGGUGCCAAAACAUCGACGGGUCUGUUAAUGCAGCCGGCACACUCUCUUCCUCCUGCAAAAACAGGGGACAUUAACAAACCCAGGGCAUUGUAUUUCGCCAUUUUUGUGGCCUCACCAGAGGAGGGAUGCCUAAUUACCACAUGUUGGUCCUACUCAAAUUCGAUUUGACAAAGAAAUGAGUACACCAAUUUUAAGAUUCACAAACAAACGUAUUUUAUCCAGGUUUUUGUUUAAUUGCCUGAAGGGCUCCAAGCAACAAAUUUGGCAACAUGAAAGAAGAAAAAAGAAUACCGUCUUCCCUAAGUCGCCAUCUAAUGUUGAUUACUGUAACACUGCAAACAUGCUUUUUAACCCAUAGCAUGAAUGGUGCUGUGCCAGUAAAAGCUUCAGCACCUCAGAUCAGACUGUCCUUGAAAAUUGGCACUCCAAAAAUAGAUAGCACCUUGGAUCAUCAAAUCAUGUAGACCAGUUCAAGCUCUAAAUUGAAAAUAUCCCAAAUACAAUAUUAAAGAAAUCGCACAUUCAUUGGAUAUUCUGGAGAUUCUAAGUGAACAAAUAGCACUUGUAAGUAAAGAUGACACCUUUAUUUUGACUCCACAGGCCAAAAGAUGGAUUCAUAAUAAUUUGGAAUUGAGUUUACAGGAAAUUUCCAUGGGCGUUAUGCAUGAUAUUCAAGCCAAAUCCCCAAUCCUUUUAGCAUGUUUCCGAAGCAGAGAACCGCGAAAUUGAGCAUUAAAUAUAGUUGCUCCCACCUUAAUCAACCGAAACAAAAGCAUGCGAACAAUCUGUGUCCUUUUUCUGUUUUGCUUUGGACGAUCCUAUCUCUUAUUUUGCUAAGAUUAGUAAGAUCGCAACAACAUCCUGCGUUUGGGCAUAUACCCAUUGACAUCAUUCCCAAACUUCAGACCUAUUCAAUCCACAAGAGAAAACAACUCAAAUGAGUUCCCAUACCUCCUUCGGAAUGAAAGCAGAGUACAAGAAAGGAGAUUAAGCCGCCCGGCUUUGGACGAAGAGGACCCGACGUCGCCGUCGGCCUCAUCGAGCUCUUGCGCAAGGACUCGAUGUCGUCGCGCUCGAACGAAGAUGAAAUUUGGGGAUUCGGCGAAGAAGAAAAAGGACACUCAGAUGAAGAAGAGGAGGAUCGAUGAAUGAGAAGCGGACUCCAUGAACAAGAAGUACACUAUGGACGAGAAAGACUGAUGAAGAUGUGACGAGAACUUGAGAAGAAUACUCAAUCAUUGCGUUUGAAGGCUCGAAGCUCUAUGCCACGUAGGAGUGUGAAAAGAAUAAACAAAAAUUUUCAUUUAACUAAUUGAACAAAAUUAAUAAAAUGACUCGAUUAUACUAAAUUAACAAGUUUUAUUACUCGAUUGUAAUUUUUUGUAAGCUUUAGGACUUCUAAUAUAUUUAUCUCUUUAAUGUUCUAUCUACACUGUAAAUAUUGCAAAUCAUUAAAGUCAUUGUCAUAAUGAUUGGUAUUAAGGAAGAAAUGAAGAAAAAAAAAGUGCAGUAUAUUACGUAGAAAAAACGCUAAGUAAAACCAAUUGUUUCUUAUAAAAUGAGAGAAAAUUUUAAAUAAUAGGCUAUAAGCUAUUAUAUAUAUCCUAUAAAAUGAAGUUUUUCCGAAUAUUUGUGAUAAAAUCUGAACCUCUUACUGCAACUAUGUAACUUUCUCAUAUACAGAAAAAAGGAAAAGCUAGAAAAACGCAGAGAGAGAAAACAUCACAUGCGUUAACUGGUUUUUAAAGUAAGUGAGACCGAGACUUAUUGUAUGAUUGUUUCUUUUUUUAUUUUCCACAAUUAUUAUAAAUCUCCUUAUAGUUGAAUUUAUGUUUGUGGAUGGUCUUGCUGACUUACCUUAUAUUGCUUGAAAUUUUGGACAGAGCCUUCGAAUCCUUGCUUAAGCCCAAGUAAUUUCGGGCAACCGGCAAUACUUAAGUAGCAAUCAUUUGGCAAUUCAGUGGUCGAUACAUUUUCCAACAAUGGGCAGUCAUUAAGGUAUAAGAACUUGAAAAACUCCAACUUGUCGAGGCCCUCGACAAUUCGUAGGUUAGGGUUGUACUCUAUGCACAAGCGCUCAAGGUUCUUUAAUUCUGACAAACCACCAAGACUUUGUAAAUGAUUACCAUAAACUGUCAAGUCUUGCAACGAUUCUGACGUACCAACAACUUGAAUACCGAGUAUCUUAUCGCAAAACCCUAUGCACAGUCCCCACAACUUAUUGAAGACUCUUGAUGCAAGGACUAGUGAAGAUUCAUGGGAAGAUUUCCAAUGUCUGUCAACGUACACGAACCUUCUGAAGGACUCACAUUCACUGAUAUCCAAAUUGCGCAACGAUUCCAGCACCCCAGCGAUGUGGAUCUCAUCUAAUUUUGGGCAGCACGCCACGUUGACCUCUUCUAGCUUCGUCAUGCUAGAUAGCAUGAAUCUCUCGAGGGAUCCACAGCAAAAAAUUAGAAGCUCCAUUAAAUUUGGAAGCUAAAGCCCAUCGAGUAUUAUCUCUUGUAUUUGAGAGCGAUAGAGCCUUAAAUUUGACAAAUUCUCUAAGUGGGAGGAGAGAAACGUGGUUGAAUUAAUAUUAUCAAGGGUUAGCUUUAAUAGAGAAGAGGGAAGUUGCUUGAGGGGUUGCAAGUUCAAUCCACACAAACGGAGUUUGUCAAGCCGAGUAAGAGAAGCCAACUCAGUGGGAGCAGGGGCAUGGAGGAGACACAAGCUUAAUUUUUUUAGUUUGGAUAACCCCCUGAUCCACUCUAAAUCACCAGUAUAAGUUUUAUCUUGUUCGUCAAUUUUGGAGCCGUCACUUAGUUUCAACCUAACUAAAUUAGUCAAGUUUGAAAGGUCCGGCAACUCUCGAAUUUCAUCAAACCCUUCUAACUCUAGUAUUUGAAGCCGCAGAAGCAAGCCAAUUUCAGAAGGGAGUUGACUUUUCAAAUUUCCUUCAACUUGAAGCGCUUUCAGAUUCUCAAACUUUCCAAACUCCAUUGGAAGUGCAAUUGAAAGCUGCAACUCCCGUAAUGAUUUCCACUUAAAUAUGAAAUCCGGUAAUUCCUUCAUUGGACGACAAGAUUGUAAAGAGAAGUGCUCUAGAUUCCGUAGGUCCCCAAUUUUUUCAGGCAAACCUUCAAGGCGAUUGCAAAGAUCAAACUUUAAAUCUUUUAGAUACUUUAACUUCCCAAUAGAGCCAUCAAUCUUCGUUAAGCCGUCGCAAGCCAAAAAAGUCAGCCUCUCUAAUUUUGAGCAUUCAGAUAGGUCUGGUGUUCUGGUUAUGCCAUGACAAUUACCAAGACUAAGAACUUUCAAUUUUAUUGCCCCCUGUAAAAAGUGAAUGCAUUAUCUAAUGGAAGAGCAGUUCAAACGUUCAUUUAAGGACAAAGAAAGGAAAUAAGCAUAUGACGCACCUCUAUUAACUGCAAUAAUUUCUGAUCGUCUAUACUGGGAAUGCUUGAAAAUUCAAGGACAACCACAUUCUUUAAGCACAUAUUGGUCAGCUCCCACUGUAAAGAUGAAGAAUGACACAAAUAAAUCCAUUUUAGUUUGGGAAAACAAUUUAUUAGAUUAAGGAACCUUAGUUCUUUAAACCUUCCAAUCUCUUCACUUUUGAUACUUGUGUGAGUUACUUCCAUCGCUUGAACUUUCUUCAUCUGCAAAUGAGAACAAGAAAGGAGUAGCAUUCAGCAUUCCAUUUUAUUGAGGAAAAGUAUUAAAACCAAGAAGCAAAAAGAGAAUCUAUAAGUUCUCUCGUUAAGUAUCCCACCUCUUUUGUCGCCAUUGUAGUGAGGACUUCAUCAUCAAUCCAUAACCUACUAGGCCCUUCAGGAUUCGUUCGAUAUUCUUGACGAACAAUUUCCCUUCCAAGAUCUCGAAGUUGAUCGUGCAUCAAAAACUCAUUGUCAUUUCCAAUCUUUAUCAAGGACUUGUUUUUGAGGAUCUCAAUUCCACAGAUUGAGGAAAAACCACAAUCUGUCCACAUAUAAAUUGGGUUUGUCAUUAUAUCACCAAUGAAAAAGCAUGCAAUAUCCAGAAAAAUUUGUUGCUGCCCAGGAGUCAAUGCAUUAUAGCUAAUCCUCAACUUUUCGAAAACACCCUCUGGAGGUGCUUUGCGUAAAUCGUCCAAUGUUUCUUUCCAUAGGUCUUGUGUUCCAUGGGUCACAAGUGAACCAAUUACUGCAAUAGUCAAAGGAAGGCUUCCAGUAGCCGAUACAAUUUCCUUUGAAAUAUCAUCGCGAUCAUCUGGAGGAGAGUCCUUGUUAAAUGCAUGUCUGCUGAAGAGCUGAAGCGCAUGAUCACUACUCAUCACCUUCAUUUCAUAAGGUAAUAUACUGCACUUCAGUUGAGAGCCUUGCAAAACAUUCUUGUUUCUAGUAGUAAUCAGUACUCUAGACCCUGAACAAAAAUCACCUUUUCCAACUAAUUUCUCCCCUUGUUCAUCGUUAUCAACAUCAUCCAGCACAAUGAGGACCUUCUUAUUGUGAAGUCUUCCUUUGAUCAUCUCCAUUAGACGUUCAGUUUCGUCAAUACUUCCUAUUCCUGCGGCAUUUCCUAUUUCAGACAAUAAUUUCUUUUGCAAUUUAACCAAACCAUCAGCUCUUGACGAAUUUUCUCGAACAUUUUCAAGGAAGCAGCAACACUUUCCAAAGUGGGUCAAAAGUUCAUUGAACACGACCUUGGCGAGAGUCGUUUUACCGAUACCCCCCAUGCCAUGAAUUUGAAUGAGCCGCACACCUCCAGAGUGUAUGUCUAACAGAUUUAUUACUUCUAUCACUCGAUCAUUGAUUCCAAUUAAAUGUUCAGUCACGGACUUUUGCUUUAUCUUCAACUUAACCACAACCUCCUCAACGACCAACUUGAUUAGUUUGGCCCAGCUGUCAUGAAGGAAAACCAUUUCAAUAGCAGAAAAUUGCGAAAAAAAAGAAAAAGAAAAGAAAAACAAUCUAGUAAUUAAAUUUCAUUCAUAAUACAAUUCCACUGGAGUUCAAAAGAAUCUUAAAUUUUUCAUUUGUUUCCUACCAGUUGAUGUUACUCAAUUGCAUCUACUUAACUGCACAAUAAUUCCAUAACUAAUGGGACAUCAACAAUCAAGAUGUGCCUUCUCAAAUUUCGUAUUGAAUGUAAGGUUUCUUAGCUAUCGCUUUCGAUAACCUAACAUUUGUCAUUUGAUAUGUUGCGCAAACCUUACGUGUACUUGAUCUUGUAAAGUUCCCAAAUAACACCAAGCAUGCAUAACACAAACAUUUGACGAGAUAGAUGGAAUCGAUCCCGAAGGACUUCGGAUUUGAUUUUUCUAGCUAAUACUAUAACCAUAAAAAAUAUGAAUCUACAUCACUUUCAAACGUGCUUCUCAUGCACAUUGCUAGGUGCCACGUGUCGCAUUGUCUCUUGACACCUGAAAAAUGACUUGAUCCCAACGUGAUUAGCAAUUUUCGAAUUCUGUUAAUCUUGUUUGUGCAAGAUAAAUGUACAACUAUUUAUGCAUCAUGAAUUAGCAUCUUAUCAGUUAUAUUCAUAGGACAACCUUAGAAGUGGGAUAUUAUAUGUUCAGGAGGAGAAAUAUCUGAUGUAUCGAUUGAAAGAUCAAAUUAUUAGACAGAACAUGCAUGAUACUCAAUUAUUCCACUUCAUCACCCAUUAUAUAAAAUGCCUUUAUUCCAGCAGUUCCACAUUUUUUUUACACACAUACCGUUUAGUAUCACUAGGGGAAGUUCCACCUGAUUUGUGGUGAUAUAUCUACGUUAUUAAGUUUUGAGUAAAAGUUCUAGAAGCAUUAGAAUUUCACCAAGAGUUGCUUACUAAAUGACAGAGGUGAAAAAUGAAACAAAAUUUAUAUAGACCAUCAACGAAAGGAAAAAAAUGAGCUUUCGUUUCUAUUUUCAGUUCUUCAUUAAAAAAAGACAUAUGAUAGCACUUCUAGUGAAAUCAAGAACACUAACAAUUUUAGUAGCUCUAGCAUGAAUUUUUAUGUUUCUUGAAUUCUCUCCUCCUACCCACAUAUAAUAUGUUCCUUCUAUCUGUGAAUUAUUUACUUAGUUUUUGCAAACAGGAAAAAAUAUUAGGGAAAAAGAAGGAUCUUGGAAUGCAGCAAGCUCACCUAUCACAUUUCUUGACUUCCCAUCCCUUUAUUGCAUCAACCUCCGUCAAAGCCUUCCUCCAGGAAUCUACUUCUUCAAUGCUCAAGUUAUCCUCGCCCUGCAAAAUGAGAAUGGCAUCGCAAUAUAACUGGGUUUUCAUCUUAACAUCUUUGGGUUCCACAUCGAAGAAAAUAGGUAGGAUCUCUUUAUUCCCGUUUGACUUGGAGGUGUUCUCCAUAAUCUGCGUGAGUUCACGGAGACACCAUUUGCUCGAAGCAUAAGUUGGAGAGAAGAUGGGGAUGUAGAUCCUAGAGUUGUCGAUCGCUCUCUGGAGCGCUCCGUUGAUUCUUUCACCAACAUGGAGGUUUUCACUGUCUCGAAAGACGUGGAUACCAGUAUCAGCCAAGCUGUGGUAGAGGAAGUCGGUAAAAUUAUUACGAGUGUCGGGUCCUCUGAAGUUCAAGAACACUUGAUGCUCGCAUUCUGAUGAUGCUUCUGCCUCUGAGCUCUCCAUGUUAACUUUAGCUUUAGUAGCUCUCUUCCCUCGUAUGUGAACAAGAGAAGCCUUUGCCCUUGGCUGACUGAAGGUUUCAACCACGAACAUAUGGCGUGAAUAUAUCAGAGUGAGAUUACCAACAUAUAAAUUCAGUUACAGAAUAACAACAAAACUAAAGUCAAGUAUUUAGAUAACCGUGUUAUAUUCAAACUCUCAAUGAUUCAUAUCAUUGUAAGUCAACGUUAGAAAUGCUAUAUAGCAUUGCUUUUGCCAACUACUUUUCUCCAACUCACGAAAUUCUAGGAANNNNNNNNNNNNNNNNNNNNNNNNNNNNNNNNNNNNNNNNNNNNNNNNNNNNNNNNNNNNNNNNNNNNNNNNNNNNNNNNNNNNNNNNNNNNNNNNNNNNUUUGAUAGGUGUGUUAUAUGCAUUUUCUAAGCAAGGAAUAUACCUUCUUCAAUCUUGCCAAUUUUAAAAACACCACUAUGCACCCAAAAAAAAAAAAAUCUUAAAAACACUAUUCAAAUAUUUUAAAAGAUUGUGAAACAUUAUACGUGAAUUUAGGAAACUGGAAAAGACCAACAAUCAACGAACUCGCUCCGCAAGACUUAAGAAAACCAAAAACUCAAAGAGUAAAAAUUAGAAGUCAAUUCAAACAUAUAUAAAAAAAAAAAAAAUUGUAUAACAAUUACUAUUAUGAAAUCAAAUACUAAGUCACGGGUUCUUCUAAAAAACUUAAAUUUUUGGAACGGUUUGAGAUUAGCCCGCGAUUUUUUCAUAAAUCCACUUGUCUAUUCUUGUUAAGAAGCUGAUCGGGGAGACUUUUUGUCCAAUUUCACAGGAAGGAACGCGACAAAAAUACAUAUGGGUAUUUCAGUCCCAAGGACCAGAUCCGGCCUCGAUUGUGGACAACGCACUCAUUUUGAGCAAGGAUUUCAUCAAACCGAACACUUCAGGGAAAAUUCAGAAUAAGUCGGCAAAGAAUCAUACCGUAUCAGUGGUCGCUGCCGGGAAACGGCUUGGUCGGAGGGCUCGGUUGCCGGAGUCGCUCGGAACGACCGGGGGACGUUGAUCCCUGGGUUUGCGAAGAAGGUCUCGGCCUCCUCUGCUCUGGACACGGAUAAACCAGCCCUCAAAGAAGUGUCUGUCGGUGCUGUUGCGUGGAAAGGAAGCUCGAAGACUUUUUCCUAGCGAUCUGAGCGUGACUUCAAGCUAAUAUAUACAGUGCAUAUCGGACUGGUCUAAGCCCAUGGGCCCUUCGGUGUUUAUUUUAGGAAUCCAAAGGAGUUUCAAUUUUGCUUGAACAUAUUUUAAGGUAAAGUCACCAAAAAUCCUAAAUUAUGCCUCUUCUCACACACAUUUUAAGAAUUACACAGCAAGGAAACCCUGAGAAGGACAAUAAUGCAAUCAAAAAGGAUAAAAAGGAAAAUAAUGCAAUCGAAAAGGGUGAAAAGAAACAGCAAGGAAACCUCACAUGUGCAUAUUUUAUGGAAGCAAAGCAAGGGUCGGCAAAAAGUGGAAGGGACGCAUGAAGUUUCUAAAACAUGCCAAGCCACUUUAUAGAAACUAGGUCGGAAGGUGCCUUUGCUUUUCCUAAGAUAAAUAAGUAUAAACAAAAACAAACCUGCCCUUUGGGUAAAGCACAUAAAAUUCUCUUGGAGGCUUGUCCCAUUUUUCAACUCUAACUAUUAGAAAGGGCAUCCGGAAAACACAAACAUAAUUCAAGAAGGUGGCUCAUAUUUGGCAUAUAUCUUUGUGCGUGCAUAUAAUUUAGGCAGUGGGAUUAUAUCAUGAAUCCUGAAAUUGGUUGAAUACUCUUAAAUAAUAAAUACUCAAUAUCAAUACAAAACAACAUACAACAUGUUUUGUAUAUAUCUCCAUGCGUGCAUAGAAUUUUGAUUCACGUUUAGCACUUUACAUUUUCUGGUACAAGUUGAUCUCUUUGAAAGGGGCUAAAAUGAUGACAUAUAUAUGUGCAAACAUUCUAGAAUCUUCAAAAGAGAGGAAGAAAGAAAAUAGUCAAAAACUAUAUCUUCAGGAGGAACAAGCUCAGCUCGUGAUUGCUCCCUUUAGUUGGUCUACAUCUGUGAUUGAAGGUAAAAUCUCUUAUUUUCCAUAAGCUUAUUGAAUCAACACAGUAUUCUAAAAAAUAAAGCUAUCUGAUUCAGUAUUUUAUAGGUCUGUGCUAAGUGCAAUGUUAAAGGAGGUUGAAGGACAAAAAUAAAGGAAGUGCAGGCUCUGCUGAUGUCAUGGCCAUUAAAAGUAGGGGUAGGGCCGCUGUUUCCGAACUCUCAAACGACUCUCAUGGACGGUCCCACUCUCCACAAAUUUCUUUUUUUCUCUAGUUUUUGUCUCCUUUUGUUUUAGUUUUUCUCUGAUUUUUUAAUAAUUUCUCUAGUCUUUCUUUGCCGCAUUAGCACCAAUGCAGAAAGAAAUUACAAAGCGCCAUGUCAAAUUUUGGAAUCCACGUAAGCAAAUCGGGUUAUGAGCUUGUCGAAAGAAUUAAAUUGCACUCAACAAAAAAUGUUUAGGACUUAAUUGCAUAAAUUCAAAAUUUAGGACUUGAUUGCAUAUUCGGCCAAACAUUGGGGACUUUUGGUGUAAUUUUCAUUUAUAAGAACUUAAAAUGAGAAUUGGCAUAGUGGAUAGCAGAUAUUCUUAUGAGAUAAGAACAAAUAAGUGUUACUUAAAUAAAAAUUCAUAGUUUGAUUCCCAUCCUACACUAAUCUCUCCCACUUAGAAAAGCUAUGCUAUUUACCGGUUUUCCAACGCAUCUCUUAUCUUGAUUUGGCUAUCUUUCCACAACUGUAGAAUAAACUGGUAGAUUAGCGGCAAAAAUAGCAUAUUGUGAGGAUAGAUUUUCACGCUAACAAGCGCAAGGAGAGCGAAAACGCGUGGAGUGGGGUCGCUGUGUUCCAGCCAUGCUUGUGUAAUGAACACAUGAAGUUUCAACUCUAUAUCAUUGAAUUGGUUGGAUGCAUAGAGAAUCAAAUAUUCAAUAACAAAAAAAAAAACACAAAACUUCUUUUUGUAUAUAUCUUCGUGCGUGCAAAUAAUUUGCUUCAUGUUUAGCUCUCUCCAUUUCAUUUUUUAGUAUAAGCUAAGCCAACAGAUCAUAAAAUAUUAAUGAAAUAUACAACUUACAGUUUAAUGUAGCUGAGCCUCACGAUAAAGGAAAUAAAAAUGUCUAAGUCAUACAAACUCAUCAUCUGUUUAAAAAUAGGACUUGCGUGUAAACCAAUUUGGUGGAAAAUUUCAAUGCUAUAUAAUCAAUUUUUUUGCCUCUCAUACCAAAUUAUUCGAGACAAUAAGGAGAAGAAGUGAAGCAGAAGCAGAAAGGGGAUGCCAAGAUCAACAUUUGACAAUAAAGAAGAGAAAGAAACAAUUCAUGAAAUUCAUUGAUGCUCUCAAAAAAAAAAAAAUUAGACACUCACAAUCAAACAACAAUAUAUAUAUCCAUGCGUGCAUAUAAUUUGGUUCAAAUUUAGCUCUAUCCAUUUUCCGGUAUAAGCUAAUCUAUUUGAAAGGAGAUAAAAUGCCGACUAUAUACAUGUAUAAAUAUUUUAGAUUUAGAGAGAGCGAGUAGUCAAAAAUUACAUCUUUAAGAGGAACAAGCCUAACUCGUGAUUCCUCCCUUCAAUCAGUUUACAUCCCCGAUCGGAGGUAAAAUAUUACAUUUUUCAUAAGCCCAUUGAAUCGACAUAACCUUCUGAAAUCAAGAUAUAUGAUUUAAUAUUUUAUAGGUUUGUGCCAACUAAAAUGAAUAAGAGGAAGAAGACAGAAAAAGAAGUAUUGACUCUUCUCAUGGACAUUAUAGUGGGGGCAAUUAUGCCGUCUCCGAACCCUCUAACAGCCCUCACGGAGGGUUCCACUCUCUAUGACUUUCAGUUUUAUCUAGUCUUUGUAUUUUUUUUUUUUAAAGUUUUUCUCCUAAUUUUUAAUUUUUAACAUUUUUGAAUUUUCCUGACGUGGGGCCAUAGUAGUGCCACAUCAAAGCCAUGUAUAUUAAAAGAAAUUACAAAAUGCCAAGUCGGAUUUUAGCAUCCAUGUUAGCAAAUUUGAUCAUGAGUUUGCCAGUAGGAUUAUAUUGCACUCUAUGAAAACUGUGUGGGAUUUGAUUGCAUAAAUUAAAUAUUUAGGACUUGAUUGCAUAUUCAAUCAAAUAUCUGAACUUUUGGUGUUUCACUUAUAAGAGCCUAAAAUGAUAAUUUAGUAUGAUAAGAAAAUUUCACUUAUAAGUACCAGCUAGUAAGAUAACAAUUCUAGUUUGUUUCACAUCUUAUAUCAAUCUCGCCCACUGAGAAGAACUUUACUAUUGACGAGUUUUCCAAUGCAUCUCUUUUCUUGAUUUGCCCUAUCCUACCCUAGCUUUAGAAUAAUAAACUUGUAGAUUAGCAGUUAAAAUAGCACAUUGGUUGCAAGGAUAAAUUUUCACACCGACGAGUGGUUGGCCCAAAAUCUAAAUGGUACAAUAUGCGUUCUUGGUUGUAGUGCUCCAUCUGUUAAGCGAGAUUGACACUUUUCUCGGUGAUUUUUGACUCACUAACGCUUGCAAAACUUCCGAACCAAAAAAAAAAAAAAAAAAACUCUUGCAAAACUUGAACACGCACCCAUUUCUUUAACUUUUGUUCAUCAUAAUCUCACUAAAAUCAUGUACAGANNNNNNNNNNNNNNNNNNNNNNNNNNNNNNNNNNNNNNNNNNNNNNNNNNNNNNNNNNNNNNNNNNNNNNNNNNNNNNNNNNNNNNNNNNNNNNNNNNNNNNNNNNNNNNNNNNNNNNNNNNNNNNNNNNNNNNNNNNNNNNNNNNNNNNNNNNNNNNNNNNNNNNNNNNNNNNNNNNNNNNNNNNNNNNNNNNNNNNNNNNNNNNNNNNNNNNNNNNNNNNNNNNNNNNNNNNNNNNNNNNNNNNNNNNNNNNNNNNNNNNNNNNNNNNNNNNNNNNNNNNNNNNNNNNNNNNNNNNNNNNNNNNNNNNNNNNNNNNNNNNNNNNNNNNNNNNNNNNNNNNNNNNNNNNNNNNNNNNNNNNNNNNNNNNNNNNNNNNNNNNNNNNNNNNNNNNNNNNNNNNNNNNNNUGCUUUUGGCUCUAAUAUUAAAUAAUGCAGGACGAAGAUUGUUCUAAUACCAAUUGAUGAAGAACAUAACUAGAAUGGAAGAGAAUAGAAUAUAGGAGAGAACAUAAAAAUCAAUUUAGUUUUAUAUUUAAUCAGUCUCUUGUUUUAAUUGUGAUCACAAAGCUAUCUUUUGGAGGAUAUUGGGUAUCAUAUAUGUCUCCCGUCCAUGAUUGUCCAUGUUUAAAUCUAUUAUGUUGAUAGACAAGUUUCCCUAAGCUCAAAUUAGUACAAGGCGAUUUAAAAUUGUGCAGGGUUAGCAAGCCGCCAUCAAGGCAGACACUACCACUAGCAUCAGCCGAAUGGGACUGCCUAUUAGUCCAUGCCAAAGUUUUAUCCCCCUCAAAACAAGAUCAAAUUGGAUCCAUUUGAGAGAUGGCACAGUUUUUACACAUACAAUUAAAACGCAAUAGUGAAGUUACGGUGGAAUCCCAACAGAGAAGUGAAUCAUCCAAAAAGACUUGAAAUGCAAGGGAUAAAAUAAUGCCAAUUUCUUUGGCUGUAAAAGUAAUAAUAGGCCACUUUAGUCAAGCCAUGUCCAAGUAAUGAACCCACGAAGCUUUCAUUCAACUCCUCGCGAAAGCCCCAUGUAAACGCACGGAAAGUGAAAUGGGUGGCUCGACUCCAUUAUAUGUUGGAAGAAGCAAAAAAAUUUCAAUUUUUGUCAAUUUAGUCCUAAACUUUCAUACGAAUUUCUCAUAUAGUCGUUUUGAUAAUUUUUUCCUAAUAAUUGCCCUACGUUGGCAUUUUCAAACGAGGUGCGCACUUCCUUUUUUCAUCAGGGACAAGUUUAACCUUGUCACUCAUUGACCUCCAUACACCUUGCUAUCAAAAGAGUUGGCGCCGAUCAAAAUAAAGUUUCUUAUAACAUUAAAAUCCUCCUUAUCCUAAACAUUGUCAAUUCCAACCUCUCAUCCACCUUUUGACUAAAUAGAAUGAGCUUGGAAUUUUAUAUGCUCUUUUACAUCAAAUUACCUUCAAGGGGUGAUUCUUGCCCUUGUAUGCCAUAAACGUUUUUCCUUUUCUUUUUCCGUUCCUCCAAAACAUGUGUCCCUUUAAACUAUAAGCAACUAAAUUGCCUUGAAAGGGGUGAUUCUUGUUCUUGUACACCCUAUACAUUUUUCCUUUAUUUUUCCACUCCUCUAGAACCACGUGUCCCUUUAAAAUAGAAUCAACUAAUUUUACUUGUCAAUUUCUAGAUACAUACAUCUAGUGGGAAAAUUGAUCUACAUCUAAAAUUGAUCUUUCAAAUUCAAAGAUCCAUCUAAAAUAGAGAAGCUUCAUCACAUACAACCUUCUCAUCAAAAGCGCCUAUCCCUCAUGAUCUUCAUCAUUGAGAUGAUUGUUUCAAAAGCCUUUGGUGUCAAAAUUGUUUCAAAAGCCUUUGGUGUCAAAAUACUUCUUUCAACGAUGCUUUGACAUCAAAUGACACAAUGUAAUCGAAGUAACACUAGAUCACACUAACUUGCCCAUAGGACAAGGUUGCAACACACUUGAAGAGGCACAAGUAUCAAUUUUAAUGUCACUAUGCAAAGAGUUUUUGUGAAUGAUGGUAUAACCGUAAUACUUGAACCUUAGAGAUGUUAUAACUUCAAAUAAGUAGAUUGCAAAAAGGCGAUGAAAUCUAAUAAGCAAUGUUGAUACCUGAAUUUUGUGGUCCGCUCAAGUAUCCAUUUUUUGCCUAAAAAAUAAAAAAAAAUAUUAAAUAAAAAUUACCCAAAAAAGAAAGGAUAUAAAAAAUCGAGCGGGUCUGUUUUGCCUAGCCCACUUAACAAAAUCUUCGGCCCUCUACGCCAAGGCGUCCAACCCAUUUCCCUUAAUCCCCUCGGCCCAUCUUUUACUUCUUUUUUAAAUCUAUUUCUUUCAUAGCCCAUCAGAACUAAAAAAGGCCAGCCCAAAUGUCUUACUUUUUGUUUUCUUCAAAGCCCAUUAGAAUUAAAAGAAAAAAGAAGAUAAAAGAGGCCCAGCCCAAUGUCACUUCUUCCCCUUGGUUUGCACGAACCAGCAUCCGUGAGGAGAGAGAGGAAAGAGUGACGCGCGGGUGAGGAGAAAAGAUCAGGAUCGCGCGAGCGUCCGUGAGCAAGGAAGCGUGAGAAGCCGUGACGUGACCAAGUCCGAACCUUCUAGAAUCCAUGAGCUGGCAAGGGCGUAACAGAAAGAUUCCUCAAGCGAGCGCAACGUGAGGGAGGAAGAGAAGGCUCGGCCGAGGCAUAUCGGAGGGCGAGAGGAGAGAGACGCAAAGUGGGGGAGUGACCGAGAACCCGAUCGCCGUAGCCCGCCGAUGGUUUCCGAAGCUCCGGUCAAGGGUCGGUUCGUCAGCCAGCCUUUACCCAUUCGGCGGUCUUUCUGCAGACGAGAAGGAGCCCAAUUAGUCGCUCCUCGCCGUCGCCGAUCGAGAUCUUGACUCACUGAAAAGACAGGUGGGGGGGCCUUCUUCCCGAAGCUCCUGUUUUAUCCCUGUUUUUUGGCCGGCAAUUUCUUGUCCGAGUCGAUGUAACUUUUUGAUCGAGAUCUUGACAAACCAAAGAAAGUUUAGGAUGAUUCAUGGUGUGUUGAAGGUUGAUGAAUCGGGGUUGGACUAACGAAUGUUGUAAAUCUAAGUCUGAAGCUCGUGUCCUUCAAUGCGUGCCAGGUGUUCGACGUAUUGCCUGAAUGAAAUAUGUAAUACUCAAGAGCACCGAACUCGAGAAAGAAAGUUUCAAGGGAACCGUGAUAAUCUAAGACUGGGUUGACAUAAAAUAUGAUGUUUCAGGCUUUUAUACAUCGUUUUUGACACGAAAAUUGCCUCGAAUAUCUCUCUGGAACACAUCCUUUAGAUUGCACAUCAGUCGCUCGACAAAUGCUUGAGAGAAGACCGAAACUCAUUCAUUGUUGAAUCUUAUGAUCGAUUUUCUUUUGCUUCUGUAUAACUUGAAUCUGGCCUAAUAUUAGUGCUUCCUCUGUAUUUUUACGCAUGUGAUGAAAAAUCUGUGUUCGAGUUCAACAAGCAUACAUAUACUCAAGCCCGCUCUCUGGCGAAGUUUGUGAUUCAAAGCCAUCCAGUCAGUUUGUCUCUUCGAUUUAGAGUGCACUAGUGAUUAUAUGCUUGCUGGAAAGGCUAGGAUGGAAGAAAUUAAUCUCGUGUGUAUAUUUUCCGUUAACUGUUGUGGUCGCCAAGUAAGUGGCCAGAGUUGGUGGCCGUCGGUCGGGUUAGGUGACCGUCGGUAGGUGUUGGUUCAGUGGUGAUGUGUGUGCCAGCGACGAUGCGUAUAGAGGUUGAUUCGUCGCCGAUAAUUCUGGUUCGGUCAAGUCGCAGAAGGAAAAGAGAUUCGGGGAAGAAGAAGGCGCAAGGUUGAAGAAGAAGGCGUAAGGGUAAAAAGACAAAACAGGGAAGAAGACAAAAGGGAGAGAAUAAAAUAAAUUAAGAAAAUCAUUAAAAAAUUAAAAUUUCGAAAAAAUUUUCGUUUUUUAAUCCAACCAGGUAGGAUUAGGGGUGAGCAGCGGUUUAGGGUCGAUCCUGGACCAACCCUGGACCGGCCCAACCCUGCUGGUCCUGGUCCGGUUUUCAAGGGGACUGGGUCGGUCCUUGGUCCUAAAAUUCCCGGACCAAUACUGUGCGGGUUGGUCAUCGGUCCUAAGAAUUUUGGGUCGGUCCAACCCUGGACCAACCCUGUAUAUUAUAUUAUAUUAUUUAUAAUUCUUUUAUAUAUUCAAACCUAAGUAAAAUGUCUAUUAUAUUAUAUUAUAUUGAAAUGUUCUAUCAAUAGCACUAAUAAUAAUUUCAAUUUAAAACUUUUGUUAAGUAUUAAUUAUGUGUCGUUUGUUUUGUUUUCAAGUGUUUAGAAGUUCAAGUGAAUUAACAAGAUGUGAAGUUAUAUAUUCAUGGUUUAUAUUAAGUAUUUUGAACUUUUUAUGAUUUAAUUGUAUUUUACUAAUGAAUUCCAGCUGCACUUUGCUUUUUAAUUUGUGUCAAAUGGUAGAAGUUUUUGAAGAGUAGAGUAGUACUGCAGUUGCUACGGUGAUUUGCUAGUCAAGUGAUGUGAAGCUCAUUUUUUGGUUGAGUAGACUCUAUAUGAUCAAAUGUUAGUUAAGUGGUGCGAAGCUCAUUUUUUGGUUGAGUGGACUCUACAUGAUUAGGAAGACGCUUUUGCAUAUGGUGUUAUAAAUAUUAAAGAUAGAUGAUUACAAGAACUUUCCAUCUUGUCCCAUAUCUCGAUGAGCGGUUAGCGGAUACAAAAUUUAUAUUAUUGUGUCAUCUUAAAUUUGCUAAAUAUGUAUUGAUAUUUUAUAGUUUAGUUGCACAAUACGGUAUUGUUGAUGGAUGUGUAAUUUGAAUUUGUAGGUUUGCUUUUUUAGGAAGUAUAAAAAAUAAGACGAAAAAAAUUAUCGAUCGGUCCCGGGUUGAUCCUGGAACCGGACCGAACCCAUUGGGUCGGUCCGGUCCUUGGUCCUAGGCUUAAUAGGGUCGGUCCUCAGUCCUAAAAAUUGAGGACCGACACUGUACGGGUUGGUCCUAGGGUUAGGGGGUGGCCCGGACCAACCCGGACCAUGCUCACCCUUAGGUAGGAUUCGGUUGACGGGUCAGGCCAACUGGUCGGAUCGGGUAAACGGUCCGAACCUGUUCCCCUAAUAUAAUAAUAAUAAUAAAUUUUAAAUUUUAAAAUUUUAAAAAUCAAAAAUUAAAAAUUAGAAAAUGAUAAAAAAAGUUUUAAAAAUUUUGGAAAUAAUAAAAAAAUUAGAAAUUUUACAAAAUCAUUAAAAAAUUAAAAAAUCCGAAAAAGUAGUUAAAAAUAAAUAAAAAAAAUAAUUGAAAAUAUAAAUUAACUAAGAUUUUAAAAAUUUUAAAAACUGAAAAACCCUUAGAAACCCAACCCUAAAAUUGGAUAAGCCCUUAGGGUCUUACAUUUUUUUUUUUGUUUUUGUUUUGUAUUCUCUUGUUUUCAUUUGUAGGAACGAUAUUAGAAUGCUUGUGUGCUUUCUUUCAUGAUUAUAAUUGAUUACAACUCUCAAUAUAUGGAUGUUACUUUCUUGUUUUUGAAUGGUUAAGAUGAACCUUAGAUUUUUUUUUUUUUUUUUUUUUUUAUAGACUGCUAUGGUGUCAGUUAGCACGCUAUUAAAUUAGGUAUCAAAAGGGCGUUAGCCUUAGCGCUAAAGUAAUCAAGUACCCAAAGUUUAGAAUCUCUAGCUGCAUAAAUAGUAAGAUAUUCUCCCAUAUCUUAUUGGUUUUUAAUUGAUCGCAAAAGAGCUAGUGGUGACUCUUUAAUCAAAAUUCGCAUAGGCUUAAUUGAUGAAAAAUGUGAACACUCGAUAUCGUGCGAGGUAUGGGUUUAGGCGAGCCCGAGUCAAUAGAAGGCCAUUGGACUGAUAUUGACAAUGCCCCUAAACCAAAUAGUCUUGCUCACGAGGGGUUAGGUCGCGACAAGCUAAAUUUUAAUCUUAGUAGAAAAACUUGAUUUAAUAAAUUCACUUAAUAUAUUAAAAUGCAUUGCCUGAAAUUGUAAAUGUCAUGAAAAGCACUAUAUUUCCCUUCAUAUUUGACUAGUGAAAAUUUCCUCUAACCAUGCGUAUGAAAAUUUCAAGUUAUGUAUCAUGCGAAUUGAAUUAGUGCAAACCUAUACAUAAAAGUAUGUGAUGUGCAUGUUUGUCAACAUAGCCCUCCCUUUAGUAGGUGCAUGGUAUAUGAGCGGACUAGGGCCAUACCUAGUAUAAUGAGGGUGGGGUGUGAUUGUUAGGGUGAGAAACCUUGAACAAUUUGCAUAUCCUAAAGGACUUCAAGGAUGGCAAAAGUAACAAUGAUGGAUCAGGCCACACAUUGAAUGGAGGAAGUAUCACCUGGGGGACAAUCAACACUGAUGAGGACAUUGGUGAUUUAAGUUGAUGAGUUGGUAACAUCUAGAGUCGUACAUUGGAUGGGUGAGGCAUUAUAAUGUUAUUAAAAUGAAAGAAAAAUAUUACUUUAUUUUUCAAUUUUUUUUAUGAGGGUUAGAAAUAGAGUUCAAGCUUCACAUUGUAAUUUAGUUUUCAAAUAAUCAAUAUUUGAGUUUGAUUGAGUUUAAUCUCGAACACACAUGCUAUAUAGAAUUCAGCUCGAGCAUGGGAUUGAGAAACUGAGUUUUGUCAUACAAUCUAAUAUCAAACUAUCAACAUCAAGUUAAACUUUGCGUCAAAAAACUACUUCAAAUGAAUUUAUAGCUUGAUUGUGCCUUUAUAGCAUUUUUUUUAUAUAAUUAUAAUGAUGUACCUUAUCUUAGGCACUUUUAGUGCAUUGAUCCACUAAAUGAUAUGCUACUUCACCCCUCGCAUGCCAACAAGAGUGACGCUAGUGGUCUUCAAAUCUUCACAAGCCUCUAGGCCGCAUGUGGUUGUCCGGACAUUUUUGCCGGAUAGGAUAAUGUCGGAUAUGAUAAGGAUAUGAUAUAAUUAAAUAUCCAAUCCAAUGUUUGUUGACAUUUGGAUAUAAUAUGAAUUCAAAUAAAUAUUAUCCAAAUAAAUAUCUAAUUUACAGAACUAAAACUAAAAAUAAACUAGGGAAAUAAAACAACCUCUCUUCCUCAUGAAGCAAAGGAGGAGGCCGAAAGCGCUCAACUCAACUUUCCACAAAGGAAAGAAAAGGCAGAACUUUGCCGGAAAGUGAGGCAAAUUGAAAUCUCUUUAUCGGAGAUAGCCAAUCAUGUGGAUCUUCAAUGAAUAAAUGAACUCGAGAAAAAACCCAACUUUGCACUUUGCCAGAGAUGUCAAGUUACAGGGUCGAUCAUUUAAGGAUGAUAUUGUCAAAUCUGGGUCUUUAGCGUGUGUUGAACAGAGGAGAGAGCACGGAAUGCUAUUUGGAGAGAUAAAGGGGAUGGGGGCAGUUUUUUUUAGAGAUUAUUGAAAUAAUCUUAGGCAACGCUUGAGCUUUUUGCCUGUUCCUUUCUAUUCAUCCCUGCUUUUCUCAUUCUAUAUCUAUGCAGGCAACCACGAAGGGUGGCUUGGCCAUGGACGGUCAACAACUGCGAGCUGCCACGACUAAUAUGGUGGCUCGACCAUGGACCCUGGCUCUAGAUCUCACCUCAUCGAUCACAAACUAGUGGUGUCACUGACUAGAUCUGGUCGGCUCUGUCUUCCCAAGGCCGCCACGACUUUGGCCAGAUCUAAAGGAGAGGGGAGGAAGAGAGAAAUUUUAUUUUUCAAAUUUCACAUAUCCUAUUCAGGUAGAGGGUGGGAUUUUUUUAUCCGAACUAUAUUUGGGCUAUAUCUAGUGAUAUCCGGAUUUCGCGUCACUCCAAACACUAGAUAGGAUAAAAAUGAUCAUAUCCGGAGAAUUAUCCGGUCUACCAAAUGCAACCCUAGAGUCUAAAACAUGGACAAGUCCGGUAAGAGCUUAAUUCCUGAAAAAUAAAAUUACAAUCAAUCUAUUGAGAAAGUUUAAGAAAAGGAAUAGCAUGAUCAAAUUAUGCAGUCAAAUCAAUUAGUAAUCCAUAUGAACUAAUGUUUACCAUGUUUAAUUUAUUUGCCAAUGUACACUACAUACAAGAGAUUAGACUAAGAUGUUCUAAAUUCCUAAACUAGAUAUUGACAAAAGUCAAAUAUGUAGGUUAACUGCGUUUAUGAGAAAAGACCUAUACAUAAGAUGAAACAAUAUCAUGUAAAAAUAUAUAGUAAAUCUUGCGGGAUUCGCAUAGUGAUUAAAGAAAGGAAUUGUGUGUGUGGAUUGAGCACAUCAUGAGAGUUCAAUUUUCCACACCAGCAAAUUUAGACAAUUUUAUACCCUACCUGGUCCAUGAGAUUAGUAAUAUAUGUCAUGGGCUUGACCUUUUAGCCGCUUAAGAUAUAAGCUUCUAGGUGAGAGAAAUAACUUAUUACCCGAAAAUGAAAAGAUUAGUUAAUCAAGUAGAUAAAGCCUUCCCUCCUCCUUUCCCCCCCUUUGUAUCUAGCAUAGUUAUGGAAGCAGGUUGAUGAAAUUUCGUCUAUGUGAUUUUGCGUACGUGUGAAUACAUUUUGUGUUUUUAGGUAUAUCACAACUUUGAUGAAAACUGGUUUGUUCCCAAUCUAGCUAAAUUAAUAAUUUUUUCAUGGACACAAUCAACUAAACUAUAGAAGAAAUUAAAAUCAAGACUCAACCUCAACAUCAAAAGUUAAAUAAGUAGCGGAAAUUGACUCUAUACUCUACUGGAAAUGAAACCUUCACGACUUAAAGACUGAAUGCCUGGAAGAUCGACUAAUUCAUUUCCUAUUUGAAGUGGCUUUAAAUCAAACUGUAAAAGGUAGGGGAGCACACAGAAAUACAUCAUCCACCAAUUAAAUAAGUACUUUAGGUGCUUCUAGAGCACAAAUCCUGCUCGGCCGACACCAACCACACGCAAAAUUCAAGGAACACUCAAUUUUAUCAAGGACAUAAGUCACUUGAUUUGUAGUUGUGUUCUUGAAACACCUCCCCUAGCAAUAUUUUUUUUUUUCAAUUGUGUAUCGAGUAUUUGACUUUUUUAAUAUUGAAAAAAGUGUACUAGAAAUCCUAAAAUUUAUUGUAAAAGUGCAAUUAAGAAAAAAUACAACUAAGUCCUAAAAUUUGUCAAUUUGAUGUAAUCAAGUUUCUCUAUUAAUUUUGUCCAAUUUAGUUGAUGGAAAAUGCUGACAUGGCUUCUUUUCUUCUUCUUUUUUCAUUUCUCUCUCUUACUGGCAUAGAGCUUAAAAGAAAAGGUCCGUGUGCAAAAACGUCGUUGUUUAAGAUUCAGCCCAAAUUUCCAAGCCAUAAUUGAGUUUUCCUUCUCAAGUUUUGUUUACUUCUUCAUCCGUCUUUCGUCCAGAGUGUCCAUAUUAUUCGUGGAGUUCGCUUCUUAAUUGUCGAUCCUCCUGUUCUUUGUCCAAGUGUCCUUCUUCUUCUUCGUCGAGUCCCCAAAUUUCCUCUUCAAUCGAACGUGACGAGGUCGAGUCAUCGCACAGGAGCUUGAUGAGCCAACAACGACGUCGAGUCCUCUUCGUCCAAGCCGUUAUAAGCCACUACAUCGACCUUAAUCCCCUUUCUUGGAUUCUUCUUUCGUUCUCAUGGAGCUACGGAAACUCAUUUGAGGUGUUUUCUCUUGGGGAUUAUUAAAUAUGUCUGAAGUUUGAGAGUGAAGUCAAUGUUACAGCAGGUGGCUGCAUCUAUUUGAAAUACCGUGAAUUAUGUUUAGACAUAUUCUCAUGGUUUAUUCUAAUUGUCAGAUACUAAAUGGAAGGCAGUUGUUUUGUGGCUCAACAGCCAAAGCAGAAGCAAAAGAAGGGUAGAGCACAAAAAGCGUGCUCAAUUCUGUGAUUGAGACUUGGUGUAAGCAAAAGUAGCAAGCUUUUCCGACCUGCCUAUAUCUCCUUUCCUUCUUUGUUCAUCCUACUGGCAAGCGGCUGCUGUUCUUCGGUCAUUCCUGGUCUCAAAUAACAAGACUCGGUCUGAGUGAGGGUUUGAACUUUUGAGAGCUUUUUCUUUAGGAUUUUGUCACGGGCUGAGAGUUUCCUUGGCCUUGGAACGACCCGCGGGCGUUUGGCGAGCAUAAUUCGCCAGGCCAGCCUUGAUUCGUGUAGCUAUUCCAGUGAACGAUACGGUGAAUGCUUUUUCGUGCGAGAUCCUACCACGCCCAGCGUCACUCGGGCGUCUAGUCCAUCGAGUGAGACAUUAGAUAUCUUUUAGGCACAACAAUUGGUUUCGGCCUACCAUGGCCUCGUCAGGAGAGCGGUAUCAGCUCCCGACCAAUUUGUGCAAGGGAGGCCUACCCCGUCUUUAGAGCUCCUAAGUGAUAUAAUCCUUCUAUCCUAGAACUCCUAGUACCAAUUGUUCUGAUGCCACUCUCACGGACCAGUUGUGUUUUAGCCUUCCACCUCCUCACUCUUCACUCGAUAACCCCUAGUGCCACUCACAAGUGUCACGAGAACGGGAGAAUUCACGGACCGUGAAAAUUCCGUGUUGGGUUUCGCUUGGAGGAGUUUAAGUUUGUUUAUUCGAGGCUUUGCCUCUCUUAUUGUGGCCAUUUUCUGUUACAUUUACGAUCUUAUCAGAUAUUCUUGUGACCAUUCGCCUGCAGUGAAUCAAGAUAAUAGACGAACAUUUUAAUUGAGUUGCGAUCUCUUACUAAGAAUUGUUAAUACUUCCUGUCUUUGUGAUUUAUAUCCAUGGGAAACACAAGACGCAUGGUCAUUCGUGUGGGUUCAUGCGCAAUACAGAUAAGCUCUGAAUUAGAAGAGAAGGUUGAAAAAUUACGCAAUGGUGAUGAGCUACGUUCUAAUUCAGAGACUGAAAUUGAGUAGUCUCAAGAAGAGACUACAGAUGUGAAUGCAUCAGGUAAGACCUACUUACAUAUAUAGCGUGUAAUUUUUCAUCAUAAUAUACUAAAAUGGUCCGAUUAUUGAUCUGGUUUGAUAAUAUUAGAUCCAUCUUUCAGUAUUUAGAAUUUCUUGUCUAAUAGCUACCACCAGAAAAGGGAAGCAUAGCUUUACAUGUCUAUCAAGUGUAUACAGUCUUUCUCGCGGGAAAUACAUCAUUGUCAAGGUAGGGAAGAAAAUGCAACCUAUUGGAGGUUUAGGGAGUUUCUCGGAACCAUUGCUUGCAAGUUGGCACCAUUGUUUACAACUUGAAAGCAAAUUACCAAGGAUAUGAGAAACAGUAUGAUUGGGAUUGUAGAGGUAGGUAGCUUGUUGUGGCAUGAAAUUCCAUUCAUGUUUUAAAUAAAUUUAACAUCAUUAUUAAUAUUUCCUUUCCGUCUAAGCAUGAUUAUCUUCGUACCAGCUACAGAAAAAUGGAUUCCACAAUCCUAAAUGUAGGUAUUGGAAAAGUGAUUUAAAAGCUGCUCGCUAUGAUAGCUCUCAAUCAUUCUCAUAUCAUUUGAAGAAUCUAUUGGAGAGAGUGAGAGAGAUCAAUGCACAAUUCUCAUCACUUUUUGGAGUUCAAAGGAAAGGAAGGGAAGGUGCGGAUCUUGUUAUGGGAUUGUUUUAAUUGACCUGUCAACAUUAAAUGGACUUUCAUUACCUGUUCAUGACUACUUUGUGAUAACCUUUCUAUUUUUCAUCUUUUUCAUUGCAAAAGCUGAUUGGUGCAAAUAAGGCUAACGAAGCAAAACAAAAGAUACAACACACCUUAGAGAGUGAAAAUUCGGCUAGAAUAACAACAGAAAAGGUACUCUCAUGUUUACUUAAAUUUUUGUGUUCCUUAUAAGUGAUAUUUCCAUUGUGUAAAUCAAUAAUCUUGCUUUAGAAAAGAUUAUGCUAAGGUGAUAUAUUUUUGGACCUAAGGUAAAGAUGUCUAGAGAUAUUUGCCACUUUUCCAACAAUAUGCAUGUUUUGAACAGCAAUUGUCAUAGGAAGAUAACAUAGAAUGUGUUCUAGCAUUGCCUCCUUAAGAUUGUCUAUGUUAUCAGCACCUGCAUUAAUAUCUUGUUAUUCCCAUAGCUUUGUGAUUUGGGUUUGCUAGUGACAGCACAAUAAUCUAUAACUUGGUGGGGUUUAUCUAGCACACAUAGUCCACCAUCAUUAACAAAAGAGCUAUACAGCAGUUAGAGCUGUAAAGUAAAUUUGAGAUGAUGAAACUUGUACAAUUUUCUAUUAAUUUGUGAACCUGACUGCAGUUUGGUUUAAUGAGAGAUAUUGCAAAACAAAAAAGUACUGCAGCCUUGGAGUGUGACAUAUUGAAAUUCGACCUCAUUUCGAUAAAGUGAAAUGGACAUUUCAUCGACAUACUUAUGGUCCUUUUUCUCUGAGCUGAUCACUCACGAAUUAACUAACUUAUUGGAUGAAGCCAUUAAGGGAUGUAUCCGCGGUAAAAUCCAUAAAAGCUACCUAAUUAGUUGGACUGGGCUAAAAUCACGUUUGAUCGAUUCUAACCAUGAAAUUUAAUUUGGUUUCGGGAAUCGAAUAUUUGAGCGUGUCACAAUUCAUUUUUAGGAUCCUAUCUCAUCGUCCGUCAAAUUAUUGACGCGUCCGAAAUUUCGGGAAAGAAAUUAUCGGAGGAAAAAUUGAAGACCGGAAGAAAUUAAAAAGAGAAAGGAGAAAUAAUAGAAGUAAUUUGAAUAGUAAAUUUUUUACUAUUUGAUUACUUUUUUAUUUUCUUUUUCUCUCCCUUUCUUUUUCUCUCUUUUCCCUUCCCCCCUUCGUGCGCACUCCCCCUCCCCACUGACCGAAUGCCCCUUGCCAAUUUCAAAUUGGCUUCUCUCUCUCCUUUUUACUUUUGACUAGUCAAAAAGCCUUCAUCUUAUCUCUUCUUUCUUUCUUCUUCUUCUCUCUCCUCUCUCUUCUCCCCCACUCCCCCACGUGACCGAAUCCCCUCCUUCCUCCUUCUUCGUGCAAACCAGCGAACCAGGAAGAGGAAGACAGCAGCUCGCCGAAGCCCAUCGCCGCCGCACCGGAGCUGGACCUCCACCCACGCGACGCCCGCCCGCGCACGCCGCGCGCUCCACCGCUUCCCGCCCGUGCCUGCCGUCCUCGCCGUGCGCCGUCCAGCCCCGUUCAGCCUCUGCUCAGCCCUUGUUCCGCCCCGUCCGGCCAUCUCCGGCCACCGUUCGAAGCCGCCGGACCUCCACCGGUCCUCCCCCACACCUUGCCGCCCUUGUUGAAGUGAUUUGUGGCUGUUUUGUGUUCUUUUUCAGUGCGCGCAGCCACCCCACCGAGUGGGUUUCCAGCCCCCUUCAGUCUCACUUUUGGGCGGUUUCCGGGCCCCGAAACCGAGCCGUGCGUUGGGGUUUAUUGUUCCUCGUGUCGUCCCUGUCGGAUUGGUACAUUUUGCGCUUAAUUCCGAUGAGUAAUCUCACUAAUUCCUGCUUAGUUUGUUAAUUAUGCUUAGGGGUUGGUUAGGUUUAAUUAAAUGCAAUUAGGUGGUUAGAUUAGAAUAGAUUAGUGAUUAUUAGAUAAAUGUGAUGCAUAUUAGACAAUUUGAUUGUGUAAUUAGCAAGUAGACGUAGUCUACUAUUUAUUGAAAGCAUCUCAGGAUUUUUCCCGACCUUUAGCGGGCUUCAAUUAGGCAAUUCGGGCAUAAAUUGGAUUUUUAGUAAUUAAUUAUUAAUCUUCGAAAUUAAUUAAUUAAUUAUUUAUUUUCCGAAAUUUAACCCGGGAUGGCCGUGACCGGGAAUUUAUGCUGGUGAUUGUGGUGAAGUCCGUUUAUUUAAUUGGGCUUUAUUUGAGCUAAAUUGAAUUUUUAAUAUAAUUAAUUAUUUUCCGAAAUUAAGGUUGAGAUGACCGAUGACUGGAAUUUCGUGCUGAUUGUCGUGGUGCAAUCCGUUUAUUUAUUUGAGCUCUACGUUGCAUGGAAUUAAAUUAAUUGUGAUAUUUUAUCAAUUUAUCUUAAAUUGAUGGAAAUUGAGUGAAAUUGAAUGAUUGAUUGGUAGAUGGCCGAGUAUGUUUAUUUAAUAUUUAUAAUGCUUUGUUGAGUUGUAAAGUGGAUGGAAUCAUGAGAGUGAAUUGGAAAUACUCUAGGCUAUAACCGAUUAGGUACGAUGUGAUGGACCUACGUGGUUCGGUGACUAAGGACGUCACUGGCGAAAAUGGCGCCUUAAAGAACGCACAUAUUGGUCUAGUACUCACAUCGUCAUAGGCAUGUGUGGUUCGGUGAUUAAGGACAUCACUGGCAAAAACAGCGCCUUAAAGAACGCACGCAAUUGUCUAUUGAACACAUCGUUGUAGGCAUGUGUGGUUCGGUGAUUUGGGAUAUCAUUGGUGAAAACGACGCCUUAAAGAACGCAUGCAAUUGUCUAGUGGAUACGUCACCUUGGCGAAGUUGACGCCCGAGAGCAUUAAGAUGGCUCUGUGACUUAGAGUGUUAUUGAAGGUUUCAUGGUAUGAGAUGAAUGACCUAGUGAGGGUUCGAUUGACAUGUAAUCGAUUAAGUCGAUUGAACUGUGAUUUGGCUGAUUGUUCAUUGAGAUAUAUGAAGCAUCUGUAUAUAACCUUGAAUUACAGGUUGGGACUGAUGCCAAAGUACGUCUUCUGACCUAUGCGUGUUUAGGUAGCCUAUAGUAUAAUGGUUUACUAAUCGGGUCUUAGUGGGGUAGAACUUGUUGAGAAGCAGUCUCAUCUUGGUUGUGGGACAACAUUUCAGGCCCGUAAAUGAACAUGAGGAGAAGGAAUCGGAGAAGGAGAACAUUGAAGUGAAACUUGAGGAGGGGAAAGAUUUUUGAAGAAGAAGAUGAUCCAAGAAGGGAUCCUGAGUACGAUCGGAUGAGGACUGAGGUCCCAUCUUCUUUUGGGAAUCCUGUUUUGAUGUGAAUAGAGUGAAAUUAGAAAGCCGUGAAUAGUUUGUGAAAUACUUUGAGUUAUGUUCUGUAUAAAAGUAUGGUUGUGAAUUUCAAUAUAAAAAAUAUGACUUUACUUUUCUAUCCCAUUGUUUUAUUGUCUAGGGAUUAUAACUGCUUCCGCAUGUGCUUAAUAAAAGAAAGGGUUGGCGAUACAUAGUUCUGAGAUAUCGCAUUAUAAAAUUGACCAAGAGAGAAGGAUGUGUGCGUGCCCGAGGAUCGGGGCGUGACAUGGAGUACCCAAGUACUAGCUGUGCCACCGCACACAUCCCCAUAAUUGUUGAAAAGUUAUUCAAUAUAGUUCAUCUAGUGUCAACAAAUGUUAUGCGGUCUUGGCAAUGACAAUAUUGUUGUUACAAUGUAUUAGGAAUUUAUAUAGUUAUCUGUGUAGAAGACGAAUGAAUCAAGAAAAGAGGGCAAGCUGGAAUAAAUAGGCUAAAAUUAAAACCUAAAAUCUAACUUCCUAGUGUGUGUUUUCAUAUGGUUUUGGUCGAUAAAGUCAUAUAACAAAUCAGCAAGGAACAACUAUAGUUAGGAAGAAUGUGAUUACUUUCUCAAUUUGAUAUCUCUGGACAUAUUUUCCUGUUUCAUAGUAAAGUGCGAGAUAUUGAAUGUCUUCUUGAUAUGGUUCAUUUAGUUAUGCUGACUAAACCAAGUUCUAGCACAUGAUAGGAAGUAGAGUUAAGAAUCAAAGGCAAUCAUAAGUAUUUAAGACUUCAGCUUAAUAAAUAGUAACAUCAUUGGUUUAUAAGGUUUUUAUGUUACUAAAUUGCACGGAAGUAUGAAUGAUCUCAUGGAGGUAUAUUUGGAACUUGGACAGAGCGAUAACCCCUUGAAAUAGUGUUUCUCUAGUGUUGGGAAAAUAGAAACCUAGAUGGUCUGAUGUUAGAGCAUAACCCAUGCUCAAAUGAUUUGGGGCCUCCAAAUCUAGUUUUCUUCUAACCAAUAACUUAAGGUCAAAGAAAGCAAAGAACGAAGAGAUUCACAAGUUGAAGGAAUCUAGUUGUCUUCCAACCGAGAACUUAAGGUCAGAGAAUGAGAAAGAUGAAGAGAUUCACAAGGUGAAGGAGAUACUGAAAGCAACAAAGAGAAAUUACAAAAGACAAAUGGAGAUGUACAAGAGUUACAGGCUCAAAAAGCUGCUACUAUUAUACAAAAUUGUCUACAUGCGGUGGACUUGAAGUGGUCUCACAAGAUUUGGACAAGGUAAGUAUGUCAUGAGCCAUGAGGUGUGACUAAUUUCAUUGAAUGUUACAGUAGUGAAAGGUGUUUUAUUUACUAAAUACUGAGUGAUCUUAAUAUUGGACACUAUGGUGGUUUUAAAGGGAAUAUAGGUGGAUGGACUUGAAACAUAAGUAUGGUAUCGGGAUCGCUUCAAUGGAGCUUGGAAGUGGAAUAAAAAUUUAGCAUAUUGUUACUAUGUUUUAUCUUUUUGCUCUAACUAAAUCAUGUUUUGGGUUCACUUCUCUUGCAUUAUGCCUUGUCCUUUUUGUUCAUUUUGAAGUAUACAAGUGAUUGCCCUUAUUAGUCACUGCUUGCUAUUUCUUUCCAUGUUUCCAGAUAGUCACUGUUGAGCUCUCUUUUCCUUCUCUGUAUAGAUCCGGGAGUGUUAUAGCAUCUUUUCUAUUGAAGAGAAGGUGAAAUGUUGCCUGUUUUGGCACUUGAGAGUGGAUGAGGGACAAAGUCAAAUACUUGGAAAUAGUCUCUGUUGAUGUAUGGGUUUAUUAGAUUACCUAAAACCAUAUGCUGAUAACCUUACUCUAUAUUUUUUGCCCUCAAUGCAAUUCUUCUUCUUCUUGCUCUUAAGGUUGGGCUUCUAUUUUCAUAAUCGAACUUCUCAACUUUACUGUGUUGCAGCAAUGAUUUUGAUUUACUUAAUCAAAGAUUGUCCGCACAGGCCGAUGGGAUCUCAAUUGCCGCCGCCGCCACCAAUGGGACAGAACAGAGGAAACAUGCUACAGGAUGCAUUGCAGACAAGGCACUAUUAGGAUGGCAAAAGGGGCAGGAAUGAAUCGAGGUAUGCAUCGAACAUGAAGGAUAGUGAUCUCGGAAUAAUUUUAUUUGAGUGGCGCAACGGAAAUAUGUUUAAGCUUGUAGAACUUCAAUUUAUUGAAAUGGAGUCGUAGAAAGGAGAAUCGCUGGCUAGAGUUGUACUUGAAUAUUUUGCCUAUGUAUAACUUUAAUGUCAUAUAUAAAAAGGUUUGACUCAAUGAGCAUCUUGUUGUAAUGAAUUGUGUGUUCAAGGAGUAUCUGGAUCAGUUUAUGAUCGUUUUCAUUGACAAUAUCCUAGUGUACUCGAGAAGUCCAGAGGAGCACGAAAGACAGUUGAGGAUAGUACUUCAGACUCUGUGAGAUCAUGGAUUGUACGCUAAGUUCAGUAAGUGUGAGUUUUGGUUAACUCGUGUGGCUUUCCUAGGUCACGUGAUUUCAAGCGAAGGAAUCUCCGUGGACUCGACUAAGAUUGAAGCAAUUAUCAACUGGCUAAGACCAACGACAGUGAUAGAAAUCAGAAGCUUUUUGGGAUUGGCAAGUUACUAUAGAAGGUUCGUUGAAGGAUUUUCAACAUUAGCCUUACCUUUGACUUGACUGUUGAAGAAGGAAGAGAAGUUCGCAUGGACAGAUAAGUGUGAGCAUAGUUCCCAAGAGCUUAAGCAGAAGCUGAUUACCUCACUAACGUUGACAAUUCCAUCUAGACUUGAAGGAUACGAGAUCUAUAGUGAUGUGUCAUUUAGAGGACUGGGUUGUGUGUUAAUGUAGCAUGGUAGAGUCAUUGCAUACGCAUCCCAUCAGUUGAGACCUCAUGAGCUGAAUUACCCAACGCAUGACUUAGAACUCGCAGCGAUUAUUUUCGCCCUGAAGAUUUGGAGACAUUAUUUAUGCGGAGAAAGGUUCCAGAUCUUUACAGAUCAUCAAAGUCUCAAGUAUUUAUUCUCUAAGAAGAAGUUGAAUAUGAGACAGUGUCGCUGAAUGGAACUUCUCAAGGACUAUGAUUGCAACAUCCUAUAACACCCUGGAAAGGCUAAUAAGGUAGCAGAUGCGUUGAGUCGGAAGUCUUCGAUUGUGCAGAUGAUGAUUAAGGAAUGGAUCAUACUCGAGAGAACUCGAGAUUCGGUCUUCAAAUUUGAGGUAGGCCACCUUUCAAAUCUUAUGGCCACCCUCAUAAUUGAACCAGAAGUGUAGAUAAGAAUCAAGACGUUACAGUUGACAAACGCAGAGAUCCAGAAGAUUCUGCAAGAGGAUAUAGACAAGAGAAAAGCUGAUUUUCAUAUUUUUGAAGACGGAAUGUUGAAGUUUCGUGGACGAUUGUGUGUACCUGACGAUGUAGAGCUUAAGGAAGAGAUUUUAUCAUAAGCUCAUCAUAGCAGUUACAGCAUUCAUCUAGGCAAUACGAAGAUAUCAGAAUCUGUGUUAACACUAUUGGUAGACCGGUAUGAAAGCGGAUAUCGCCAAGCAUGUCACCAAAUGUCUUAUGUCUCAACAAAUGAAGGCACAGCACUAUAAACCGGGCAACCUCUCAAGAUUCCCGAGUGGAAGUGGAAACACAUCACAAUGGACUUUGUGAUUGAGUUGUGGUUGACAAAUUGACGAAGUCUGCUCACUUCAUCGCUGUACGAAAGGACUAUGCAUUGGACAGAUAUGCAAAAUUGUACAUGCAUCAAAUUGUUCGUCUUCAUGGAGUGCUAGUGACGAUUACAUCUGAUAGUGACCCGAAGUUUACGGCAGCCUUUUGGAAAAUUUUACUGACUACCUUAGGAACAAAGCUGUAGUACGGUACGACCUAUCAUCCGCAGACAGAUGGCCAGUCUAAGAGGACAAUUUAGACCCUCGAAGAUAUGUUGAGAGCUUGCAUGCUAGACUUCAAAGGAAGCUAGAAGGAACGGCUUCAUCUCGUCGAGUUUGCCUACAACAACAGUUAUCAGCAGAGUAUUUAGAUAGCACCUUUUGAGGCGUUGUAUGGCAAAGUGUGCAAAACUCUAGAGCGGAAGAUUAUAGACCCAAAGUUGGUUUAACAGUCAGUAGAUGCAGUUACAGUUAUUAGAGACAGAUUAAAGACAGCUCAGAGUCGCCAGAAAAGCUAUGCCUAUAAGCGUCGAAGACCAUUGGAAUUCCAAGUUGAUGAACACGUCUUUUUGAAAGUGUCACCAAUAAGGGGUACUCCGGCAAGAAAAGGAAGUUGAGUCCGAGGUACGUAGGUCUCUUUGAGAUUCUGGAGAGAAUAAGGACUCUGACAUAUCGUCUUGCAUUGUCGUCGAGACUGGCGCAAGUGCAUGAUGUCUUCUACGUGUCGAUGUUAAGAAAGUAUGAGCCUGACCCAACCCACGUGCUGAAUUUUGAAGAAUUAGACGUGGAUGACAAAGUGUCAUACGCGGAGAGAGUAGUUCAAAUUAUGGAUCGGAAGGAGCAGGUUCUGCGCACCAAGACGAUCCCAUUAGUUAAAGAGGUCUAGCAACACCAUGGGACAGAAGGAGCAACCUGGGAAAGUGAAGACUCGAUGAGACGACGAUACUCUAACCUUUUUGUUUAAGAUUUGUAAUGGUUUAAAUUUCGAGGACGAAAUUUUUAUAAAAGGGGAAGAAUUGUGAUAUCCUGAUUUUCAGCCCUAUCUUUGAUGAAAAGAAAUGGGCUUUUCAUUGACACGCCUAUGACAUUUUUCUCUAAGUUGGCCACUCACGAGAUAACUAAUCUAUCAGGUGAAGCCUUAAGGAAUCUAAACGCAAUAGACUUGAGAAUUCGAUAAGAAAUCGACUGCUUGACCGUGCUAAUCUGUAAGGGUCAAUACAUCACCGUCAAAAUCGACCAGAGAUCAAAGAUAGGUCGUUUCAAUCGAGACAUGUAAUUGAAGUGUAGGUGAUUCCACCUAAUUGCAAAAUUCUUGUCGAAUGGCGCUACACCGAUUUUUCUAUUAUUUAUGUACCCUGUGCCCGUAUUUAAAAUCUCAAGAUUUUCACGACAACCGAGAGUCACUUAUGAGUCGAAUAUGUACAAUGUGGCUUGAAAAUAAUCGAUCACGGGUCAAAUGCACUAAAAAUUCCUAAAAGCUACCCGGUAGGUUAGGUCACGCUAAAAUCACGCAUAGUUAAAAUUAACUGCGAAAUUGAACCUGAUUUCAGAAAUUGAAAGUUCUGUCAUGUCACAAUUUAUUUUAGAAAUGUCGUCUCAUCCUUCGAAGAAUUUUUAGUGAGUCCGGAUUUUCGGCGAAAAAUCAAAAUUGGACAAUAUCGGACCGAGAAAUUAAGAGAGCCGUUUUUGUGUGGAUUUUUGGCGUUUGAGAUGGAUCAACUAGCAAGGAAAAUUUUGGAAAGUAGUGUGGGUAUCCUCCUUGGUAAGUUGGCCAUUAAUAGUCCAAUUGGAGAGGAUUUGAAUUGAAAUUGAAGAGGGAUGCACAAAAUUCGUAGCCAUGGGUGGUGUGCAACAUUUGGACCACCUUUGGUGGCUUCUUGGGGAAGUUUGAUGAAGGAAAAUGGGCUGGGGAUAGGGCUGAAGGUGGUGGGGGUAGCCACUUGAGUUCUUGGGAUAUUUGUGAAGACUUUUGAGGCUUUGUGGUCCCCCUCUAGUUACAGUAGCUCUUCUUCUUCCUCCUUGUGUCCCUUGAUCUCCAUCGUUGCUGUUUUGAGAGCCAAAGACCAGCAGAGGAUUAGCCAAGACUAGCCCGCACCCCCUUAUAGUCGCCACACACCGUCCAAGCGUCGCCCAAGCCCGCCAAAGCCAUUGACCGCGCCCGCGAGCUCGUCCGCACGUCCUCACAUCCUGCACGUCCAGGCUAUCAUUUGCCAUUCACCUGGCUACUGUCCGAAGCCGUCAAGCCGCCUCCGUCACCAUCCCGAAGCCCCUGAUGCAGGCUGGUCCCGCCGUCGUCGCCUGGCCACCCAGCUCCAUCCGCCAAGCCGUCGACCAGCUCUUUCGGCCAGCAAGCAAAACUGAAGCUUCAGCUUCCGGCUGAGACUUCAUGGGCCUUUUUCGGGCCUUUUAGGACCUCGUUGGGUGUCGUCGUAGGCUUGAGUCUCACUCACCUCUGCGUUGCCGUAAACUCACCGGCUCUCUAAUUCGGUGAGUUUACUUGCUAAACCUUAUUUAUUGGGUUAAUUAUGCUUAUGUGAUAAUUAGAUUAGACUAAGCUUGGUUUAGGUUGUUAAUUUAGUUUAAUUAGUGAUUUAGUUUGUUAAUUAGGCUUAUUAGGUGGUUAGAUUAGAUUAGUUAAGAGUUAAUUAGAUUGUAUUAUUUCACUAGUAUAGUGCAUUAUUUUUUUAGAUCCAAUUAGGUGGUUAGAUUAGCAUGUUUACCUUAAUUAGGUAUUUAUUAAAUUAAUUUGCAUUUAUUUAUUUAAUUUUGUAAUUUAUUUAAUUAUUUAAUAUUUUUCGAAAAUUAUAUUGGGAUAGCCGGUCGCCGGAAUGUUGUGUCGAUUGUCGUGGUGUAAUUAAUUUAUGCAAUUGAAUAAUAAUUUGUGCAAUUGUGUGGUGAUUGUGAUUUUUGAUUAAUUAUUUCAAUAUUGUGAAAUUUUUGUAUUUAAUUAGAAAAUACCGGGUGUUGGGUUUUGAUACCCGAAAAUGUUUUUAAGUACUAUAUUAAACAAUAUGACUUUUAAAAUGAAGAAUAUCAAUUUUUAAGGUUCGAUCUGACCGUGUACCCACAUACGAUUAUUUUACCAAGUGUUUUUAAUAUGAAGAAAAUAGGCCAAGUUCAUUAUUUUAAUUGAGACAUUUGAGUGCAAAGCACAAUGUCCUUGGCUAAGAUUGGAUAUAUAUGGAAUCACUAUGAGAACCCAUCAUGAGCUUUUGAGUUGGACGAUGCUCCUUUGGGAAUGCCCCAAGUCAACGGUUGCCAGUCGCAGUGGAGGCUGAAUUGAUGCUCCCAUAUGGAAUGCCGUCUAGAUAUAGACGUUGCUGUGCUCGAUGGUGCGAGAUGAAGACCGCUGACUGUUGAGUCGACCGUGACUGUUGGGUCGUAAUCAAUUGGGACGCAUGGAUGAUUGAAAUUAACGCUCCUAAUUAUGAAACAAAAUUGUGUGGCACGAAAUAGGACGUGUCAUAACAAUUUUGCCCUAUAAUCGAGACCCAUGUGAUUGAUUGAGAUAUGAGUAAGACGUUCGAAUUGAUGGGUCCAUUUAUUAUAUGCAUCCGGUAUAUGAAUUGUACUGACAUGCAAGGAGGUGGUGAGGCGAGGUGAGUCUUUAGGAUGUGUGAUUAGACUACCUCUAGGCGUAUUUCCUUCAUAAUCAAGGUUUAGGACGUGAACUCACUGAGAUAUUGUUUCACUCUGUCAUGGGUUUCAUCUUUUACAAGUCCUUAAAUGGAGGAGCGUCACGUGCGGUAUAGGGUUCCGCAGAUGAUGGAUUUUGAGCAUACUUUCAUUCCUAUUCCUGAGACUACCUUGACUUGGGAGUUAGUUGAGUCCGUGGUAUGGGUCGAUGAGGGCUUGCCUCAAUUGGUACCUCACCGAUUCAUAGCAUGGUUCAUUGACUUCCAUCGAGGUGGUUGGGAGGGUCCCUUACGGGGUUUCGAUGGGCCUCCCGUCAAGACUGGGGAGUGGGAGGUAGUGCAUGCUAUGGAUCUCAACACUCCUUAUGGUGUCGUGAUAGAUUCGGAGCCCCCGGAGGCCAUGGAUGAGGAGCCUAGUGACUAGAUGGUUUAGUGGCUCUUCUUUUUGGAGUGGACUCUUGUGUAUAGACUAGUUGUGUAUAAACUUAGUGUGUUUAUAUAAGUGUGUUUGGUUUGAUUUGGUUGUCUUGCUUUUCUAUCCCAUGUUGUUGUUGUUUGGGGAUUGUUUAUUUGCUUCUGCUUGUGCAUUAAAUGAAUGGGUCGGCGACGCGUCCUGGGACAUCACAGUUCUAUCGACCAUCGAGGGAUGCGCGCGUGUUCGAGGCUUAGGGCCUGACAAUAGCCAACUUGCUUGAAAGGAAUCAAGCAUUGUGCGGGUCAAGCUAAUCGAGGUGCCACAAGGUCGACGUGAGAUGACUUCUAGCUGAAAUCGAGGCUCAAAGGGCAAAGUAUAGAUGUUAAAAGGAGGAGUUCGCACAAGUGAAGAAAGAAAAUAUGAUAUAUUAAUUUAGUUGUUCUAUGUUGUGUCAUUGUGCUAGUUGUGUCUAAUGCGAGAUUUGAUAGGAAGUUUCUAAGCCUUCCAUAGUUUAUUGAGGUGAGUGUGCACAUUUGUAUUAGGUUGAAAUACUGAAAGUCCUACUUCCCUCAUCUUCAGUACACUUGUUGCCGCUUCAUGCUUCAAAGUUGCUUUACUACUUAAAAAAUAGAUAUUCUAAUGGAAACUUGUUGGUUGUUUGGCAAUCUGACAGAAAGCUUUCAUCGUUCUUACCAUUCUUAUUGGAGAACUUUUGAUUCAUUCUCAUUCUGUUACGAAAAAUCUAGUGAACUUAAUAGCUUUGGCCUCAUAUGUAGUCCAAUAUAUCCAUGAAUUGCCUGCUAGUCACCUGGUGUAAUUGGCACAUGCUAAUUUGGAUAGGUGCCCUAGAAGCGAGACAAUGAAAUGACAACGCCCUCGAGCAGGGAACAUUCCACCAUAAACAGUGAUUAAAAAUUUGACCCUAAAUGGUCAGAGCAUGAGGAAUGAAAUGAUCUCAUUGUUUACUUUUCCUCAGCCCAAUGGUUUAUCAGAGGUUUAAAUACUUGUGUACUUCUAGGAUAAAGACACUAACAUGUGAUUAUCAAUAACACUAAAAUAUCUCCGCAGAUUUGCCGACCGGUGGGAAAUACUCGUUCUUGUGCUGAAUAUAUUAGUUUCUUUCAACUCUUAUUGAAAUCAUUGAACGGGUGGACAUGUACAGCUUGGGAUUCUGCUUUGCUUUUGUAGGGUCCCUUGGCUCGGAAUCAUGGUCGUCGGUUUCCCAUCACUUUUGGGUGUGUGUCAGUCACAGGCCCUCAUCCACAUUAGAAAGCAAUUUCCAUAAUGCUAUGCCAUUUUGUAGGUCCAAUUCAAUGUAUCAAGUCACAUAUGCAAGCCGCCUUUGGGCUUUUUAGGUAGGUCCCAGUAUUUUUUUACCAGCCUCAUCGAUCAUAAUGCCGAAAUUUCGGGCGAUUGAUUCAGAUAUAGAAGUGUUCCUACUUGAAUGUCAAGUCUUUUAGAAGUCCGUGAUAUGUAUAAAGCAUGUCAUGAAUCAAAUAAAGAUGCGGAUUCAAAAUCUCAAAAAUUCGUUUGACCAUGAGUUUUUUCACACCAGAUGAUAUAAAUGACUGAAUGCAACCAAAACCCAAUAUGACUAUUUCAAGUUCAGCACUCUCAAAGCAUAAAUUAGAUGUACAAAAACCACUGGAAAUUUGAGAGAAACCCUUUUUCUCAAGACCAAUUUCUCUCAACACAGACAUGAAUUACGUCCAAUACAAAAAGCCACACCAACUGCCAAUGCAAUAACCAAAAGCAAAUCGUAGUGAAAGAACUAGCUGUACUCGGACACAAGCAGUGGCGUCCUGACGAGACGUGAUGUCGUGCCUCAUCUGCUUCACCAUCGCCUGUCUCUUGUUCCUCAGCAGCUUUAUAAUCACGAAAACCCCUCACCUCUUAUUUGCUAUUACCAGAACAUAGAGAAGAAAAAGCCCCCAAGUAAACCAUUUUCAAGUGGGGAAUUUCAUGUUGCGCACCUCACGAAUAGUGGCCAAGCUUUUGGUCUUUUCCUCCAUCUUCUUUGUCUUGAUCUCCUCCUCCUUGGCCCUGAAAGUGGACAGAGCCGACCUCGACAUCUCCUCGUCCUCUCUCAACAGCGACAUGCUGCUGCGGAAGCUCAAGCUCCCCGACGAGUUCUGCAGGAUCAGCUGCUGCUGCUGCUGCUGUUGUGCCGCCCUCUGCAUGCCCAACCAUCAAUCGGUCUGUUGAUGCAGCCACGCACACUCUUCCUCCUGCAAAAAUCGGAGACAUUAACAAACCCAUGGCAUCGUAUAUCACCAUUUUUGCGGCCUCACCAGAGGAAGGACACCUAAUUGCCACAUGUUGGCCCUACUCAAAUUUGAUUUGACAAAGAACUGACUAGACCAUUUUUAAGACUCAUAAACAAACACAUUUUAUCCAAGUUUUCAUUUCAUUGCCCGAAGGGCUCCAAACAACAAAUUUGGCAACAUGAAAAAAGAAAAACAAAUACCGUCUUCCCUAAGUCGCCAUCUAAUGCUGAUUAUUGUAACACUGAAAACGUGCCUUUUUCACCCAUAGCACAAAUGGUCCUGUACCGGUAAAAGCUUCAACACCUCAAACCAGAUUGUCCUUGAAAAUCGGCACUCCAAAAAUAGAUAGCACUUUGGAUCGUCAAAUUAUGUAGGCCAGUUCAAGCUCUAAAUUGAAAAUAUCCCAAAUACAAUAUUAAAGAAAUCACACAUUCAUUGGAUAUUCAUUGGACAUUUGGAGAUUCUGAGUGAACAAAUAGCGCUUUAAGCAAAGAUCACACAUUUAUUUUGACUCCCCAAUCCAAAAGAUGGAUUCAUAAUAAUUUGAAAUUGACUUUUCAGAAAAUUUCGAAGGGGCGGCAUGCAUGAUAAUCAAGCCAAGUCCCCAAUUAUUUUUUAGCAUGUUUCCAAAGCAGAGAACCGCAAAAUUGAGCAUUAAAUAUAGUUGCUCCGGCCUUAAUUAAUCCAAACAACAUCAUGUGAACAAUCCGUGCCUUUUUUUUUUUGGACGAUCCUAUCUUUUAUUUUGCUAAGACUAGUAAGAUCGCAAGAACUUCCUGUGUAUGUGCAUAUACUCAUUGACAUCACUCCCAAAUUUCAGACCUAUUCAAUCCGCAAGGGCAAACACCUCAAAUGAGUUCCCAUACCUCCAUCGGAAUGAAAGCAAAGUACAAGAAAAGGGAUUAAGCUCGAUGCAGUGGCUUUUAACACCUUCGUUCACACCGUCUGGCUCGAACGAAGAGGACCUGACGUCGCCGUCGACCUCAAGCUCUUGCACGAGGACUUGACGUCGUCGCAUUCAAUGGAGAAGAAAAAGGAGACUCAGACGAAGAACAGGAGGAUCGAUGAAUGAGAAGCGGACUCCACGAACAAGAAGCACGCUAUGGACGAGAAAGACAGAUGAAGAAGUGAGGAGAACUUGGGAAGAAAACUCAAUUAGGGCUUGGAAAUUUGGGGUGAACCUUAAAAGGACAGAUGUUUUCGCACGCAAACCUUUCCUUUUAAGUUUUAUGCCACAUAGAAGAGAGAAAUGAAUAAAAAAUGCAUAGACAGCAUUUUUCGUUAAUCAAAUUAGAUGAAAUUAAUGGAGGAAUUUGAUCGUACUUUAACAAGUUUUAUGACUCGAUUGCAAUUUUUAUAAAUCUUAAGACUAUUGCAUUUAUCCCUUUAAUGUUCUAUCUUCAUUGUAAAUAUCACAAAUCACGAAAGUCAUUGUCAUAGUACUGAUUGGUAUUAAGUAAGAAAUGGAAAAAAAAAAAAAGUUGCAGUAUAUUAGUUGAAAAGAUGCUAAGUAAAACCAUUUGUUUCUUAUAAAAUGAGAAUUUUUUUUAAAUAAUAAGCUCUAAGCUAUUCUCUCUCUCUCUCUCUCUCUCUCUAUAUUUCCUACAAUAUGAAGUGUUUCUAAAUAUUUGUGAUAAAAACUAAACUUCUCUAACUGCAACUACGUAACUUUCUCAUUCUCAUAUACAGAAAAAGAAGAAAAAAGAUGGAGAGAGAGAGUAUCGCAUGCGUCUACUGGUUUUUAAAGUAAGUGAGACCGAGUUUAAUUCAUGUUUGUAUGAUUGUUUUUUGAUUUUCCACAAUUAUUAUAAAUCUGCCUAUAGUUGUUCAUGUUUGUGGAUGGUUUUUCUGACUCACCUUAUAACGCUUGAAACUCUGGACGGAGCCUGUGAAUUCUUGCUUAACCCCAAGUAAUUUCGGGCAAUGGUAGAUAGAUAAACGGCAAUCAUUUGGCAAUUCGGUGGUUGAUACAUCAAUCAGACUUUCCAAUGAUCUGCAGUCAAUAAGUUUCAAUUCGUUCAAAAACUUUAACUUGUCAAGGCCCUCGACAAUCCGUAGCUCUGGGCUGGAAAAUAUUUUCAAAGACUUGAGGUUCUUUAAGUUUGACAAACCACCAAGACUUUGCAAAUGAUCACCAGAAAGUACCAAGUCUUCCAACGAUUCUGACAUACCAACAACUAGAAUGCUGAGUAUCUUAUCGCAAUUCUGUAGCAAGAGACGCCGCAACUUAUUGAAGACUUUCGAUUCAAGGAUCAGUGAAGAUUCAUGAGAAGAUUCUGAAUGUAUGUUGACGUACACGAACCUUCUGAAAGACUUACACUCACUGAUAUCCAAUUUUUUCAACGAUUCCAGCACCCCAGCAAUGUGGACCUCAUCUAAUUUUGGGCAGCCACUCACGCUGACCUCUUUUAGCUUCGUCAUGCUGGAUAGCAUGAAUCUCUCAAGGGGUUCACCUCCAUUAAUAUAAAGCUUCGUUAAAUCUGGAAGCUGAAGCCCAUCAAGUAUAAUCUCUUGCAUUUGAGAGCGAACGAGCCUUAAAUCCGACAAAUUCUUUAGGGUGGAGGAGAGAAAAGCGAUUGAAUUGAAAUUCUGAACAAUUAGAGUAGAGGGAACUUGCUCUAGGGGUUGCUGGUUCAAUCCAUACCACCGGAGUUCGUUAAUCUGAGGAAGGGAAGCCAACUCAGUGGAAGCAGGGACAUGGAGGAGACACAAGUUUAACAUUUCUGACCUCCCAUUCCCCCUCCAGUCACCAGUAUGAAUUCUAUCUCGUCCGUCAAUUUUGGAGCCAUUCUUUAGUCUCCAUUCAAUCAAAUCAGCCAAAUCAGAGUUUUCUUGGAAAACUGGAUCGAUGUCUCUGAAAACUGGCCAGACACUUUUGUAAAUUGGCAAAAGCUGCAAUGACUUAGAUGACACUAAUAAAUAGGUUAAACUUGUUGGGAGUGCUGGCAACUCUUGGAUUUCAUCACGCCCUUUUAACACCAGUUUUUGAAGCCGCUGAAGCAAACCAAUUUCAGAAGGAAGUGGACUUUUAGAAUUUCCUUUAAACAGAUGCAAUUUUAGAAUCUCAAACUUUCCGAUAGCACCUGGUAACUCCACUGGACCUAGAAUUGAAAGCUGCGACUCCCGUAAUGAUUUCCACUUAAAUAUGGAAUCUGGUAAUCCCCUUAUUUGACAACAAUCCCAUAAAGAGAAGUGCUCUAGAUCCCGUAGGUCCCCGAUUUUUUCAGUUAAACCUUCAAACCAAUGGCCAAAAUCAAACUUUAAGUAUUUCAGACGCUCUAACUUCCCAAUAGAGCCAUCAAUCUCUGUUAAACUGUCGCACUUCCUAAAAGUCAGCCUCUCCAAAGUUGAGCAUUCAGAUAAGUCUGGUGUUCUAGUUAUGCCAUGACAAUUAUCAAGCCUAAGAACUUUCAAUUUUCUUGCCUCCUGUAAAAAGUGAAUGCAUUAUCCAAUGGAGGAACAGUUCAAAUGUUGCUUUCAAGGAUAAAGAACAGAAAUAAGCAUAUGACGCACCUUUAUUAAGUUCCAUAAUUUCAGAUCAUCCAUACCAGCAAUGAAGGAAAAUUGAAGGACAACUACAUUCUUUAAGCACAUAUUGGUCAGCUCACACUCUAAAUCAGGAGCUUCCCAAUAAAUCCAUCUUAAAUUGGGAAAACAAUCCAUUAGAUCACCAACAAAGGUUCCUCCGCAAAGUUUAAGGAACCUUAGCUUUUUAAACCUUCCAAUCUCUUCACUUUUGAUAGAUACUCCUUUAUGACACAAGUUUAGUUCCAUUGCUUCAACGUUAUUCAUCUGCAAAUGAGAGCAAGAAACAAGUAGUAUUUAGCAUUCUAUUUUAUCAAGGAAAAGUAUUAAAACCAAGAAGAAAAAAGAGAAUCCAUCUGUUCUCUCAUAAGUGUUCCACCUCCUUUGUCUUUAUUGCAUCGAGGACUUCAUCCUCAAUCCAUAACCUACUACGCUGUUCAGGAUUCAUCAGACUUUCGUUACGAACAAUUCCCUUUCCGAAAUCUCUUAGCUGAUCGUGCAUCAAAAAUUGAUUGCCCUCUCCAAUCUUUAUCAAGGACUUGUUUUUGAGCACCUCAAUUCCAGAAAGUGGGAAAAGUCCACAAUCCUCCCACAUGUAAAUUGCGUUUGUCUUUUCCUCACCAAUGAAAAAGCAUGCAAUAUCCAGAAAAUUUUUUUGUUGCUCAGAACUCAAUGCAUCAUAGCUAACUUUCAACACUUCGAAAACACCUUGUGGAGGUAAUUUGCGUAACUCGUCCAAUUUUUCUUUCCAUAGUUCUUGUGUUUUAUAUUUCAGCAAUGAACCAACUACUGCAAUAGUCAAAGGAAGUCUUCCGCUAGCUUUUACAAUUUCCUUUGCAAUAGCAUAGUGAUCAUUUGAAGGAGAGUCCUUCUCAAACGCAUGUCUGUAGAGGAGCUCAAGCGCAUCAUCACCACUCAUCACCUUCAUUUCAUAAGGUAACACUUCGUACUUUGGUCUAGUGCUUUGCAAAAUAUCCUCAUUUCUAGUAGUAAUUAGUAUUCUAGACCCUGAACACAAAGCACCAUUUCCAACUAAUUUUUCCACUUGCUCAUUGUUAUCCACAUCAUCCAGCACAAUGAGGACCUUCUUAUUGCGAAGUGUUCCUUCGAUCCUCUUCAUUAGAUGUUCAGUUUCAUCGAUGCUUCCUAAUCCUAUGGCAUUUCCUAUUUCAGAUAAUAAUUUCCUUUGCAAUUUAACCAAACCAUCAGUUCUUGAUGAAUUUUCUCUAACAUUUUCAAGGAAGCAGCAACACUUUCCAAAGUGGGUAGAAAGUUCAUUGAACACGACCUUGGCAAGAGUCGUUUUACCGAUACCCCCCAUGCCAUGAAUUUGAAUGAGCCGCACACCUCCAGAGUGUAUGUCUAACAAAUUUCUUACUUCCACCACUCGAUCAUCAAUUCCAAUUAAAUGUUCAGUCACAGACUUUUGCUUUAUCUUCAACUUAAUUACAACCUCCUCGACGACCAACUUGAUUAGGUCAGCUUGGCUGUCAUGAAGGAAAACCAANNNNNNNNNNNNNNNNNNNNNNNNNNNNNNNNNNNNNNNNNNNNNNNNNNNNNNNNNNNNNNNNNNNNNNNNNNNNNNNNNNNNNNNNNNNNNNNNNNNNUGGGCGUUUCAUGCACAAUGAUAGGGUGCCAUGUGUCGCAUGUGGUCAUACCACCCGAAAAUUGACUUGAUCCCAACGUGAUGAGCAAUUUUCAAAUUCUGUUAAUCUAGUUUGUGCAAGAUAAAUGUACAACUAUUUAUGCAUCACGAAUUAGCAUAUUAUCAGUUAUAUUCAUGGGACAGUGGGACAUUAUAUGUUCAAGAGUAGAAAUAUUUGAUGUAAUAAUUGAAAGAUCAAAUUAUUAGACAGACGAGCAUGGUACUCAAUUAUUCCACUUCAUCACCUAUUAUAUAUAAUGCCUUUUCUCCAGCAGUUCCACUUUUUUUUUUUUUUUACACACAUGUACCAUUUAGUAUCGCUAGGGGAAGUUCCACCUCAAUUGUGGUGAUAUAUCUACAUUAUUAAGUUUUGAGUAAAAGUUCUAGAAGAAUUAGAAUUUCACUAAGAGUUGCUUACUAAGUGACAGAGGUGAAAAAUGAAACAAAAUUUAUAUAGACCAUCAACAAAAGGAAAAGAAUGAGCGUUCGUUUCUAUUUUCAGUUCUUCAUUAAAAAUAGACAUAUGAUAGCGCCUCUAGUGAAAUCAAGAACACUAUCAAUUUUAGUAGCUCUAGCGUGAAUUUUUAUGUUUUAGAAUUCUCUCCUCCUACCCGCAUCUAAUAUGUUCCUUCUAUCUGUGAAUUAUUUACUCAGUUUUAGCAAACAGGAAAAAAUAUUAGGGAAAAAGACGGAUCUUGGAAUGCAGCAUGCUCACCGAUCGCAUUUCUUGACUUCCCAUCCCUUUAUUGCAUCAACCUCCAUCAAAGCCUUUCUCCAGGAAUCUACUUCUUCAAUGCUCAAGUUAUCCUCGCCUUGCAAAAUGAGAAUGGCAUCGCGAUACAACCGGGUUUUCAUCUUAACAUCUUUAGGUUCCACAUCAAAGAAAAUAGGUAGGAUCUCUUUAUUCCCAUUUGACUUGGAGGUGUUCUCCAUAAUUUGCGUGAGUUCACGGAGACACCAUUUGCUCGAAGCGUAGGUUGGAGAGAAGAUGGGGAUGUAGAUCCUAGAGUUGUCAAUUGCUCUAUGGAGCGCUCCAUCGAUUCUUUCACCAACAUGGAGCUUUUCACUGUCUCGAAAGACGUGGAUACCAGUAUCGGUCAAGCUGUGGUAGAGGAAGUCGGUAAAUCCAUUACGAGUGUCAGGUCCUCUGAAGUUCAAGAACACUUGAUGCUCACAUUCUGAUGAUGCUUCUGCCUCUGAGUCUCCAUUUUAACUUUAGCUUUAGUAGCUCUNNNNNNNNNNNNNNNNNNNNNNNNNNNNNNNNNNNNNNNNNNNNNNNNNNNNNNNNNNNNNNNNNNNNNNNNNNNNNNNNNNNNNNNNNNNNNNNNNNNNNNNNNNNNNNNNNNNNNNNNNNNNNNNNNNNNNNNNNNNNNNNNNNNNNNNNNNNNNNNNNNNNNNNNNNNNNNNNNNNNNNNNNNNNNNNNNNNNNNNNNNNNNNNNNNNNNNNNNNNNNNNNNNNNNNNNNNNNNNNNNNNNNNNNNNNNNNNNNNNNNNNNNGACUUUUUGAAAAGAUUGCAUAUGUGAGAGAUUAUUUGAUAGGUGUGUUAUAUGCAUUUUCUAAGCAAAGAAUAUACCUUUCUUCAAUCUUGCCAAUUUUAAAAACACUACUAUGGACCUUAAAAAAAAAAAUUAUAAAAAACACUAUUCGAAUUUUUUAAAGAUUGUGAAACCUUAUAUGUGAAUCUAGGAAACUGGAAAAGACCGACAAUCAACAAACUUAAGAAAACCAAAAAUUCAAAAAGUAAAAAAGAAAAGUCAAUUCAAACUUACAUAAACAUAUAUAAUAACUAGUAUUAUAAAAUAAAAUACUAAAUCACGGAUUCUUCUAAAAACUUAAAUUUUUGGAACGGUUUGACAUUAGCCCGCAAUCUUUUCACAAAUCCACUUGUCCAUUCUUGUUAAGAAGCUGAUCGAGGAGACUUUAGGUCCAAUUACACAGGAAGGAACACAACAAAAUACAAAUGGGGAUUUUAGUCCCCGACGACCAGAUCCAGCCUCGAUUGUGGACAACGCACUCAUUCUGAGCAAGUAUUUCAUCAAACCGAAUUCUUCAGGGCAAAAUCCAGAAUAAGUCGAAGAGAAUCGUACCGUCUUCGUCGUCGCUGCUGCUGGAAAAGGGCUUCGUGAAGAUGAAUAUCGACGGCUCCCGGUACUGGCGAGCCAAUUCGCCGGAGGGGUCGGUUGCCGGAGUCGCUCGGGACGACCAGGGGACGUUGAUCCCUGGGUUUGCGACGAAGGUCGUCGCCUCAUCCUGCUCUGCACACGGAAAAUCCGCUUGUCCAUUCUUGUUAAGAAGCUGAUCGAGAAGACUUUUGGUUCAAUCACACAGGAAGGAACGCAACAAAAUACAAAUGGGUAUUUCAAUCCCCGACGACCAGAUCCGGCCUCGAUUGUGGACAACGCACUCAUUCUGAGCAAGGAUUUCGUCAAGCCGAACGCUUCAGGGCAAAUCCAGAAUAAGUCAGAAAUGAAUUGGACAGUGUUCGCGGUCGCUGCCGGGAAAGGGCUUGGUGAAGAUGAAUAUCGAUGGCUCCUGGUACUGGCUACCCGAUUCGUCUGAGGGGUCGGUUGUGUGGCCUCCUCUGCUCUGCACACGGAAAAGCCAGCCCCCAAACAAGUGUUUGUCAGUGACUGCGCGAGGAAAGGAAGCUCGAAGACGUUUCAAGUCUUCCUAGUGAUCUGAGCGUGACUUUAAGCUGAUAUGUACAAUGCAUGUCAGACUCGUUUCUAAGUCCAUGGGCCCUCCGGUGUUCAUUUCAGGAAUCAAAAGGAGUUUCAAUUUUGCAUGAUUAUGUUUUAGGAUAAAAGUUGCAAAAAAUUCUAAACCAUGCCUAGUUCGAUAUAUUUAUUUAUCUUAAAUUUUUUAUGAUAUCAAAAAUUUCAAAUUUGUAUUUAUUUGACACAUUAUAUUUAUCCCAAAUUUCUUCUUGUGACAUUAAAAAUUUCAANNNNNNNNNNNNNNNNNNNNNNNNNNNNNNNNNNNNNNNNNNNNNNNNNNNNNNNNNNNNNNNNNNNNNNNNNNNNNNNNNNNNNNNNNNNNNNNNNNNNNNNNNNNNNNNNNNNNNNNNNNNUAUCUGUAAAAUUUCUAUACAUAGAGUGGCUUGCUUGAUGUGUCAACCGUUAUCAGGUACAGUACUUCGAUGCGAACCUGAGAAGAACAAUAAUGCACUGGAAAAGGGUGAAAGGAAACAGCAAGGAAACCCUCGCAUGUCCAUACUUUAUGGAAGCGAAGCAAAGCAAUAGUCGACAAAAAGUUGAAGAGAGGCAUGAAGUUUCUAAAAAUGCCAAACAACUUUAUAGAAACUAGGUCGCAAGGUGCCCUUGCUUUUCCUAAAAUAAAUAAAUAAAAAUAAAAACCAACCUGCCUUUUGAGGCAAGCACAUUAAAAUUCUCUAUGGAGGCUUGUUCCAUUUUUCAAUUCUAACCAUUAGAAAGGACAUCCGAAAAACACAUACAUAAUUCAAGGAGGUGGCUUAUAUUUUGCAGCGUGCAUGCAUAUAAUUUAGGCAAUGGGAUUAUAUCGCGAAUCAUGAAAUUGAUUGGAUACUCUUAAAUACUCAAUACCCGAUAUCAACAGGAAACAACAUACAACAUAUUUUCUAUAUAUCUCCACGCGUGCAAAGAAUUUUGAUUCAAGUUUAGCUCCCUACAUUUUCUAGCACAAGUUGAUCUCUUUGAAAGGGAUUAAAAUGAUGAUGAUAUAUGUGCAAACACUUCAGAAUCUUCAAAAAGAGAGGAAGAAAGAAAAUAGUCAAAGGCUAUAUCUUAAGAAGGAACAAGCUCAUCUUGUGAUUACUCCCUUUAGUCGAUCUACAUCUCUGAUUGGAGGUAAAAUCUCUCAUUUUCCAUAAGCUUAUUGAAUCGACACAUCAUUCUAAAAAAUCAAGCUAUCUGAUUCAAUAUUUUACAGGUUCGUGCCAACUACAAUGUUAUAGGAGGAUGAAUGACAAAAAUAAAUGAAGUGCAGGCUCUGCUGAUGUCAUGACGAUUGUAAGUGGGGGUAUUUCCGCUGUUUUCAAACUCUCAAGCAACCUCAUUGGCGGUUCCACACCCUACGAAUUUCUUUUUUCUUCAGUUUUUGUUUCCUUUUGUUUAGGUUUUCCCUGAUUUUUAAAAUAAUUUCUUUGGUCUUUCUUCGCCUCAUUAGCACCAAUAUAGAAAGAAAUUACAAAGCACCACGUCCAAUUUUGGAAUCUACGUUAGCAAAUCUGGUUAUGAGUUUGUCGGAAGGAUUAAAUUGCAGCCAACAAAAAAACGUUUAGGACUUGAUUGCAUAUUUGGCCAAACAUUAUGGACUUUUUGGUGUAAGUUUCAUUUAUAAGUACCUAAAAUGAGAUCAGCAUAGUGGAUAACAAAUAUUCUUAUAAGAUAAUAACAAAUAAGGGUUACUCAAAUAAAAAUUCAUAGUUUGAUUCCCAUCCUACAUUGAUCUCUCCCACCGACUAGAACUUUGCUAUUGACGGGUUUUCCAAUGCAUCUCUUACCUUGAUUUGGCCUAUCCUUCCACAGCUGUAGAAUAAACUUGUAGAUUAGCAGCAAAAAUAGCAUUUGGUUGUGAUGACAGAUUUCGCGCCGACAAGCGCAAGAAAGGGAAAACGCGUGGAGUGGGGUCGCUACGUUCCCAGCCAUGCCGUGUAAUGAACACAUGAAGUUUCAACUCUAUAUCCUUGUGAAAUCCCCCGUGUAAAGGCAAGAAAAAUUGAAAACAUGUGGCACGACUCUAUUAUAUGUUGGCAAAAGCAAAAGGGGAGAGACUCAUGCAUGAUUGUUAUCUCUUUCAUAUUUUUUCCACAACUUUGUGUUUGUCUUUUUGACAAUUCGACUCAAUCAUGAAUAAGUCGAUAAAGGAUACAUAAAAGACAAAGAGAGGAAAGAGACUUAGAGGAUAGGAGACUUUUGCAAAUGGGGUCGAAAUUUUUUUAGGCUUCUUCAUUGAUGGGAUGUUAAGUUGAAAAUGAGAGAAACUGAGUUGGCAGGUACCUAUGCCUAUCCUUAAAGAAAAACAAUUAAAGUAACUUUUGGGUCAAGCACAUAAAAUCCUUUGGUGGGUUGUCAGGUAUCCUCAAAACACAAACAUAAUCGUUGAGAGGUGCCACAAAAGUAAUGUAAGGGACUGUAUCACGACUCAUUGAAUUGGUUAAAUGCAUAGAGAAUUAAAUAUUCAAAAAAAAAAAACUUCUUUUUGUAUAUCUUCGUGUGGGUGUAUAAUUUGCUUUAUGUUUAGCUCUCUCCAUUUUCCAAUAUAAGCUAAGCCAAAUAAUCAUAAAAUAUUAAUGAAAUAUAUAACUUAUAGUUUAAUAUAGCUAAGCCUCACAAUAAAGGAAAUAAAAAUGCCUAAGUUAGACAAAAUCAUCAUCCAUUUAAAAAUAGGACUCGCGUGUAAACCAAUUUGGUUGGAAAAUUUCAAUGCUAUAUAAUCAGUUUCUUUUGGCUCUGAUACCAAAUAAUUUGAGAUAAUAAGGAGAAGGGAAGCAAAAGCGGAAAGGGGAUGCCGAGAUCAACAAUCGACAACAAAGAAGAGAAAAAAAUGAUUCGUAAAAUUGAUUGAUGCUCUAAAAAUAUCAUAUACUCAAUAACAAACAACAUAAAACUUAUUUUUGUCUGUUUAUAUAUAUCUCCAUGCUUGCAUAUAAUUUGGUUCAACUUUAGCUCUCUCCAUUUUCCGGUAUAAGUUGAUCUUUUUUUUUUUUUUUGUCGAUCCUCCUCUAUUCUUACUCUAACACUCACUCUCAGACUUUUGUCCUACCUCAUUGCAGGGCGUGGGAGUCGAAACUCAUUCCGGAAACUAAAUCGUCCCCACCCCAACCUCCCCUGAGAAGGUGCGGAUUCGAACUCCCCACCUCCCUCUUCCAACUUGGAAGGGUGACCACUUGGGCAAACCCCAGCAGUUUUAUAAGUUGAUCUAUUUGAAAGGGGAUAAAAUGCCGACUAUAUACGUAUAAAUAUCCCUGGUUAGAGGUAAAAUAUUUCAUUUUUCAUAAGCCCAUUGAAUCGACAUAACAUUCUAAAAAAUCAAACUGUAUGAUUUGAUAUUUUACAGGUUUGUGCUAACUAAAAUGAAUAGGAUGAUGAGGACAAAGAAAAAGAACGCGCUAGCUCUGCUCAUGACANNNNNNNNNNNNNNNNNNNNNNNNNNNNNNNNNNNNNNNNNNNNNNNNNNNNNNNNNNNNNNNNNNNNNNNNNNNNNNNNNNNNNNNNNNNNNNNNNNNNNNNNNNNNNNNNNNNNNNNNNNNNNNNNNNNNNNNNNNNNNNNNNNNNNNNNNNNNNNNNNNNNNNNNNNNNNNNNNNNNNNNNNNNNNNNNNNNNNNNNNNNNNNNNNNNNNNNNNNNNNNNNNNNNNNNNNNNNNNNNNNNNNNNNNNNNNNNNNNNNNNNNNNNNNNNNNNNNNNNNNNNNNNNNNNNNNNNNNNNNNNNNNNNNNNNNNNNNNNNNNNNNNNNNNNNNNNNNNNNNNNNNNNNNNNNNNNNNNNNNNNNNNNNNNNNNNNNNNNNNNNNNNNNNNNNNNNNNNNNNNNNNNNNNNNNNNNNNNNNNNNNNNNNNNNNNNNNNNNNNNNNNNNNNNNNNNNNNNNNNNNNNNNNNNNNNNNNNNNNNNNNNNNNNNNNNNNNNNNNNNNNNNNNNNNNNNNNNNNNNNNNNNNNNNNNNNNNNNNNNNNNNNNNNNNNNNNNNNNNNNNNNNNNNNNNNNNNNNNNNNNNNNNNNNNNNNNNNNNNNNNNNNNNNNNNNNNNNNNNNNNNNNNNNNNNNNNNNNNNNNNNNNNNNNNNNNNNNNNNNNNNNNNNNNNNNNNNNNNNNNNNNNNNNNNNNNNNNNNNNNNNNNNNNNNNNNNNNNNNNNNNNNNNNNNNNNNNNNNNNNNNNNNNNNNNNNNNNNNNNNNNNNNNNNNNNNNNNNNNNNNNNNNNNNNNNNNNNNNNNNNNNNNNNNNNNNNNNNNNNNNNNNNNNNNNNNNNNNNNNNNNNNNNNNNNNNNNNNNNNNNNNNNNNNNNNNNNNNNNNNNNNNNNNNNNNNNNNNNNNNNNNNNNNNNNNNNNNNNNNNNNNNNNNNNNNNNNNNNNNNNNNNNNNNNNNNNNNNNNNNNNNNNNNNNNNNNNNNNNNNNNNNNNNNNNNNNNNNNNNNNNNNNNNNNNNNNNNNNNNNNNNNNNNNNNNNNNNNNNNNNNNNNNNNNNNNNNNNNNNNNNNNNNNNNNNNNNNNNNNNNNNNNNNNNNNNNNNNNNNNNNNNNNNNNNNNNNNNNNNNNNNNNNNNNNNNNNNNNNNNNNNNNNNNNNNNNNNNNNNNNNNNNNNNNNNNNNNNNNNNNNNNNNNNNNNNNNNNNNNNNNNNNNNNNNNNNNNNNNNNNNNNNNNNNNNNNNNNNNNNNNNNNNNNNNNNNNNNNNNNNNNNNNNNNNNNNNNNNNNNNNNNNNNNNNNNNNNNNNNNNNNNNNNNNNNNNNNNNNNNNNNNNNNNNNNNNNNNNNNNNNNNNNNNNNNNNNNNNNNNNNNNNNNNNNNNNNNNNNNNNNNNNNNNNNNNNNNNNNNNNNNNNNNNNNNNNNNNNNNNNNNNNNNNNNNNNNNNNNNNNNNNNNNNNNNNNNNNNNNNNNNNNNNNNNNNNNNNNNNNNNNNNNNNNNNNNNNNNNNNNNNNNNNNNNNNNNNNNNNNNNNNNNNNNNNNNNNNNNNNNNNNNNNNNNNNNNNNNNNNNNNNNNNNNNNNNNNNNNNNNNNNNNNNNNNNNNNNNNNNNNNNNNNNNNNNNNNNNNNNNNNNNNNNNNNNNNNNNNNNNNNNNNNNNNNNNNNNNNNNNNNNNNNNNNNNNNNNNNNNNNNNNNNNNNNNNNNNNNNNNNNNNNNNNNNNNNNNNNNNNNNNNNNNNNNNNNNNNNNNNNNNNNNNNNNNNNNNNNNNNNNNNNNNNNNNNNNNNNNNNNNNNNNNNNNNNNNNNNNNNNNNNNNNNNNNNNNNNNNNNNNNNNNNNNNNNNNNNNNNNNNNNNNNNNNNNNNNNNNNNNNNNNNNNNNNNNNNNNNNNNNNNNNNNNNNNNNNNNNNNNNNNNNNNNNNNNNNNNNNNNNNNNNNNNNNNNNNNNNNNNNNNNNNNNNNNNNNNNNNNNNNNNNNNNNNNNNNNNNNNNNNNNNNNNNNNNNNNNNNNNNNNNNNNNNNNNNNNNNNNNNNNNNNNNNNNNNNNNNNNNNNNNNNNNNNNNNNNNNNNNNNNNNNNNNNNNNNNNNNNNNNNNNNNNNNNNNNNNNNNNNNNNNNNNNNNNNNNNNNNNNNNNNNNNNNNNNNNNNNNNNNNNNNNNNNNNNNNNNNNNNNNNNNNNNNNNNNNNNNNNNNNNNNNNNNNNNNNNNNNNNNNNNNNNNNNNNNNNNNNNNNNNNNNNNNNNNNNNNNNNNNNNNNNNNNNNNNNNNNNNNNNNNNNNNNNNNNNNNNNNNNNNNNNNNNNNNNNNNNNNNNNNNNNNNNNNNNNNNNNNNNNNNNNNNNNNNNNNNNNNNNNNNNNNNNNNNNNNNNNNNNNNNNNNNNNNNNNNNNNNNNNNNNNNNNNNNNNNNNNNNNNNNNNNNNNNNNNNNNNNNNNNNNNNNNNNNNNNNNNNNNNNNNNNNNNNNNNNNNNNNNNNNNNNNNNNNNNNNNNNNNNNNNNNNNNNNNNNNNNNNNNNNNNNNNNNNNNNNNNNNNNNNNNNNNNNNNNNNNNNNNNNNNNNNNNNNNNNNNNNNNNNNNNNNNNNNNNNNNNNNNNNNNNNNNNNNNNNNNNNNNNNNNNNNNNNNNNNNNNNNNNNNNNNNNNNNNNNNNNNNNNNNNNNNNNNNNNNNNNNNNNNNNNNNNNNNNNNNNNNNNNNNNNNNNNNNNNNNNNNNNNNNNNNNNNNNNNNNNNNNNNNNNNNNNNNNNNNNNNNNNNNNNNNNNNNNNNNNNNNNNNNNNNNNNNNNNNNNNNNNNNNNNNNNNNNNNNNNNNNNNNNNNNNNNNNNNNNNNNNNNNNNNNNNNNNNNNNNNNNNNNNNNNNNNNNNNNNNNNNNNNNNNNNNNNNNNNNNNNNNNNNNNNNNNNNNNNNNNNNNNNNNNNNNNNNNNNNNNNNNNNNNNNNNNNNNNNNNNNNNNNNNNNNNNNNNNNNNNNNNNNNNNNNNNNNNNNNNNNNNNNNNNNNNNNNNNNNNNNNNNNNNNNNNNNNNNNNNNNNNNNNNNNNNNNNNNNNNNNNNNNNNNNNNNNNNNNNNNNNNNNNNNNNNNNNNNNNNNNNNNNNNNNNNNNNNGCUCAAGUAGUUUCAUGUUUGUUUCCCAAUGUUCAAGUGAGUGAUGCUUAUCUCUUCUAAGAUUUGGAAACCAUGUAUUGAAAAAAUAAAAAGGAAAAGUGGUGUUUCAAGCAUAUUUGUUGUAUAAGUCUAGAUCAAGUAAUUACUACCCGUUUGUUCAUUGGAUAUUGCAUAGUAAACCAUUUCUUAAAAUAGUUUGUGAGUUAAUUAUUUGUUAUAAGGUUUGGGAAAUGCUAUGUAAAAAGUAUUGUGCUUGAUGGAUUAAAUUAUGAAAGGCUAUAUGAUUUGUGAAUCCAAUUUAUGAAAUAAAUUCAGAGUUGGUUUUGUAGAUGGUUGGAUAAUGAGUUAGUUGUUUAUCAUAAUCACUAUGAUCUAAAUCUUUACGGGGUUGAACAUAUGCAUAUUGUUCUUAAGAAUUGGUUUUGUCGAUGGUUGGAUAAUGAGUUAGUUGUUUAUCAUAAUCACUAUGAUCUAAACCUUUAUAGAGUUGAACAUAUGCAUAUUGUUCUUAAGACAUGCCAUUAGGACCAAGCCACCAGUUGUCAUUGGCAAAGGCAUACGUGACCAAAUAAACAUUGUUAAGCUACAUAAAACAACUAUUUUGUGAGAUAAUUGGAGCAAGGUUAGCGAAUCAUACAAAAAAAGAGUGCUAGACACCCUAAGUGCCAAAACUUGGCAUGGGUAAAUACUUAAGUACUAGAACUUCUAAAAGGUACACUUAAGUACCAAAAUCAGAGAAGAAAAGAACAUUUAAGUGCCAACGGCGAGAAUUUGCAACUAAACUAUUGAUGUGGCUCUUUCCGGCAAGAUUUUCUUACUGAUGUGGCAAUUCUUUUAAAAAACUUAUCUACAUGAUGCUAACGUAGCUAGAUAUGCCCAAAACGAUGUCGUUUUGACUCCAAAUUUGAUUUUUAAAUUAAAAAACUAAAUUACAAAAAAGGAAAAAAGAGGGAGGUAGCAUUCGGCAAGGGCCUCCAUAGCCCUUGCCAUCACUGCCGCCACCCCACCACCGUCGAAAAGGGCCAAUGAUGAUGGGAUGAGGGUUAGCCGGGGUCACCAAACCCGAGCAAGUGGCCAAUGACCCUAGUUGAACGCCAACAAGGGCCUGUAGGUCCUCAUCCAAAUCUAGGGUGAGAGGUCGUGGGUGACCCCAUCACAACUAACGGCGGCCCUUAGCCCCUUUAGGCAAGGGCCAGUGACCCCGAUCGACCUUUGCCCCAUUAUCGUCGACCCUUUCCAACGAUGGUGAGGCAACCGUGGCAAGGGCUAUGGAGGCCCUCAAUGAAUGCUACCUCUCUCCUCUUUUUUUUUUUUUUUUUUUUUUUAAUUUAGUUUUUUAGUUUAAUAUAAUUAAUAAUUAUAUUAAAAAUCAAAUUUGGGGGCAAAACGAUGUCGUUUUGCACAUUAAUUACUAAGUAGACAACUCUAGCGAGCCACAUAGACCAUAUUUAUUAUUAAAAUAAUGUCAUAUCGGAUUUCUGGCUAUCUUCACUAGGGGUGAGCAUCGGUCCAGGGUCAAUCCUAGACUGACCCUAGACCGAUCCAAUCCUGCCGAUCCUGGUCCGGUUCCCAGGGAGACUGGGUCGGUCCUUAGUCCUGAGAGUUCCAGGUCGGUCCAACCUGAAUCAACCCUAACUAUAUAUAUAUAAUAAAUUAUUUAUAAUUUUUUAUAAAGAGAAAACCUUAAAAUAAAUGGCGUCAACAACAUUAAACAGCUCUUUAGUGAGGAGUUCAAGUAAUUUUACAUUGUUCUUCAAUAACUUAGGUUUUUAAUGUCUUUUACGGCGUCAAUAGUCACAAUUUAUGAAGGAAGAAAAUGUUUUUGUGAGGAGUCCUCACGGUGGCAUCCAAAAAGGCACCUUAUGGCAUCCUCCUCUAGUAUUCGUUAUCUUCUAUCUUAUUUUCCUCUUAGUCUUUAAUUUGCUAAAAUCGAAAAAAAAAAAAAACAACUUCUCCGCUUGCCACUCGACACUCGCCUCGCUUGCCUUAGGUUACCCGUGUUGCUCGCUGCUCGAUACUCGCUUGGCUUGUUGCUCCCCGCUCGACAUUCAAUGCUCAUUCUGUUCGACGCUUACCCCACUUGACCCUCAUUGCUUGCCUUUCUUAGCUAACCUUGCUCAUCAUCGAAUCCAUUGGGUCGAUACGGUUCUCGAUUGACCUUUCAAGGAGUACAAAAAAUGAAAUAAAAAAUUAUUGGUUAGUCCUAGGUUGACCUUGAAACAGGACCGAACCUAUUGGGAUUAGUCUAGUCCUUAAUUGCUUUUUUAAGGAGUUAUGAAAAAUGGAAAUAAAAAUUAUCAGUUGGGUCCCGGGNNNNNNNNNNNNNNNNNNNNNNNNNNNNNNNNNNNNNNNNNNNNNNNNNNNNNNNNNNNNNNNNNNNNNNNNNNNNNNNNNNNNNNNNNNNNNNNNNNNNUGCUUUUUUAGGAGUAUGAAAAAUGAAAUAAAAAAUUAUCAGUUGGUCCCGGGUUGACCCUAGAACAUGAUCGAAUCCAUUGGGUUGGUUCGGUCUUCGGUCUUAAGCUCAAAAAGGUUGGUCCUCAGUCCCAAAAAUUGAGGACCAGCACUGUGCGGGUUAGUCCUAGAGUUAUGGGGUGGACCAGCUCAACCCGGACCAUGCUCACCCCUAAUCUUCACUAGAGUUGGCAUUUAAGUGUCCAAUUUUCAAAAAUAGUUGCACUUAAGUGUACAUUUUAGAUAUCUUGGUACUUGAGUGUCCACCUGUGCCAAAUUUUCACACUUGUAGUGUACCUUUGCCUACAAAAAAUGUUAAAAUUUGCAAAUAAUAGUAGUAAACUCAAGGCGUUGCCAAGAAAGGUAAAUAAAAAUUAGUAAAAGAUAAACAAAGGUUUUUGUCAAAGAUAGAAGAAGAUGGUAAUUUAAAAACAAAUAUAUAUAUAUAUAUAUAUAUAUAUAUAUAUAUAUAUAUUGGCAAGUAUCUUAAAAAAAAUAUACUAGCAAUCACUCUAAUGAAGUUGGCAAUUUCAAAAAAGAGAUGGUAAAUUGAAAAUUUCAGUGAGUGAGGCCAAUAAAAGUGGUAACUCAAUAAAAAAUCUAGUCCAUGUAAGUAAAAAUAGUUAACUAUUGAUAAGCAACUCAAAUGAGAGUUAGAAACUCAAAACUAGUUGGUAAUUUGACCCCAGUAACUUUGUAAGGUCAUGCAAACAAAGAUUGAUAAUUUCAUAUAGCAGUUGGUAAAUUUAAACCUUUAGUAAGAAAGGUAAAUAAAAGUUGGUAAGUAAUUAGAGAAGCUUUUUUUGGUUAAAGAUAAGAGAAGUUGGUAAUUUAAAAGCAAACCCCAAAGAAACAUUGGUAGCUAACUCAAGUAGGAGUCGGUAUGCAAAAUAAGUUGGAAACUUAAUUAGUUAAAAGUAGGCAAUCACUAAAAAUUUCUAAAAACAACCGGUAGAUUUAUAAAGUUUGUAAAGAAGGCAAACAAAAGAAGUGACUUAAUAAAAAUUUGGUAAAUAAAAAUAUUAAAUGAACUUUGUUAUAAGCAACUCAAAUGAGAGAUGGCAACACAUAGCCACUAGGUUACUUAAUUGGAGUGACAUGAUUAGUAACUAAAUUGAAGAUCGGUAAUUUUAUCUGGUAGUUGAUAAAUUUAAAACAUUCAUGGUAAACAGGAUGAGUUUUUUUUUUUUUUUAGUCAAUCACAAGGGAAAGUUUUAAUUAAAAAUAAACAAACAUCAAUAGCUAACUCAACUAAGUAUAUGUAAUGCAAAUUUUGUUAAUGACUUGAUUGGAUAAUGUUGAGAAUCACUCCAAUUCCAUUUUCCAUUAGAAAUUUCUAAGGAGUUGGUAGAUUUAACAAGCGGGUAAAGAAGGCAAAUCAAAGUUGGUAACUCAUUGAAAAAGUGGAUAAAAUUUUUAGAAAAAUAAACAUUGGUUGGCAAUUCAAAUGAAACUUAGUAAAUCAAAGCUAUUCAAUAAUCUAAUGGGAGAACAACUGUUAAUUCACACAAUUAAAGGUUGAUGAAGUCAUAUAAAAGUGGAUAAAUUUAAGUCAUCUAUAAGAGAGACAAAUAAAAGUUGGUAAUAAUAAGAAAAUUUGAUAAAUUAAAGUAAAAUCAAAUAAAUAUCAGUAAGUAAUUCAAAUGAAAGCUGGAAAACCAAAACUAGUUGGUAAUUUGAUCGGAAAAAAAGUUGAUAAGUCACUCAAAUAAAUGUCAAAAGAUUAAUAUAUUUGUUGGUAAAUAUUAACGAUUCAAGCAAAAAGUUAGUGUAAACUGUGGAAGGAGUUGGUAAUUUCAUGAAACUCUUACUAAAUUACCAAUAAGUUAGGGAAUAAUAAUAGACCAGUAGCUUAUUUCUACUUUUAUUUUUAUAUUUAUUAACUGUCACACCCGAUCCUUGAGCGCGUGCACAUCCCUCGGUGGUCAAUGAAAUUGCGACUUCCCAGGACAAGUCAUCGACCCUUUCAUUUUAUUGCACAUGCAGAAGCGAAUAAACAAAUCCCCUGUCAACAACCAUCUCGGGAUAGAAAAGCAGGACAAUCAAAUCACAAAAGCCACGUUUACAUAAACAAACUAAUUUAUACACAGAGGCCAACUCUAGGGUCUAUGUACAGGAGGUCUAUCUUCAAAAAGAACUAUUGAGCCACCCAUGCUCUUGACCCUUCCGCCUCAAACUCCGGAUUCUUCACACUAGAGACUCGAAAAUGGUAACCCACGACAGGGUAAGAUAUAAAUCUCAACAAGUUCACGCCCUAAACCCCGAUUAGGAAGAUAAUAUACCUAGAGGCAGCCUACACACAUAGCCAAUGAGACUCACCUUGCCUCAUUUUUUUCUUGCAUGUCAGUACAGUUCAUUAAACAUAAGCAGAUAAUCAACGCCAUACGUUAAUUGGAGCUGCAGGCUAUCAAACCAAUCAAACACAGAAUCCCGAUAUAAAACCAAUCAUUAUGACACGUCUCAUACCGUACCACAUAAUUUUAUCCCAUAAUCAGGCGCGGGUAACUCAUAUCGGUGGUUCAUUUCCCACCCGAUAUUCACUCUUAAUACUCAAAUUCCCAAUUUAAACUCAACAUCCCCACUCAAUAUUCCGACUCCACAUUCUAACUCAAUGCUCAAACUCAAUAACAGACUCAAGGCUCUAAAGGUGACCCACACGAAGUCUCGCUAUCAUGUAGUACUUACCCUUGACAACAAAUAGCAAUAGUACAAGGCACUAGAGGCGACUCACACGAAGUCUCGCUAUCUUGUAGUACUUAGUCCUUGACAACAAAAAAAACAAUAGUACAAGGCACUAGAGACGACUCACAUGAAGUCUCGCUAUUGUGUAUAUGACACCCCCGAAUGGUCCCCGAUCCGCUAGGGUCGCCAGUCCACUUGCCUUUCUCUUGACCUGAUAAUAUAUUACUCUGAUACCUGUCGCGACCCGAUCUCGCCGCCCCUCGAAAAGUGUCCAAGGAGGGAAAGGUCGGGUUUAGGGGUACUUGAUCUCAAGAUCACGAGCUCUCCCAAGCUCGUACCCCACGUGACAGCAUAUUUAUUUAUACGAUCUAGGUAUUUAACAACCUAAAAAAUAGACAGGAGUCGCCACUAGCCUCAUUUUUGGGGGUCGGCUAGAAACCCAAUUGAGGGUCGGGAGUGGUCCCUCGAUUCCUACGCAACCAGAUAUCUAGGUUCGGGGACUUGGGUUACGCUAAUAUUGCUAUUAGCGCCCUUUCGGUACCUAAACAGUAUGUUGUGUUUUUCCUAACAUGUCAAUGCGUUUCUUUUAUAUUUUCAGGAUCAUCAAUUCUAUACUAAAUGAUCAUGCGUGAUGGAUUACUUUCAUUCUAUUCUAUUCCUAAGAAAUGAAAGGAAAACAAACAAUGAAAUUAAAUUAAAUUGCAAGACAUGAAGUAAACAAUCAAGAAAAGCAGUUAAACCUAAUCAUGCAAUUCUAAAAAAUAUAAAAGAGAAAACAAUUGGGAAAGAAAGGAAACCCGCACCUCGUCGGGUUUUAUACAAUGCAUGGAACCCGAGACAUAUGUCGGGAAAAUGAGCAUUACAUGAUAACGGUCGGAGUGGACAUCGACCUCCACCAUCUUCACGCCUUACCCCUUCUCCAUCUUCGGGGUCCUAAUCUAAACCUAAUCUAAGAAACAAGAAUCCCUUGCCUCAUCUUAUAUGACUAAGACAAUGCAUAGAAAUCAUUAUUAUAAUGAAUAGACAUAGGCAUCAGACAUGAACAUGAAUCCAGCAAAUUCAAGUCACAAACAGGACAAAAUACAAUGCAUGUUUAAAGGUUCGUAAGACCACCUAGACAAUGUACAAAAAUGUGAAACUUGCACAUGACAUAAGGUUGAAUGCGAAAAAGGUUUGGGUAAACAUUUAACCCUAAAUCAGAAUACAAAGAAGUCACACAAGUCAUUAACAUUGCAAAGUGACUUGGAACUAAGAAGCAAAAUGCAUGACAAUUUCAGUUGUGGUAUAUCGACUUGAAUUCUAAGAUUACUUGACCUUAAAAAUUCUCAAAUUUUAGCAUGGGAUGGAUAUGGACAUUAUGGACAGCCUUCAUUGAGAAUUUAUCCUCAAGAUCAUUAUGUAUAAGAUCACACAAAAUUGGUAGACAGUCAGAUUCAUAGAGACAAGACAGCACUGCAGGUCAAGACAAAUUCAGACUUCAAAACUUGAUCUAAAAAAAAAAAAAAAAGCAGGGCAAAUGAUGGGAAAAUUGGACAAACUAGGCAUCGUUAGAAAGCUCAAGGUGUCCUUUACGAAUUCCUAUUAGGUGACAAUUGCAAUUUAGGUCUUUUUCUAGCUCAAGCAAAGCCAUUUGUAUAAGUGGUCAGAUCAGAUCAUAACAAGCAGAACACAUCAGCAGAUUAGUGCUCUUUGCAAGAAGCAUCAGGCAGGGCAAAUGGUGGCCAAAUCGCACAUAUUAUAUGUCUAUGGAAAGCUUGAAAAGUCUAUUACAAAUCUCUAGAAGACAUUAAACCCUAAUAACAUCAUCUACCAGUUCAUAUCAAGCGGUUUAUACAGAAGGUCAUCCGAAACAGAGAAACAAAUAUUUGGCAGAUUCUGGACCUAACUUUGGACAGGCAAAAACCAUAUUAAAUGAAGUCCGAUUAGGGCAUUCUAUAGCUUAUUGGAAAGAUAAUCGAACCAUCUUCAACCUAUAUGAAGACUUCGAACACAGACAACCACAGCAACCCGCUCAUCUCACGUCAUUUUGCACAGAAGGUCAGAUCAGAACACAGAACACAAUAAACAACACAGAUUCAGUAACAAUGGCACAAUGAGUGGUAUCAGAUCUAUAUACUCGGUAAAUCAACUUCUAAGAAAUGUUUCAUAUCAACACGUUUUCAGAUCUGACAUUAUCAUGAUCUAUUUCUCGCUCAUGCUUUUGAGGUAUUUCGUCAAACACUUCACGUACAACAAAACGAUUAACUCAAGCUAUGGAACGGGACUGAAGCUAUGUUCUCAUCUAACAUUCUAAAAUCAAUAUUAAAAUCACAGAGCCAUCACAAGUCAUCUAGUUACAGCUCAGAUCUUAAGUGAAUCACACCUGAACUACGUGAACGUGAUUCUUCUACAAAUCUUUUUGUAACAGAGCAGGAGAGAGGGGAAUGAGUUUACCUGGUUUAUCAGUGAUACGGAUACUGAUCGAGCCAGAGACAGAGAGCUGAGCCGAGGCUUCCAACUCGGCGUGAACCCGAACCACUGUAUCUCGAGCUCCGGAAGGGCGCGAUUCGCAACGAGGGCGUUAGAUCCAACCGAGAGAGCGAUUACCAGAGAAAACGAACGAGAGAGGGGAAGGUCAGAAUCCAAGACCCGAACGGAUUGAGAGAGAGAACAGAAAUCCAAACCCUAACAAAUCGAGAGGGAUAGAAAGAAAGCUCACCGAUCGAGCGAGCUCGAUCCAGAGAGAAAAAUCGGUCAAGCGUUGUUGUCGUCGCAACUGUCGCCGAUCCUUGUCCCAAACCGAGAGAGAAAUUUGCUGAGGGAGAGAUUCUCUGGUUUCUACCCCUUCGACAAGAGCUCGGGUGGUUGAUGAUGAACGGAAAAGGUCGAAUCAAUGGUGGAAUCGAAAAAUUAGGGCUUGCGGCCGAGGAGGGGCUCGAGCUGAGGGCACGCGCACGGCAGAUCCGCUCCGCGAUGGUGUCGACGACUUCUCGACCUCGCUGCUGGGUGAUUCCCUCGCUCCUCUUUCUACCUCCGACUCCAGGGUCUUCUUCCGGUGGACGUCAAGCGAGAACGAGAGCCGACGAUCAAGCAAGCGAGCGUUCAAUUUCCGAGAACGAGCCGGAAAACAUCCGAUUGAGAACUUCUGGAGCUGGAAGCGAUCGUUGAGGGAGAGAGUAGAGCCAUGGCUGGCGCCGGAGGGUCCUCCGUCGGCCUCCGAGAUUGGGAAGAAAUCCACAGAGAGAGGAGGUUGUUACGGCGGAAGAGAGGGAGUCUGCGAAUCCGUUCUUGGCCUUUUGCCCAGAGAGCAGGAACCAGCGGAGAGAGAGGAUCCGUGCGCCCAAAAAUUUUAGAGAGAGAGAGACCCCCCAAGAGCCAGCCAAAGCAUCGUCAAAUGGCCCUCCUUCUAUAUUUUUUUUUUUAUUUUUUAUUUUUUCCUCUCCUUUUUCUUUUUGUUUUCUUUAUUUCUUAUUUUUUCUUUCAUUUUAUUUCAUUUUUUGUUUUGUUUUGUUUUUUUUUGUUUUCUUUAUUUCUUAUUUUUUCUUUCAUUUUAUUUCAUUUUUUGUUUUGUUUUGUUUUCUUUUUCUUUUCUUUUUUUCUUCUUUUUUUUCUCUUUUUUUUCUUUCUUUUUUUUUCUCUUUUUUUUUCUUGGCUCGUUAUUUAUUUUUGCAAAAUGGAUGAUUAAAAUGUCGACGAAAAUUUCGGGUGUCAACAAUACCAAAGAAUUAUAAUAAGUCUAUAAGUCCUGGGAGUUUAUAUCUUUUAGAUCGGUCCCUGCAUAGUUUACAUAGCGGAAGCACAUCCAUCAACUUCCCUUUCACAAAUUAAAACGAUGCACACCUACUAAACAUUUUAUAAGUUAAAGCCGAACACCUUUAUUUACAUAAACCAAAUGGACAUCUUUAGUCGGUACAUAAAAAACGCCACGGUUUUCUAUAUCCGGCUAUUUUUCGAAAGAUACCCGACUAUUACAAUGGCUAUAAACAUAAGUCCAUCAAACAGUGUCGGCGACCAAAAAUGCUUCUGCUGCAAACCUCAACUCUUGGUCAUAUCCACCCAUCUGGUCCAUCGGCUGGCGGCAGUGGCAACAACCCCAACGAGCGCCCAUCUCGGCGAACAAAAACAGCGAUGUACUCAUGUAGAAUGGGAUCGACGGAGAGACCAACAUCGAACACCAAGAUAACUCUCACUCGUUCGAACGACAACCCAUGCACCUCGGGGUGUUGGUACUCAGACCGUUCCCAUUGGAGGUCGACCGGAAGUCCGUAGAAUGAAACCGGGAGUUACAGGUAGCAGAGGCAUUUCUUCUAAUCUGAAAUGUUAGUCCCAAAAAGGGGUGAGUACAACCACCCAGCAAUUGAAGAUCUACUAAGCUAUACUAUGCACGGCAUCACAAUCCAAGUCCAUGCAAGAUAGAUAAAACGAGUAAUCAAAAGAAUGAGUAUGCAUCAAAUCAAUAAACUUUUGAAAGCAAUGGCAAAUGCAGUUUCAAAAUCAGAACGAAUCAUUUCAGUCACACACAGGUCCCGAUUAUAGGGCCAAACCAUAACGACAUGUCCCAUACCAUGUUAUAUAAUUUAGUCCCACAAUUUGGCAUAGUUAUUAACAGGGUCGUUAUUUUUAGAAAAACUUAGUUCAUUUUCAUUUCCCUAUGUCUAGCCCAGAGGACCAGUGUUUGCGUCCCUCCAAGAUUUCGCAUCCCACCUGGCAUCACAAAAGCCUCCAGUAUUCAAUCACCGGGCAUCCAGAGCGUGUUACGUCACACCUCCAGGCAUCUCGCAUCCCACCUGGGACUCGUGAGGAAUCGUUGGGGCUCACCAUGAAAAUGGUUACCCCUACCCUCUGGAUUUACGUACCAACAUACAAUCGGGCAUCCCGACACUCCCAGGAAACCUCCGAGGUACUAUGGACCCCAGGCAUCCAACGGCAUCGCCUCAUGCAAUCCUAUGGGCAUCUUGACACUCCCGGGGCAUCGUCGACUCGAAGGUCCGAUGGCAUUCACAACACAUCUCAGCCAUGGUGUCUCAACCAAAUCAUUUCAAUGCCAAAACAUUUUUAAAACAAGCUUUGAAAUCAUAAACCAAAACGUUUUUGAAUCACCAAUGAACAAAACUCAGUAGCAAAACAUCAAACCCGUAGGUCUACUCCCACGGCAAACCUUCCAAUGCAUUUAAAAAAUUAUUUGCGAUUCCAUAAACCAUGCUUGCAACUCUCGUACAAAAUUGAAAAGAGUUACCAAAACAAAAAUUCGAAUUCGGCACAUUGACAAAUCUAAACUUCACUCCUAACUUCAUGAUUUUAUAAGGAAAAUCAGUUCGCAUCAAAGUUUGAGAUUCCGAGAGCGCCAAAGAACCUUUUCUUUUUCUUUUUGAAACGUUGACAAGCGGCACCUCGAUUUAUAUAAAAUUCCAGCGAGGGUCGGGAGUUUUUUCCAAAUCAUUUUUUGGCCGAUUUUUGUUCCAAAGCAAUAACUAAGUUUAAAAAAACUCAUAUGGUAAACCGAGAUAUCAACCCGACCUUUAACGGUUUGGACAAAUUGAUACAAAAUUCGAAAAUUUGGAAAGCACCAUGCGGUUUUUGAAACAUUUGUAGCCGGUGCCUUAGUAAAUAGAGUUUCAAACACAAGUCAGGAGGUUUUCUUUUCCAAAACCGAAACAAUGGCCGAAUUCCUCAAGAUUUUAUAGUCACCAAAUAUCUGUUUGGCUGAAAUUCGGAGAAUCAACCACAUGCAUACGAAAUCCGAGCAAUCCAUCCAUUUUUUUAACCUCAAAACAGUCUCGGUUUCUCAAUAAACCAUAAAUCAAGCACAUGCAUGAGAAAUCCAAACACUUCAUUAAUCGCUCAACCUCAAAACAGUCUUGGUUGCUCAAUUAAAGCAUCACUCACAUCAAAAUCCAACUAUCCAGCCUAUCAAUACAUUUCCUAAGACAGCAACAACAUUACACUAUAUAGAUCAGUAGACUUCAACUUGCCUUAGGUCCCACGACUCAACGGUAGCACAACAGGGGGGUUGCGGGUCGCAGACAUGGCUCAACGGCGGUGAAGGCGAGCUGUGUCGACGGCGGCAGCACGCACAGGCGAGAGGCGGUCCUUUCCCUUCUCCCUCACUGCCCUCUCUCGCGGAUCACUCGCUCUGCUCGCGGUUCUGCUCGCUCAAUUUCUCUCUCUCACUCGCCGCUGCUCACUCUCUCUCUACUUGCUCGAACACACUAGCACUUUUCCCAUUCUAAAUCUUAAUUAAGUUAAUUAAUUGCAUGCAGGUUGCGGUGACUGCAGCAAUCAAUGGACAGGUGGAGGAGGCGUGUCUUCAGUUGGGGUUUCUUGAUUUUCAUUGGCAACCCCAAAUCGAAGCAACAUGGCUGUUGCUGGCCCUCAUUCGGUCAAUAAUCCUCCUUCAAAGUUGACUAAAGUGUCAAUUAAAUUGAGAGAGAUUGGAGCAGCAUUGGACGUGGAUGAUUCCUCCUCUCCGCGCGGGCAUGUGUUAGGGAAAUCCCUUAUGAUGUUUUGAAGAUGACAAAAUAAAUCAAAGGCUACUAACAUGUUUGAUGGUUGAGUAAUAGACCAUGCAGAUGAUAGAACAUGUAAAGGAUUUUAUCAAAGUCAGAAGACGACCAGAAGACUGAACGUAACAUAUGUCCAGAGUAUAUUCUGAAGAUUUACAGGCUUCUGUGUCAAAGUCUGAAGACUGUGUCAAAGUCUGAAGACUGUCAGACUCAAGACUCAUAUUGUAAAGUCUCAAGACUCAUAUCGUAAAGUCUAAAGACUCAGACUUUACAUCCAGAUUACGAUGAAUCGUAACUCAAGCCCAAUCAUACAACGGCUAGUGAUCUGGUUUGGAUUCCACAUCAAGAUUGAUUUGAUUGAAGACAAGAACUUUCUAUACGAAGAAGCUUUACUUAUGGAAACCAAGAUUUCGUUUGUAUGGGCGAUCGGAAUCAAUUUGGGAUUUUACCUUUGUCACUCAACGGCUACCAAAUCUUCUAGAUACAGAGCUGUCCAAUGGGUAUAUUGGAAGACGAUUCUCCGGGAUGCUGUCCAACGGGUAGUUUGGAAGUGGAGGAGUAUUUAAGAAGAUGAAGGACCGAUGAGCAAGUAAGAGACGGAGCGUAGAAUUUAUAAUUCCAAAGUCUAAGCGACUUUAGAUCUUCACUUGUCUCUUGAGAGCUUAAACGUUUGUAAUCGUGAGAGAAAUACCAAGAGAGUGACUUAGUGAGAUAGUGUGAUCUACUAAGUGUUUGCACUCGGAGUUGUAAUCUCUUGUUGAUUGCAUAGUGGAAUCCAGCCAAGAAGGCUGUUAUCGUGGGAGAGUGGACGUAGGCUUGGAUUAAGCCGAACCACUAUAAAUUUUGUGUUUUUAUUCUCUUCCCUAACUCCUUUAUUUUGUUCAUACUAGCACUCUCAAUUGGUAUCAGAGCCAAGUGCUCGAUUUAUAAAAGUGUUUUUACUUUUGAGUUAAAGAUUCUUUAUGGCUAGUAUGUUGGCACCAGGACUUAUGGAAGGGCAAAGCAACACAAGGCCACCAUAUUUCGAUGAAAGAAAAUACAAGCAGAAUGGCCAGAAAAGAACAAUGAAAGAAGAUGAUGAGUAAAGAAAUCUAUGCUUGAUGGCACAUUCAGAAUCUGAGUCUAACUCAGACAGAGACUCAGAAUCAAAGUCUGAUUCAGAACCAGACUCAGAAUCCGAUGAGGAAAUCAAGGAAAUAAAGGAAAAGAAGAAGUUGGUAAGGAAUGUUUUUGGGCACAUAAUUCUCAAUAUGCUUGAAAUUCGAUAUAUCAUUGAUUGAUUCAGAUUUUAUAAUGAUCAUAUUUUUUUUUAUUUGCUUUAUUGAAGAAAGAAUUGUGUGAUUUGUGAUUCGAGAUUUAAUUUGAUACGUGUGAUCAUUUUUGAUAUCAUGCUUAAAGAAAAAUGAAUUUAUUUGGUUUGAUUUUAUACUCUCAGAUUUUAUCAUAUUUUGCCAAAUAAAAAUCUGUUUUACGUAAUAUUAAUUUAUGAUGCAAGAUAUUAUUGUGCAUAAUAUUCUUUCUUUGAAUACUUUGUUAUGAUGAAUUAAGAAAGAAUAUUUGAUUAUGGAGAUUUCAUCUUUUACUCUAACGUCAAGGAAGGAUCCAGAUUCAUGGAUACCAAAAAGCAAAUGAGUUGAUUGCAGGAAAUUCUUUAAAGCGAAGAUGAUUGCAAAUCUACGCAAUUUUUGGUGCAAUCAGAAAAUAUCUCCUGCGACAAUUGCAACAAUAGUUUCUAUUCGCAAAUAUUGUCAUGAUCACAGGGGGAGAAAUCAAAUCCAAAAGAAAAAGGAAAGAAUCGUGAUCAUCUCAAAAAAGGCAACAAAUUGAGGGGGAGCUUUGAUCAAUUAUGGAAAAAUCUUUUUGGAUUGAUCGUGAUCUUAUUAUGGAUGGAAGGAAAGGUAAAUGUCUUAGUGCAUAUUUUAUUACCUUUUGUCAUUAACAAAUCUUUUAUUAAUUUUAUGACAAAAAUGGUACGUGCAAGUUAUGAUGCAUCCGUGAUUUUUAUUGGAUAUUUACUGAUAUAAUCGAAGUGAGCUAUAUUGCAUAUCUUUAAUAUUUGAUAAAAGCUGAUUUUUCGAAAUUGUGAUUCAUGCAAGAUAUUUGUUAUCAUUCUCUACGUGAAUUCAUUAUUAUCGCUUUUUGAUUAUGACAAAAAUGGGGAGAAGAUAUGAAUAUGCAUAUGUGCUGAUUGGUUGAUAUUAUUGCAUAAUAUUGAGCUGAGAUUAUUUUCGAUAUAUUAUUAUGCUCAAUCUAUUUGUUAUCUUCUGAUAUCCUUUGAUUUAAAAGUAUGUUUACAAAUCUGCAUAUUCAGAGAUUGUUUUGUCAUCAUCAAAAAGGGGGAGAUUGUUAGGGAAAUCCCUUAUGAUGUUUUGAAGAUGACAAAAUAAAUCAAAGGCUACUAACAUGUUUGAUGGUUGAGUAAUAGACCAUGCAGAUGAUAGAACAUGUAAAGGAUUUUAUCAAAGUCAGAAGACGACUAGAAGACUGAACGUAACAUAUGUCCAAAGUAUAUUCUGAAGAUUUACAGGCUUCUGUGUCAAAGUCUGAAGACUGUGUCAAAGUCUGAAGACUGUCAGACUCAAGACUCAUAUUGUAAAGUCUCAAGACUCAUAUCGUAAAGUCUAAAGACUCAGACUUUACAUCCAAAUUACGAUGAAUCGUAACUCAAGCCCAAUCAUACAACGGCUAGUGAUCUGGUUUGGAUUCCACAUCAAGAUUGAUUUGAUUGAAGACAAGAACUUUUUAUACGAAGAAGCUUUACUUAUGGAAACCAAGAUUUCGUUUGUAUGGGCGAUCGGAAUCAAUUUGGGAUUUUACCUUUGUCACUCAACGGCUACCAAAUCUUCUAGAUACAGAGCUGUCCAAUGGGUAUAUUGGAAGACGAUUCUCCGGGAUGCUGUCCAACGGGUAGUUUGGAAGUGGAGGAGUAUUUAAGAAGAUGAAGGACCGAUGAGCAAGUAAGAGACGGAGCGUAGAAUUUAUAAUUCCAAAGUCUAAGCGACUUUAGAUCUUCACUUGUCUCUUGAGAGCUUAAACGUUUGUAAUCGUGAGAGAAAUACCAAGAGAGUGACUUAGUGAGAUAGUGUGAUCUACUAAGUGUUUGCACUCGGAGUUGUAAUCUCUUGUUGAUUGCAUAGUGGAAUCCAGCCAAGAAGGCUGUUAUCGUGGGAGAGUGGACGUAGGCUUGGAUUAAGCCGAACCACUAUAAAUUUUGUGUUUUUAUUCUCUUCCCUAACUCCUUUAUUUUGUUCAUACUAGCACUCUCAGCAUGCAUGUUCCUCAUGCAAUGGCCGAAUUCCAUUUCUCCAGCUCUCUAAAAAAAAUCAAUUGAUCAAAGUCCAAAUUCCUUUCUCAUUCCAUAUACACAUAGGUGAUAUAGUUGUGUAGUAUCAUCGAAAGAAAUAUGUACAUAAAUCGGCAGGGUCUAAAGUGGUGCCGAUGAUGACGAUGGUACAAUGGGGUCCAACAUCGGUGUCGGCGACGAAGUCCGAUAACAAAUUCGUCAAUCCACGACGUGUCAUCAUUUUUCUCUGAGGUCGGCAAAAAUAUAGAUGAGGUUGGUCUCACCAAUGACCUUAAGUAAAGGGAUUCCGACAAGGUUAUAAUUUAUUCGACAAUUGAAUCAUUAUUAAAUGAGGCAUAACGGUCCGAUGGUAAUAUCAAAACGAUGUCCGUAAAUAAUACUAAUGACACAGUCCGACGAUACUCCUGUCGAUUAGUCACGGACCGUCGCAUAAUCGAGGAUCGUCAAAAUUUCCGGAUGCCACAGUGUAGUACUUAGCCAUUGACAACAAAAGGCAAUAGUAUAAGGCACUAGAGGUAACUCACACGAAGUCUCACUAUCGUGUAGCACUUAGCCCUUCACUAUGCUUGUUAAUACUACAAGACUCUAGAGGUAGUUCCCAUGUGACUUAAGUCGCCAUGUAACACUUAACCAUUGAUUACAAUAAGCAAUAAUAUAAGGCCCUAGAGGUGACCCACACGAGUUUCGUCCUCGUGUAGUACUUAGUUCUUUACCUGUUCACAACCCAUCGGUUUUCUUAACCCAACACAUGUCACCUAAAUGUUCAAUAGUCACCUUGCAAUGACUAUAAACCAUCACACGAUCAUCAAGCAUAAGCUCAAGGCAUGUCAUAAACCAACCAUAUCAUCAAAUAUGCACAAACCAUCAAGUAUUGCACCAAUAACACUACCAAAUCAUAACCGGCCCUAACCGACAGAAAAGGCCCACUCGCGCGUCUCUGAGUUUAAAUCUAGAAAUCUAAUCAAACGAGUUCGGAAAAUUCCUAAAUUUGAAUAUGUUGUAAAUGACACAUAAAUAAACAUUUUUGAUGCAGACACCUUAAUCUAGAUCUUUCUAGAUUUGUCCUAGUAAAUCACUCAAUCCAAUACCAAAAAAUCGGUUCAUUUCCAUAAAGUCUGUUUUCUAAAAUUAGUUUGGUUUGAGAUCCAAAACUUAUCCAUUUGAUCUGAAAUUCAACUAUGUUAAACACGAAUGAUGUGAAAAACAACUUUUGUGAAUAAACCAUUUUGAAAUUCAAACCUCAAGAGUUAAUAAAAAUUCCUAGAAUCCCAAAAUGUCUCAAAUUCCAGUAUAGUCCGAGAUUAUGUUUGCAAAUGACAAAGCUGAUAUAUCCUUCUUGUAAAUCCCUAAAAAUAUUAAGAAAAAUAUAUGUUAUAGCUGAAGAUGUCUAAAACAAUUCUCAAGAAGGAAACAACCUCAAAAUCGCAACACAUUUUGGUUCACAAAAAAUGGAAAAUGGCGAGGGUCCAAAAAUCAGAACUGAAGAAAGUCCAUUGAAUUGGACUAAUCCAUCCUCAAUGGUGCUAAUCUCACUAAUUAGAUUAACACUAAUCCAUUCUAAGGCUUAUCUAACCAUUUUAGAUUAGUACUAAUCCAUAUUAAGGCUAAUAUAACUAACCCUUAAGCAUAAUUAACCUCCUAAGCAAGGUUUAGUGAGUAAACUCAUCGGUUUUGCAAGCCGAUGAGUCCAUGGCGACGGCAACAUGGAAGUGAGCGGAACACAAGCCCACGGCGACACCAAAGGAGGCCGAGAAAGGCCCAAAAAAGCCUCACAAAGUCUCAGCUGGGCUGAGAUUUUUGGCUUAUGCUCUUGGGCUAUAAAGGCUGGUCGAGCGAUCGGUUGGGGCUAAAACAGGCCAAGCGAGGCUAGGCGACAACGACAAGGGCUUGGGGAUGGCAACGACAGCUUCUAGGUGGCUAGAGGCAGCUCGACGGGAGGUGACAUGGAUGGAUGGAUGGAGGCCUCAAGAUGAUUGGGGACGCGCAGAACAGCGCGCGGCAAGCGGAUGACGGGCACGACUUGCGGGCGUGCUCGGGCGGUGAGCAAUGCUCGAACGGGAGGCAGGGCUACUCAGCGGUGGCUGCUGGCUUGCGGGCUGGCUUCCUCUGAUUCUUGAGCUCACAAACACAGCAAGAAUGGAGAAAGUGUGGCCAAGGGAAAAGGAGAAGAUGGCAGCUGCCAAGGGGGACCCAAAAUGCCUUCAAUGCUCUCCAAAUUGCCAAGAACACUUGAGUGACUGCCCCACCAGCCUUCAGCCAUAUCCUCUACCCCUUAUCCACUCCAAAACUUCUCCAAGAAGCCUCCCAAGGUGGCUGAAAUGUUGCACCCCUCCAAGGCUACGAAUUUUGGACAUUUGCCUAUUCAAUUUCAUUCAAAUCCAACUCAAAAUAAUCUAAUUGAAGCCCAAACAAUUCAGCCAAGGUGCCAUUGCCCCUCUUAUGAUUUUUCCUUGUCAAUUCGUCCAACUUGAAUCCCAAAAACGCGACAAAAAAUGGCUCUAUAAUUUUUCCGGUCCAAAACGUCCCUACUUUGACUUUUCGCCAAAAAUCCCGAUUUGCAAAAAACUCUUCGGAGGAUGAUGGGAUAUUCCUAAAAUGAAUCGUGACAUGACAAAAUUUUCAAUUUCUGAAAUCGGGUUCAAAUUCAUGGUUAAUUUUAACCAGGCGCGAUUUUAACGUGACCUAGUCUACCUAGUAUCUUUUAGGAAUUUUUAGUGCAAUUGACCCGUGGUCAAUUAUUUUCGAGCCACAUUAUAUAUUUUCGACUCAUUGGCGACUCUCAGUUGUCGUGAAAAUCUCGAUGUUUCAAAUACGAACAAUGGUACCAAAAUGACAGAAAAAUAGAUCCAGUGCCGAUCGACACAAAUUUUUGCAAUUAGGUGGUGAUUCUUAAUCACGUGGCUCUAUCGAAUCGACCUAUCUCUGGUCUCUAAGGCUGCGCAUGACAAAAUUUCUGAAACAUAAAUUGAUUUCUGGCCAAAAAUCAAUUUCUCAAUUUAUAUUCCCCAGACAAGUUUCUGAGCAAAAAAACCCGUUUGAUAACGACUCAAAAUUUCUAUUUCUGAAAUAGAAAUCCGUUUGAUAACAGAAAAAAAUUUCUAUUUCUAUGAAUCAUGUUGUCCCCAUCCUUUUACCUCACUCUUCUUGGUGCUUGUGAUGGUAAUUUAAUUUGAUAAAAGUUGGUAUAUCACUUUAAUUUAUAUUGGUAAUUCGAUAGAGUAGUUAGGAACUUCAAAACAUUAGCAAUUUAUGUAAAUAAAAGCUAGUAAUUAGUAUAAAAAAUGCUAAUAUGCAAACUAUAAAAGAUUUGGGAAUAGGGAACUUACAUUUGAGGGAUAAAGGACACUUAGAAUAAGAUGUUUCAAUAAACUUUGAUUUAAAUAAAUCUUGUGGAAAUGGUUUUUUAAUCAGUGAGGUUAACUGAAGGCAAUGAAUUUCCAUAUUAAGCUUUCUUUGGCUUACCUAAUAGUCUUGUUCACGUUUAUCUACACUCAUCAUCCAACUUAUAAACAGUCAAGUGGAGCGAGGCAUUUGACGUACAUUACCGUGACAUGGACUUCAAUUCAAUUAUGGCCUAAAUGGAUCAAAUACUAGUCCUGAUCAAUAUAAGAAUUGGUAUCUUAAUGCAGAAAAAUUCUCAAUUAUUACUGGCUAUACAUUUUUCCGAGUUCAAGCACGUGCAUAAUUUAUGCAAUCCUUUCACUUUAACAUUCAAAACAAAGUGAGCAUAACCACUUCCAGUCAAAUCUUUCUUAUAUUCCCACAGGUAAAUCUCCAAUACAUGUACAUAAUCAGUCAUCAGACUACCAAUUACUACUCCUCAUAGUAUAACUUCAUAACCAACAUGCCUUUUCUUGGAGGUGAAAUCAUGCCUCAUAUAAAAGCAAAUGCAGGAUCAACACCAAAGUGACUCACUACUGGGAAUGAUCCCGGCAAAAUUUCGAGGGAUACUGCCUUCAUAACUCAAAAGUUUUGUAGAAAAUCUCGGAAUCAAGUAGGAAAUAAACAAAAAACUUCGAGGACAAAAGGUUCUCAAAAAGUCAUUUUCCCACUGCACUGCAUAUAAAUUUUAUAGUAUCUUAGCACAGGGUCAACCCACCUGAAAUAUCUAAAGCAUCAGUGCAGAUACAUUCAGAGAUUCAAACAUCAUAACAUCAUCAUGUUGCGUGAAGAAAACAAUGAAACAACAAAAGAAUAGAUCGAAAAUAGAACCAAAUGCUCUGCUUGGCAGUCAUUUAUGCUUCUCUCAAUCAAAUAACAGAUGCAACCACAUAAAAUGAUUUAUGAAAAUCUCAUACAUGAAUUAAAAUGUCGCCCCCAAAAAACUAUAUCCUUGACUGCUUGCUGUCAACUCAACUUGAUCAAGAUCUAACCGAGAGCUCCAGGGCAAAAUGGGGCUCUCAAACCAUAUCAUGAAUUCAUAAAACCAUCUAAACAAUCUUGACACUUAGCCCUACCUUCUCGAAUCAAGUUGUGCAACUCAAAUGAAAUUGGCCCUCUUUAAGAAUCUAAUUGUUCUACAGUAAUAUGGCCAUAUCGACUCAAUAAAAUCCAAAUACCACUCCAGCAACCACUCUUGCAAUUCUUUGAGUUUCCUUCUAGAAAGCUCCUUGUAGUCCAAGUUCUUUACAUCCACCACAGGUUGCCAGACACAAGAACGUACGUCUUCUUUUAGCUUCCCGUUUGCAACAUACUGAUAAGCAGUGAGGUAGUACACAGACAAGUUCUUAACUACUUUAACUAUCCGCUUGAAAGUGAACAAAUAAGUGCCCACAAUCCUCGGAACAGCUUGACAUAGAGGGCAACGAGGAGUGGCCCCAGGAUCCACAAAGAGGUCAGGUCCUUUGAAACUUCACUCCCAUAGGUCACAUUAAUAGCCAGGUACAAAGGAGCACUGCCAAUACAACAUAAUUAGAAGUAUGAGGAUAAAUCUCUGUAAUGGCUCAUCAGACACUAUCGAGCAUGAGUCCACUUGCCAUAAGCAAUUUUAAGUCAAAGAAUUAAUAUGGUUUAUAGAAUUUAUAUGAUUUACAAACAAAAUCAAGGGAAAGAACAGUUCUAGUUCUAACAAUUCCAAAAUCAAGCAUGAAUCCCACCAGUUUCUUAUUGUUAUCAUUUAUGUUUUUCUCGGGGGUUGUUUCAAAAUUCAUCUCAAAUUAUGAUAAAUCUUAGCUCAAUAUAACAUCUCUUUCUUUUAUAUCUACAAUAUAUAUCAAACAAUUUUAGUUGAAAUAUUAUCCAUGACUGCUAUGUUUUACAUAUUGUCCUAUUAAGCAAAAACAGAUUUCUGAUAUCAACAGUCCGUUGACCUUCAGCAAAAAUAAAAAAGGUGCCCAUCGUUCCUUUCUCUUUUCCCGUUGUAAAAAUUAUCUCUAUUCCCCACCCCCACUGAGAAAAAGAGCAGCCCUGAUGAAUUCUACCUAAGAACUUGCAGCACAAACACCAACCAUUGACAAUCGCUCUCACAUUCCCCACCCCACCGAGAAACGGAGCAGCCUAGACUCGCAGCACAAACACCAACCGUUCGUUUGCAGAGCACAAGCACAGAACAAGCACAGAAUAACCAAGAAAGAGGCGAAAAGGGAAGGGAUCAAUCGAACCUCGUGAGGAAUCGAGAGUAGAAAGGGGCGACGGCAACUGGAGUUGCGGAAUCGAGAGCAGAAGGGGACGCAGACGAAGAUGGGUGACGGAGAUGGGCGACGGCGAGGGCGACUGGAGAUGGGCGACGGCGACUGGGGACGCGGACGGAGGAGGCGGGUCCGACGGGACGACCGGAGCAAAUUGGCCAGUCUGAGGACGGUGACGGCGAGAUGAGCGGCGACGGCAUUGGAGUCAAUGGCAAGGAUGAACAGCUUCGGAGUCGCUAGGGUUUUUGGUUGAGGUGAGGAGAAGGAAUGGGAAAGCAAGGGUAGUGAGGAGAGAAGGAGUUGACGUCUCUACUGAAGGAAGAAGGGUGGAUAAAAAAAGAAACGAUUUCUAUUUCUGUUUCAGAAAUAGAGAAGCUAAAAUUUUUAGCUUCUGAUUUCUCCUCCAAAACAAUUUCUAGAAUAUAAAUCUAUUUCAGAAAUAGAGAAAUCAAUUUAUGUUACCAAACGGAUUUCUGUUCCAAACCUGUUCCGGGAAACAGAGAAACAAAGAAAUUGAGAAACAGAAAUUUUACCAUGCGCAGCCUAAUCAAUUUUUAAUUGUGCCAUAAUGACCUUUGCAGAUUAGCAUGGUCGAGCAGUCGAUUUCCGGUCGAAUUCUCAAGUCUAUUGCGUUUAGAUUCCUUAAGGCUUCAUCAAAUAGACUAGUUAUCUCUUGAGUGGCCAACUCAGAGAAAAAGGCUAUAGGCACGUUGAUGAAAAGCCCGACUCACUCAAUUGAAAAUAGACCUAAAAUUCAGGAUGUCACAACUCUUCUCAUCUUAUAAAAAUUUCUUCCUCAACAUUUAAACUAUUACAAAUAUUUAAACAAAAAGGUGGGGUUACAGUCGUCUCAUCGAAUCUUCGCUUUCUGAUCCACAAUCUGAACCGGGCUUUCCACAUACGACACUCUGUCGUCCAAGUUUAACUCUUCAAAAUUUAGCACGUGGGUCGGUCAGGCUCAUACUUCCUCAACAUCGACACGUGAAAGACGUCAUGCACUUGCGUUAACCUCGGUGGCAAUGCAAGACGAUACAUUAGGAUCCCGAUUCUUUCCAAAAUCUCAAAGGGACCUAUGUACCUCGAACUCAGCUUUCCCUUCUUACCGAAGUGCGAAGUACCCCCUUGGUGACACCUUCAGAAAGACGUGCUCACCCACUUGGAAUUUCAAAGGUCUUUGACGCUUAUCUGCAUAACUUUUGUGGCGGCUCUAAGCGGUCUUUAAUCUGUCCCUGAUAACUGCAACUGCAUCCAUUGACUGCUGGACUAACUUUGGGCCUGUGUUCUUUCAUUCUACGACCUCAUCCCAACAAACUGGCAUUUUGCACGCUCUCCCUUACAACGCUUCGAAAGGAGCCAUCUGAAUGCUCUGCUGGUAGCUAUUGUUGUAGGCAAACUUGACAAGAUGAAGCUGUUCCUCCCAGCUUCUCUUGAAAUCCAACACGCAUGCUCACAGCAUGUCUUCGAGGGUUUGAAUUGUCCUCUCAGAGUGGCCAUCUGUCUAAGGAUGAUAGGCCGUACUAUAUUGUAGCUUCGUUCUUAAGGCAGCCUGUAAACUCUUCCAAAAGGCAGCUGUGAAUCUCGAGUCUUGGUCUGAUGUAAUCAUCACCGGUACUCCAUGCAGAUAAACAAUUUGACGCACGUACAACUCUGCGUGCCUGCCAAAAUCAAGAUCCUUUCAUAUAGCGAUAAAGUAAGCCAAUUUCAUCAGUCUGUCGACCAUUACCCAAAUGGAAUAAUUACUCCUCUGACUCCUUGGUAAGCCCACCACAAAGUCCAUUGUGAUGUGUUCCCACUUCCACUCGAAAAUCUCGAAAGGUUGCAGAAGUCCUUCCGGCUUACAGUACCGUGCCUUCACUUGCUGACAGGUCAGACAUUUGGCGACAUGCUUGGCGAUAUUCGCCUUCAUACCGGACCACCAAUAAUGUUGACGCAGAUUCUGACACAUCUUCGUACUACCAUGAUGAAUAUUGUAACUGCUACAAUAAGCUUCCGAUAAGAUCUCUUCCUUAAGCUCUACAUCAUCAGGUACACACAAUCGUCCUCCAAACCGUAUUUUUUCGUCAUCAGAAAUCUGAAAGUCAGUCUUUCUCUUUUUGAUAUCCUCUUGCAGGAUUUUUUGAAUAUCUAGGUCUAUCGGCUGAAGCGUCUUAAUUCUAAUAUGCACUUCCGGCUCAAUUCUAAGGGUGACCAUAAGACUUGAAAGGUGGCCUACCUCAAAUUUUGAAAACCAAAUUUCUAGCUCCUUCGAGUAAAAUCCACGCCUGAAUCACCAUCAGUGCAAUCGAUGACUUUCGACUCAACGCACCUGUGACUUCCGUUCCUUCAAUUUUGACAGCGGCAUACAGUAAGGGGCCUUAGUGAUUGGCUCCAUCCUAGGGGCCAACUCAAACACGAACUCGAUCUCCCUUUCUAAGGGCAUAUUGGGUAAUCCUUUAGGAAACACCUCAGAAAACUCCCGUACCAUAGUCUCCAUCUUGGGUUCCUCAACUGUCGUAUCUACUACAGUUGCCAAGUAACAUUGACAACCCCCGUUUAACAAACAAGUUGCCUCAAGUGACGAGAUUAAGGUAAUUGAUGGUGCUCCUCGAUUCUCAAUAAACUCGAAACUUUCACCCGCUAACGAAUUAAAUUGGAAUACUUCACGACAACAGUCCAUCACAACAAGAGACUCCUUGAGCCAACUCUUUUCAUAUAUGACAUCAAAGUUAUACAUAAGCGAAAUAGUCAAGUACAUCCUUAGUCAACGAUUCUCAUUUUUACAACUUCACUUCAACAAACAGAAAUUCUACAAGCUUAACCAAAGUCCCACUGUGCCACUCUAAUAAAAUUACCCCAAAAACCUUCUUCCCCUUAUCGGUGCAUGGCUCGAUUCAUUCCUAUCCCCUUCGCCCUCCUAGUGGCAUCUUGUCUACGGUGCAUUCCCUCUGUUCUGUCCCAUCGAUGGCAACGAUAGCAGUUGAUGUGGUCUUAUUUGCUUGCGCAGACAAUCCUUGAACUAGUGGCCAUGCUAGCCACAUUUAAAACAAGCUCCCGUCCUAGUAUAACAUGGAGUUUAACCAUGUCUUUUCCUACAGAAAUGACACACGUCAUUCAAGUUGGGCGUUGACUUUCCAAUCCCAUCAUUUUUGUUGGGCGGAAUGGGAUACCUUCCUUCAGUCAUAGGUUUCUUCCCAAACCCUUUUCCAUCCCUGCUUGACCCAGACGCGGUGGCUUGCUCACUCAAAUUUCUCUCUAUCAACUGGGCCCGACCAUAUACCUCAUUAUAAUCCUCCAAGUCAAGCGACACCGGUGGGUUCUUCAGCUCUAGCCGGAGGCCGUUCUUGAACCUCCUAACUUUGUCUUCUGGAUCUUCUACCAAUCUUGGAGUGUACUAAGAUAGCUCUGCAAACUAAGCUUCAUACUGAUCCACAGUUAGCAUGCCUUGAUGGAGGCGUUGAAAUUCCUACAUCUUUUGCUCUCGGGCACUACCCGAAAAGUACUUACCAUUAAAGACUCUGAGAAAGGCGUCACCGGAACUAUGCCUUCGGGGAAAACGAUACCUCUGGUGGCCCUCCACCAAAUAUUCGCGUUACCCUGCAACUGGUAUACUGCCAGGACAACCUUUUUCUCCUUAGUGCACAUCAGAAAUGCAAAAGCUUUCUCUAGGCCUUGGAUCCAGAGCAUUGCAGCCUCAGGAUCUCCUGCAUCGAUGAACCUCGGCGGGUUCAGCUUCAAUAACCGCUCCAUAAGCUUAUGCAUCGGCCUCUCUCUCUCCACAACUACGUUCCCAACUGGAACUUUGGUAGGUGCGGCAGCAGCUGCGGUCUCAGCGGUGGCGGCAGCAGCAAUAGUAGCGGUAGCUUGAGUGACGGCAAUAGUGGCGACAGCUUGAUUCUAGGCUUGCUGCUCCAUUAGAGCUCCAAGCAUCUCUAGCGCCUGCAUGAUCCAUUUGAUUCUGGGAUCACCAAGGGCUGCUACCCCAGCACCAACAGAAGGCAGUGCUACACCACUAGCGCUAGCCUGAACCAACGCUCUACCACGACCCCUUCAGGUACCAACCCUAGUCGGCGUCCUACCCCAAGUAGCAGGUCCAAUGGUUCUCUUUCUAGGAGUCUUUUGCUUAUGAUCACUCAUUAUACAAGUUUUUUAUAGAAACUUACUUUCCAAUUCCACACAGAAUUAGAAGCUAAGCGAUCCCCACAAAACAAUCGACCAAACAACUAUCACUGACAUGCACCAGCAUAAUCAAAAGGCCUUUCCUACUAACUAUCCCAUAACCUAUUGCACAUUAUCACUCCAACUAUCAACCAACUCUGAUACCACUUCGGACGGGGAUGUCACGCCUUGAUCCUCGAGCGCGCGCACAUCCCUCGGUGAUCGAUGAAAUUGAGACUUCCUAGGACGAGUCGCCAACCCUUUCAUUUUACUACACAUGCGGAAGAGAAUAAACAAAUCCCUUGGUAGCAAUCAUCUCAAGAUAGAAAAGAAUGACAAUCAAAUCAUAAAAGCCACAUUUACAUAAACAAACUAAUUUAUACACAGAGGCCAACUCGAGGGUCUAUGUACAGGAGGUUUAUCUCCAAAAAGAACUACUAAGCUACCCAUGCUCCUGACCCUUCUGCCUCAAGCUCUAGGUUCUUCACACUAGGGACUAAAAAAUGGUAACCCAUGACGGGGUGAGAUAUAAAUUUCAGCGAGUUUAUGCCCUAAACCCUGAUUAUAAAGAUAAUACACCUAGAGACAGCCUACACACAUAGCCAAUAAGACUCACCACGCCUUAGUUUCUUCCUACACAUUAGUACAGUUCAUAAAACAUAUGCAGAUAAUCAAUGCACUCAUUAAUUGGAGCAUCUCACUAUCAAACCAAUCAAACACAGGAGUCCCGAUUAUAAGGCCAAAUCAUUAUGACACGUCUCAUACCGUGUCUCACAAUUUUGUCUCAUAAUUAGGCACAGGUAACUCAUAUCGGUGGUUCAAUCCCCACCCGAUAUUCACUUUCAAUAUUGAAAUUCCCAAUUCAAACUCAACAUCCCCAUUAACUAUUCCGACUCUACAUUCCAACUCAAUACUCAAACUCAAUAACAGACUCAAGGCUCUAGAAGUGACCCACACGAAGUCUCGCUAUCGUGUAGUACUUAGGCCUUGACAACAAAUAGCAAUAGUACAAGGCACUAGAGGUAACUCACAUAAAGUCUCGCUAUCAUGUAGUACUUAGCCCUUGACAACAAAAAAAGCAAUAGUACAAGGCACUAGAGGCGACUCACACAAAGUCUCACUAUCAUGUAGUACUUAGCCCUUGACAACAUAAUCAUAACCAGCCAUAACCGGCAAAAAAAGCCCACUCACGCGUCUUCGAAUUUAAAUCUAGAAACGUAAUCAAGCAAGUUUGUAAAAUUCCAAAUUCGAAUAUGUUAUAAAGGACACAUAAAUGAACAUUUUUUUAUGAAGACACCUUAAUCCAAAUCUUUCUAGAUUUGUCCCAGUAAAUCGCUCAAUCCAAUAUAAAAAACUCGGUCUGUUUCUAGAAAGUCCGUUUUCCAAAAUCAGUUUGGUUUGAGAUCCAAAACUUGUCCAUUUGAUCUGAAAUUUGACUAUGUUAAACUAAAAUAUGUGACAAACAACUUUUAUGAAGAAACCAUUUUGAAAUUUGAACCCUCAGAGUUGAUAAAAAUCCUUAAAAUCACAAAAGGUCCUAAAUUCCAACACAGUCCGAGAUUCUGUUUGCAAAUGACAGAGCUGAUAUCUCUUUCUUAUAAAUUCCUAAAAAUAUUGAGAAAAAUCUAUGUUAUAGCUGAAGAUAUCUAAAACAUUUAUCAAGAAUGAAGUAAUCUCAAAAUCACAACACAUUUUGGUUCAUAAAAAUGUAAAACGGUGAGGGUUUAGAAAUCAGAACUGAAGAAAGUCCACUGAAUUGGACUAAUCCAUCAUCAAUGGUGCUAAUCUCACUAAUUAGAUUAACAAUAAUCCAUUCUAAGGUUAAUCUAACCAUUUUAGAUUAGCACUAGUCCAUAUUAAGAUUAAUCUAACCAACCAUUAAGCAUAAUUAACCUCAUAAGUAAGGUUUAGUGAGUAAAUUCACCAGUUUUGCAGGUCGAUGAGUCCAUUGUGACGGUGACGCAGAAGUGAGCGGAACACAAGCCCACGACAAUACCAAACAAGGCCGAGAAAGGCCCGGAAAAGCCUCACGAAGUCUUGGCUGGGGUGAGAUCUUCGACUUAUGCUCUUGGGCUGUAAAGGCUGGUUGAGCAACCGAUUGGGGCUAAAAUAGGCCUGGCAAGGCUAGGCGGCGAUGGCAAGGGCUCAGGGACGGCACCGACAGCUUCUAGGUGGCUGGAGGUAGCUCGACGGGCGGUGACGUGGAUUGAUGGAGGCCUCAGGAUGGCUGGGGACGCGCGGAACAAUGCGCGGCAAACGGACGACGGGCACGACUCGCAGGCGUGCUCGGGCAGUGAGCAGCACUCGGAUAGGAGGCAGGGCUACUCAGCAGUGGCUGUUGGCUUGCAAGCUAGCUUCCUCUGGUUCUUGAGCUCACAAACACAGCAAGAAUGGAGAAAGUAAGGCUAAGGGAGAAAGAGAAGAUGGUAGCUGCCAAGGGGGACCCAAAAUGCCUUCAAUGCUCUCCAAAUUGUCAAGAACACCAGCCUUUAGUCCUAUCCUCUACCCCUUAUCCACUCCACUUCUCCAAGAAGCCUCCCAAGGUGGCUGAAAUGUUGCAUCCCUCCAAGGCUACGAAUUUUAGACAUUUGCCUCUUCAAUUUCAUUCAAAUCCAACUCAAAAUAAUCCAAUUGAAGCCCAAACAAUUCAGCCAAGGUACCAUCAUCUCUCUUAUGAUUUUUCCUCGUCAAUUCAUCCAACUUUAAUCCAAAAAAUGCGACCAAAAACGGCUCUCUAAUUUUUCCAGUCUAAAACGGCCUUACUUUGACUUUUAGCCAAAAAUCUCGGUUUGCAAAAAGAUUUUUGGAGGAUGAGUCGAUGUUCCUAAAAUGAAUUGUGACAUGACAGAACUUUCCAUUUCUGAAAUUGGAUUCAAAUUUGCGAUUAAUUUCAACCGAGCGCGAUUUUAGAGUGACCUAAUUUACCGAGUAGCAUUUAGGAAUUUUUAGUGCAAUUGACCCAUUGUCGAUUACUUUUGAGCCACAUUGUACAUCUUUGACUCAUUGGCGACUCUCAAUUUUCGUGAAAAUCUUGAGAUUUGAAAUACGGACACAGGGUACCAAAACGACAGAAAAAUUCGGUCUAAUGCCGAUCGACAAGAAUUUUUGCAAUUAGGUGAAAUCACCCACACUUAAUCACANNNNNNNNNNNNNNNNNNNNNNNNNNNNNNNNNNNNNNNNNNNNNNNNNNNNNNNNNNNNNNNNNNNNNNNNNNNNNNNNNNNNNNNNNNNNNNNNNNNNUGUCUUAUGUGACACGAUUGUCGCUAAUGUAGACAAUUUUUAUAAUUUUGUUUGACUUUUUGAAUUUUUUAUUUUAUAUAUUCUUUUUCUUUCUUACUUUUCCUUCUUCUUUUUUUCUUCUAAGUCCGAUGAGGGUUGUCGACCCUCAUUUGCCAUAGAUCGCUAGUCAUGGUCAAGGGUCGUCGGCCCUCGCUUGUGGUCGAUGAGGGUCGAGUGGCCCUCAUCGAACUUGGUAAAAAAAAAAAGGAAAAGAAAGAAAAUUAAUAAAAAUAAUAAUAAAUUAUAAAAAUUGUCCACAUCAUAGUAUCAAUGUCAGCAAUUUUCAAUUAAAAUUGGCCAAAAUGACUACAUUAGUAAAUCGUCAAAAGUUUUAGGAUUCAAUUUACAAAAUUCAAAAGCUUAAAACUAAAUUGACAUAUGUACAAUAUGUUUAUGACUUUUUGGGUAAUUUUACUCAUUUGCUAUUGAUAAUUCUUUGAAAAGUUCAUUUAAUAUCUUAUUAAUCUUUCAGAGUGAGAAAGGGAAAAAAAAAGAAAAAGAAUCGCUUGGUUUUGUUUUCCUAAAGGACAAUUAAUUUAUUUUUUUUGGUCGAUCAAACAUUAUAUAAAUCAAAUCCUUUUCAUGUAGAGUCCUAGCAAGGUCUAGAUAACCGGGGAUAUUGGAGUUGGCAGUUGAUUAUCUAGACCUUGCUGUAAGGCAGCCAGUCCAACAGAGGGCAUUUCACCCUCCCUUUUUCACCCUAGACGUGAAAGGCUAUUAUACCUGCCUAUCUGACAGUAGCCAGAGUGUUUCCACCCUGACAUGGUGUCUAUUUUCACAACUAAAGGGCCUCCUAAUUCCCCUCUCUAUCUUUUUCUUCCUGAAAAGGAGGGAAUAUAGGAGUGACAUUACAGGGUCUUUCAUCUUAGGGUGAAUCUCUCACCUAUUUCUUCCCUUUAAAGUCUACUCUAUUUAGUAUCUCAUCAUAAGGGUGAGCAUCGGUCUAGGGUCAACCCUAGACUGACGCUGGACUGGCCCAACCUUGCCGGUCCUGGUCUGGUUCCUAGGAAGACUGGGUCGGUCCUUGGUCCUAGAAUUCCUAAACCAGCAUUAUGCGGGUUGGUUCUCAGUUCUAGGAGUUUAGGGUCGGUUCAACCCGAACCAACCCUAACUCUAUAUAUAUAUAUUAAUUAAUAUAAUAUAUUAUUUAUAAUUUUUUUAUACGGAGAAAACCUUAAAAGAAACGAUGUCAACAACAUUAAGCAGUUCUUUAGUAAGGAGUUCAAGUAAUUUUACAUUGUUAUUUAAUAACUUAGAUUUUUAAUGUCUUUUACGACGUCAAUAGUUACAAUUUACGAAUGAGUAAAAUGUUUUUGUGAGGAGUCUUCAUGGUGUCCAAAAGGGUAUAAAUAGCUCCUUAUGACAUCCUACUCUAGUAAUCGUUAUCUUUUGUUGUAGUUGUCAUCUUAGUCUUCAAUUUGUCAAAAUCAAAAUAAACAACUUCUUUGCUCGUCACUCAACACUCACCUCGCUUGCAUUUGGGUCGCUCAUGCCGCUUGCCACUUGAUGCUCGCUUGGCUUGUUGCUCCUUACUUGACAUUCGAUGCUUACUCUAUUCGACGCUCACCCCACACGACCCUCAUCGCUUGCCUAUUUUAGUUGACCUCGCUCGUCAUCAAACCCAUUAGGUCGGUCCAGUUCUUAGUUGCCGUUUCAAGGAGUACAAAAAAUGAAAUAAAAAAUUAUUGGUUGGUCUCUGGUUGACCUUGGAACCAAACCGAACUCAUUAGGUCAGUCCGAUCAUCAAUCGCUUUUUUAAAGAGUACAAAAAAUGAAAUAAAAAAUUAUCAAUUGGUCCUAAGUUGACCUUAGAAUCGGACCGAAUCCACUGGAUCGGUCCAGUCCUCAGUCCCAAGCUUAAUAGAGUUAGUCCUCAAUCCCAAAAAUUAAGGAUCAGCACUGUUCAGGUUAGUCAUAGGGUUAGGGGGUGGACCGGCCCAACCCGGACCAUGCUCACCCCUUGUUCACGAGAAUAGAAUAUAUAUAUAUAUAUAUAUAUAUAUAUAUAUAUAUAUCUGUGUGUGUGUGUGUGUGUGUGUGUAUACACACAUAAUAUAUAUAUAUAUAUAUAUAUAUAUAUAUAUAUAAAUAGGUUUUUAUAAGCCUAGAAGAAUUUUAUACUAACGGUGGUCAUCUUUAAAUGAACAGGAUAAGAAAAACUCUUUAGUGUCAACACAAGAAAGAAAUGAGGAGAAACCCUUUCUUGUGCGAAGGAAAAGAUGAAGAAGAAGAUAAGGAAUAAUCAAUCCAUUGCUUUCUAUCUUCCACUUACUUAUCUUAUGCUUAGUAUCUGUUGAAUUUUAGAUUUUAUUCAUUAUUAGAAUAUAAAACUAUUGAUCCAUUAUAUGAGAUUUUAAUCUCGCAAGAGGGACAUAAUGAUGCCACUCGAAUUUGGCUUGAAAAAGAAAUGGAUAAAGUCAAAUAAUAUUCUUCAAAUACACAUGCUUUGACGAGAAUGUGAGACAUGUUAUUUCUAACAUCGAUAUCCGAAAUAGAAUACAAGCAAGAAGCUUUUAAUAAUUAUUUAUCAUAUAUAACAUAAUUGAAUCGUCAAAACAAUAAUUCGAUUCUUUUUACUAAAUUAAUAUUGGAAAUCUAUAAAACCUAGAAAUCAAUUUUAGACAAUUGAACUUCUCAAGUUGUCUCUUGUUGAGAAUAAAAGGUAUUUGUGCCAAAAUAUUAUAUGCUAAAAAAAACAGAAAAGAAAAUGCCUAGAACAUGGAAUUGAUCUUAAAAUACUAUUUCUAUAUCAUGGCAGGAGAGAUAAUUAUCAAAUCAAUGCUAAAUCUAUUGUAUAAAUACUAAUUCAGUCCUAAAUUUUUUUUAUUUUGCCAAUGUAAUUUUAAACCUUCGUGCGAAAUUUUGAAAUAGUUCUUCCAUCCAACUGCUGUCGAAAACUGUUGAUGUCAUGCCUAGUCAUCUCCGGUCAUCCUACAUAGUAAAUGAUAGUGAUGGCUUUGCUCAAAGCAACAUCUUAUGUGGACCACAAUGUUAGCAAUUGGCUAGAAUGACUAUUUUGAAAUUUCGCACAAAGGUUUAUGUUGACACUCAAGUUUUUAUAGACGUUUUAAGUAUUCGCUCAUUUUACAAGAUAUAAAAAAUAAAUAUAAUAAUAAGCAAACAAGAAAAUUAAACAAAAAUUAAUGGUAAUAAAAAAAAAACAGAUAUAAAACGAAGGAGAUAAAAAAAAAAUGGUAAUAAAAUUCGGAGCCCAUAUUCCUUAGCAAAUUUCGGACCUGCCGAGCCCGCGUAACCAGCCAAUUUCUCUUAUUUCGUUUAUGUCUUUCAAACUCACUUUCCUUGGCCCAUUUUCCUUUCUUUGUUCACAUAAGCCCAUCAGAACUAAAAAGAAACAAAAAGCCCAGCCCAUCCCAGCUUUUCCUCUGGCCUUGCUUCGGUAAGGACCAGCGUGCUUGGGGAGAAGAAAAGGAGAAGCGCGACCGCGGCGACACAGCAGAAAGACGGGAGCGUUCGGCCAUUGUUGAGGGAGGGGAGAGCAAGGAAGGCUCUGCAAAAAAGUGACAACCAGAGGGAAGGAGGGACAGCCAGGGGAAAGUUCACUAGAGACGUGUAGCUCGCUCGACGGAGGAGAGCUCGCUGGAAGCAGCCAAGGAGAAAGGAGAAAUCUGAGAGAACGAGAGAGUGCAUCCCGUUUAGGAGCGACGGAAAACCGCAUCGCCGGAGCUCGCCGUCGAUUUUCCAGAGCUCCAGUCAAAGGCCAAUCCGCGAGUUGUUCUUCACAGUUGCUCUAACCAGACGCUCUUCAUCGUCGUCAAUCGAGACCUCGAUCCGCCAAACAAACCGGGAACAAUCUCGCUCCAAACGCUCUUCUCUGUCUCUGUUUUGGCCGAGAAAGAAAUGCUCGACUCGAUCGAUUUGCUUGAAAGAAUCUUUGAUAAAACGAAUUUUUGUAUUGUUGCUAAAAAUGGUGUUUUAAGUCUGUACAUAACGUGUGAAGCUGAGGAUCUCGUUAAAAUCAAAAUCAGAGAACUAUUGAAAGAUCUGCAUAUUGCAUGUUUGAUCAAAAUGCCUAACAGAGGGCCGAAAGUUCAAUCACGUUUAAACUCAUGAUCGAUCCGUACUUGCUGCGUCAUUUGUUGAAUCGUGUCUAAUACUAGCAUUUUCUCUGUGUUUCUAUGCGUUUUGAUGAAAAAUCUUUGCUCGAGUCCAACGUGCAUGCAUAUCUCCAAUGCUGGAAAGCUUUCCGUCGGAGAAUUCCAUCGCACCAGCGAAGUCAGCGUUUCAAGGGCAUAUUAGUUAGCCCAUCUCGCUUCAUUCUAAUGCAAGUUUUCUUGUGAACUUGCUGGGGUUGCUGCUGUUAAAAAUGUGGAUUCGGUAGGAUGGUUUUUGUUAAGUUUUCGGAUAGAUGGAGUGGGCAGCCGGAGGUGGUCAAAGUGGGUCGGAAUAGACGAUCGCGGUCGGAGAUAGGUCGGCGGUGAUCUAAGCUCUCGUGAUAAACUCGUCGGUGAUGAUAUUUGUUUCGUUAAAAAGGAAUAUAAAAAAAAAAAAAAAAAAUUGGCCGCGAAAGGUGGAGUUGCAGGUUGAAAAGAUGGUGUUCGGGUAGAGGAUGUCGAGAGAAGAAGGGAGAAAUGCAGGCAGAACGAGACAAAAAAAUAAAAAAAUAAAAAAAGGCAAAUCAAUUAAAAAAUUCAAAAGAAUAUUAGAAAUCGGUUUUAAUCCGACGCGGGUCGGAUCCGGUUAUACGGUUGGGGUCAGAGAUUCGGAUCGAAUUAACGGUCUGAACCCAUUCGCUGAAUAGAAUAAAAUAAAAUAAAAUAAACAAAUUCUAAAAAAAUUCUAAAAAAAUUCAUAAAAGAUAUAAAAAUCCUAAAAAUCAAUAAAAAUAGGAAAUUCGAAGAUAUAGAAAAAUUCCGAAAAUUUUAAAAUUAUUGUUAUAAAAAAAAGAAAAAUAGAAAAUUCUUAAAUAACAAUAAAAAUAAAAAAUUUCAGAAAAAUUCCAAAAAUAUUUAAAGAUUCAAAAAAAUAAAAAUAUUUUAAUAUAUAUAAAUUUUUAAUCUCGAAGAUAAAUAAAAAUAAAAAGUAUUUAAAAAUAUUAAAAAUUCAGAAAAAUCAUUAAAAAUUCAGAAAAUCAGAAAAAAAAAUUCAGAAAAAUUGGAAAAUUCUUAAAAAUUUUAAAAUAUAAAAUUGGAUAAAGUUUUACAAUAGGAUUCUUUAUUUUAAAUUUCACAACAAAUUUAGGAUUUUUAAUGUGUUUAUCUCUUGAAUAUUCUAUUUUCAUUGUAAAUAUCGCAAAUCAUAAAAUUUUAAUGAUUGGUAUGAUAGAGAUAUUUAAUUUUUUUCUGAUUUUCUAUAUUUAUUUUGGUUAUGUAUACCUAAUUAGAUUUCUUUUACCUCCUCAAUUAUUCAACUACUCUUUUCUAGAACAUCGAAAUUUACAUAAAUUGCAUAUUAAUCUCUUCCACAUCAUUAUUUUUAACUUAAAAAAAAAAACAAAACAAAACAAAACAAAACUCUAAAGUUUUUCACCGCAAACCGUUCAGCUUCUCUGUGACUUUUUCUCUCUUCAUCACUCACAUCGUUCACUAUAAGCUCAAGCUCAAACGGUCUCUCUCCGUUCGUCUUUGAUUUCGCCAAUGCCUGUGCCUAGUGAGUGACGCUGACUCUGGUUCGUCUCUGUUCAUCGGUGGUGUCAUUUGCUAUGGUUUUUUUUUCUCUAUUCUUUUCUUCUUUUCGGUUUGGCUUUUUUGAUAACAAGGAAUUGGAGUGAUGCGGGUUCAUGACUCGUGAAUCAACUCGAUAUCCUUAAAAUGUAUUUGCUGAUUGUCGAUUGCGAUGUGAACCCAUUUGUUCUUAUUUGCUUUCCAUUGAUUCUUGCAUUUUUUUUUUCCUGCCUUGGUUUCUUUUCUUUUUCUUGGUUUGCAAAUUUUAAUAUCUGUUAUUUUACUGAUAGAUGUUAGUUUCCUACUUGAAUUAUGGGGUUUUACCCUGCUUUGUCUUCUUUCCAAUUCGUGCAGUUUACGUGAUUUGAGUUCCAAUUGCUGUUCAUACUAUGCCUCAGUCACAUUGUUUAAUGUCCUAAGGAUUCAUUCCGAGUGAGGUUUUGAACUUUUAAGAGCUCUUUCUUUAGGAUUCCUUGUUGGGUUUUGCUUGGAGGGGUUUAAGACUGUUUAUUCAUGGCUUUGCCUCUUUUAUUGUGACCAUUUUCUGUUACAUUUACAAUCUUAUCGGAUAUUCUUAUGACCAUUCGCCUCCAGCAGAUGAAGAUAAUAGAUGAGCAUUUUAAUUGAGUUGUGAUCUCUUACUAAGAAUUGUUAAUAUUUCCUGUCUUGGUGAUUUUUAUCCAUGGGAAACACAAGACGCAUGGUCAUAUGCGUUGGUCCACGCGUAGUGCAAAUAAGCUGUGAAUUAGAAGAGAAGGUUGAAAAAUCACACAUGGGUGUUGAGCUACGUUCUAAUUCAGAGACUGAAACUGAGCAGCCUCAAGAAUAGACUACAAAUGUGAAUGCAUCAGGUAAGACCUACCUACAUAUAUUUUGUGUAAUUUUUCAUUGUACUAAAAUGGUCCGCGUAUUGAUCUCGUUUGAUAAUAUUAGUUCUGUCUUUUAAUAUUUAGAAUUUCUUGUCUAGUAGCUACCACUAGAAAAAGGAAGCGCGGCUUUAUGUGUCUAUCGGGCAUAUGGAAUCUUCCUCCUGGGAAACACAUUAUUGUCAAGUUAGGGAAGAAAAUGCAGCCCAGUGGCGGCUUUAUGUGUCUAUCGGGCAUAUGGAAUCUUCCUCCUGGGAAACACAUUAUUGUCAAGUUAGGGAAGAAAAUGCAGCCCAGUGGAGGUUUGGGGAGCUCCUCAGAACCAUUGGUAGCGAAUUGGUACCAUUGUUGACAACUUGAAACAAAUUACCAAGGAUAUGAGAAACACUAUGAUUAGGAUUGUAGAGGUCGUUAGGUUGUACUCAUAUGAAAUCCCAUUCAUGUUGUAAAUAAAUUUAACAUCAUUAUUAAUAUUUCUUUGUUGUAGUCUAAGUUUGAUUAUCUUCGUACCAGCUAUGGAAAAUUUGGUUUUACAUUCCUUUAAUUCUAAAUGGAGUUAUUGGAAAAGUGAUCUAAAAGCUCACUAUGAUAGCUCUCAAUCUUUAUCGUAUCAUUUGAAGAAUCUUUUGGAAAGAUUGAGAAGAGAUGGAAAAAUCUCGUCACUUUUUGAAGUUCAAAGGAAGGGAAGGUAUGAAUCUCGUUCCAGCAUUGUUUUAAUAUGACCUGUCGACAUUAAGUAGACUUUCAUCACCCGUUAUUGACCAUUUUGUGAUAGCCUUAUUUUUAUUAUUUUUUUUUUUAGCAGAAGCUGAGUGAUGCAAAUAAGGCAGACAGAGCAAAACAAAAGAUACAACACACCUUAGGGAAUAAAAGUUUGUCUAGAAUAACUGCAGCAAAGGUACUCUCAUGUUUUCCGUUAAAUUUUUGUGUUUCCCUAUAAGUGAUAUUUCUAUUUUGUAAUCAAUAACUUUUUUUAAAAAGAUUCUGCGGUGGUGAUAUAUCAUUGAACCUAAGGUAAAGAUGUCCUGAGAUUUGCGACUUUUCCGACAAUAUGCGUUUUAAUAGCAGUUGUCGUAGGAAGAAAACAUAGGAUUUGUUCUAGAUUGCCUCCUUAAGAUUGUCCACGUUCUUAGCACCUGCAUUGAUAUCUUGUUAUUAUUCCCUUUGCUUUGUGAUUUGGAUUUGCUAGUGAAAGCAAAAUCAUCCACAACUUGCUUCAGGUUUAUCUAGAACACAUAGCCCGCCAUCAUUAACAAAAGAGCUAUGCAGCAGCCAAAGCUAUAAAGUAACUUAUAGAUUAUGAAACUUGUACAAUUUUCUAUUAAUUUGCUAACAUGACUGCAGUUUUGUAUAUGAGAGUGAACGAAAAAACAGAAAACUACUGCAGCCCUAGAAUACCCAAUUACUAGCUGUGCCAUGUCACAUGUAUGCACACGUCCCCACAAUUGUUGAAAAGCCAUUCAAUAUAGUUCAUCUAGUGUUAACAAAUGUCAUGCGGUCUUGGCAAUGACAAUAUUGCUGCUGCAAUUUAUCAGGAAUUUAUACAAUUAUCUGAACAGAAGAUGAACAGACCAAGAAAAGAGGGCAGGCUGGAAUAAAUAGUCUAAAAUUAAAACCAAAAGUCUAACUUCCUAGUGUGUGUUUUCAUAUGGUUUCGGUAGAUGACAAGCCAUAUAACAAUCCGCAAGAAACACCUAUAAAAAGAAAGAAUGAGAUUACUUUUCAAUUUGAUAUCUUUGGACAUCUUUUCCUAUUUUACAGGAAAGUCAGUUAUGAUGACUAACCAAGUUCUGGCACAUGAUAGGAAGCAGAGUUAAGAAUUCAGCUUAAAAUUGCUCAACAAUAAAUAGUAGCAUCAUUAUUUUAUUUCAUGAUACUGAAAUGCAAGGAAGCAUGAAUGAUCUCAUAGAUCUAUAUUUGGAACUUGGAAAGAGCAAUCCCCCCAUGAAAUAAUGUUUUUCCAGUGUUGGGAAAAAAGAAACCCGGUGCAUCUGAUGCUAGGGCAUAGUCCAUGCCCGAAUGAUUUGGGGCCUCAAAAUCUAGUUGUCUUCCAACCGAGAACUUAAGGUCAAAGAAAGAGAAGGAUGAAGAGAUUCACAAGUUGAAGAAAUAUAGUUGUCUUCCAUCCAAGAAAUGAAGGUUAGGCAAUGAGAAAGAUGAAGAGAUUCACAAGUUGAAGGGAAUACUGAAAGCAACAAAAGAGCAAUUACAAAAGACAAAAUGGAGACGUGCAAGGGUUACGGGCUCAAAAAGAUGUCUACUAUUAUACAAAAUUGUCAGCAUGCAGCAGACUCGAAGUGGUCUCAUGAGAUCUGGACAAGGUAAGUAUGUCACAAGCCAUGAGGUGUGACUAAUUUCAUUGAAUGUUAAAAUAGUGAAAGGUGUUUUAUUUACUAAAUACUGAGUGAUCUAGAUAUUGGACACUAAGGGGGUUUUAAAGGGAAUAUAGGUGGGAUAGACUUGAAACAUGAGUAUGGUAUCAGGAUCGCUUCGAUGGAGCUUGGAAGUGGAAUACAAAUUUACCAUAUUGUUACUAUGUUUUUUUUGCUGUGACUAAAUCAUGUUUUGGGUUUACUUCUCUUACAUCAUGCCUUGUCCUUUUUGGUAAUUUUGAAGUAUACAAGUGAUUGCCCUUAUCAGUCACUGCUGGGUGUUGCUCCUUUUUUUUUUUUUUUUAAGAAGGUCACUGCUGAGCUCUUUUGUCCUUCUCUGUAUAGAUCUUGGGGUGUUAUAGCAUCUUUUAUAUUGAAGAGAAGUUGAAAUGUUGCCUGUUUUGGCACUUGAGAGUGGUUGAGGGACAUAGUCAAAUGCUUGGAAAUGGUCUAUGUUGAUGAAUGGGUUUAUCAGAUGACCUAAUACCAUAUGCUGAUGAACCUUACGCUACUCUAUUUUUGGCCCUCAAUGCAUUUCUUCUUCUUCUUGCUCUUAAAGGUUAGGCUUCUAUUUUCAUAAUCAAACUUCUCAAGUUUACUGGGUUGCAGCAAUGAUUGUGAUUUGUGAACUAAUUUACAGCCAUUCGAUAUUGGUUAUAGUGUUUAUAAGAUGCUUUGGCCACUCACAACUAUGUUUUUUGCAAUGAAGUGAAUGGAGCUCCUUUGUUCAUGUCUCUGCAUUUUUUUCAAGUGAUGGGAAAUGUGGCUGAUCAUGUCUUGCUCAUUUUGUUUUAACAAAUAAGCUUCUCUACGUUUUGAUAUGCUUUACAGAUUAGUUAUGAGCUCCUAUGUUCAUUUAUUUUAUUACUUUCUGUGAUCUAAGCUUCCUCUACAUCCUUCUCCAAUCCAAAUUAUUAAAGGUUUAAUUGUGCGAUGUUCAACUAGUGAUCACUCCCAUGAUAUCUUGUGCUGGUUUCACACCCAUUAUGCUUAAUCCUCUUUCCUGCACUCAUUUGCUUUGCAGGAUGAUGACCAUCAUAACCCACAAUAGAGAUCUCCAAAAAUCAGUUUAUGCUCUCCAUUGUCGAGUCAUGAGCCACACUCUAAAAGAUGGGGUUAGUGUUACCUCCAAAGGUACAUUGAUCAUUGUAGAGCCCGCAUUGUUAUAAAUGUCUUAGGUCCAGCAAAAAAAGAACAAAACAGCUUCUUGUGCCUGUUGUUGAAGAAAGCUCAUUAAAGAACUAGUAUAGUUCCCGCAUCUUCAAGAUAUGGCGAGGCUAGAAAAGAUUUUAUAGCGAUGAUAGGACCUCUUUCAUGUGCAGUCGAACAUUAUGUCCGAGCUAUAGCUAAAAUUGCUUUAGAAUGCGAAAAAGGAAAACACAGCAACAUAGUGUUUUUGUUGCAGUGAUUCUCUCACGGACAUAGGGUGUCUAUCUCUCCCUCUCUGAGCCUACCUUGUUUAAUUAUUCCUUUCUAGCAUUGGAACAGUACAAAGAGCAAUCUAAAGAGUCCAAUAACUUAUGGAUGCCGGUGAAAAAUUGACCAUUGUCCUUCAGUACAUCUAGACAAUUUUUGGAUUGCGCCAAAAAGGCGAAAGCCCAUGCUUGAGAAGUUUUCGCCUUUUUGUCGUGAUCUGUGUGACGUGAUCAAAUGGAUGAUUCAGGGGUUUCAUGGCUGUUGCGUGACGGCUAAGCAAGUUGAGCGUCAUAACUCCUGAGCACGUCAACUUCUUUUCAUUUUGAAUUUGUUGUUUUUUUGAAUCUUAUGACUUUAAGAAGUUAAUAGAUUUAGCUUUGAGAAGAUUUUGGAAUAAAGUACCCAACAGAGACGAGGAUUUCGCAUUAUUCAUCCGUUGAUGUUUUUUGGGUGGAUAUGUGAUGCGUUGUCCCGAGGGAUGUUGAGAACAUGAGGCGAUUCUCUUGUUCCAUUUCCGAUUAUUAGCAAAGCCAACAUCUUGGGAAUCAUCUAUAGCGUAAGAGCUAAAAAUAAAGAUAAAAGUAAAUAGGCGCGCGCUAUGCAAACGCAACAGACCUAAAAGAGUUUGUCAUAUAUAUUAAUUAGUCAACCUUUAUAAUGCAAUAUUUGCUUGUGGUUAUCUAACUAAUUUUGAUGACAUGUUACAGGUGUCAAAUGUUUUAGGUGUCAAAUUUUGUAAUACUACAUACAUGUGGCUUGCAUGUUGUGUUAAUAAUUUAAAAGGAUGUUAGGAAAAUGAAAGCAUGAUAUUACUUUAAAAAAAAAAUUAUGAGAACUAGAGAUGGAGUUUCACAUUAUGGUUUAGUUUCUAAGUUAUCGAUAAUUGAGUAGAAUCGACUUUAAUCUCGGACGCAUAUGCUAUGUAGAGUUGAGCUUGAGCAUGAGAUUGAGAAACAAAGUUUUGGCGUACUAACAGUACAAUAUCAAACCAUCACUUUCAACUUAAACUUUGUAUCAACAAACUACUUCAAAUGAAUUUGUAGCUCGAUUGCAAUUUUAUAGCUUUUUUAUUUUUUCCCAAAUGAAGUACCUUUUCUUAGACACUUUUAGUUCAUUGACCCACUAAAUAAUAUGCUACGACAUUCCUUGCAUGCCAACAAGAAUGACGCUAUUGGUCUUCAAAACUUCACAAAGCCUCUCAAACGUAUACAAGUCCCGUGAAAGCUUGAUUCCUGAAAUCAACUAGUAAUACAUAUGAACUUAUUUUUACUGUGUUUAAUCUAUUUGUCAAUGUAUACUAUUUAUAAGAAAUAGAUAGAAGAUGUUAACUACAUUCACUGAGAUUGAAAUACUCAAAAGGAUACAGAUGAAAGUCAAAAAUAAUUGCAUUCAUUGAGAUUGAAAUAUGAGAGAUGAUCUAUAUAUAAUAGAAAACGAUAUCAUAUGAAAAGAUACAUAAAAUCUGGUGAGAUUUGCAUUGCGAUUAAAGGAACGGGAUUAUAUGUGCAUAUUUAGUAUAUCACAUAAGUUUAUUUCUUGCACCACCAAAUGCAAACAAUUUAAUACUAAGCCAUUCACCCAAUCUUUGGCUUGUACCCUACUUGGUCCAUGAGAUUAGUAAGGUAUGAUAUGGGCGAGACAUCUUAUCUGCUCAGGAUAAGUUUCUUGGAAGUUGGAAGGAGAAACAAUAUCUUAUUACCAGAAAAUGGCCAGAUUAUUUAUAAAUCAAGUAGAUAAAGCCCCCUCCUCCUUUCCCCGCUUUCUAUCUAGUGCACUUAUGGAAGUAGGUCAAUGAAAUUUCAUUUAUGUGAAUUAACAUACGCAUAAAUACACUUUUUUGUUUCUUUUUUUUUUCACGACUUUUAUGAAAACUGGUUUUGUUCUCAAUCUAGCCUAAAUUAAGAAAUUUUUAUGUAGACAAUCGACUAAAUUAUAGUAGAAGAUAAAACUAAGACUCAACCUAGGCAUCAAAAGUUAAAUGAGUAGCAGAAAUAGACACUGUGCCCGACAUGAAUCCUUGACUAAAAGAAUGAAUUCCUAGAAGAUCGACUUCUUUAACUCCUAUUUGAAGUGGCUUUCAAUCGAAUGUAAAAAAUAGGGGAGGAUACGGAAAUACAUCAUCGACCAAUUAAUAAAGUAUUUUAGGUCUGAAGUUUGGGAGUGAAGUCAAUGUUUGAGACUUACUGUAAGGAGAUGUGAAAAGUUUUUCCGACCUGCCUAUAUCUCCUUUCCUUCUUCGUUCAUUAUACCGGUAAGCGGCUGCUGUUCUUCGGUCAUUCCUGGUGAGCAUCCGGUGCUGUGGUUAUCCUUCUAUUGGCGUCAUGAUCUCUAAUUGCAAUCAUCAUCAUCGUGUCAUCCACUUUUUUUUUUUUUAGCUCCCUUUAUAUAUCAUGAGACUACACUAACGACACAAAAAAGAAAACCCGUCUUUCAUGGGCAGUUACAUAUCUCGCUCUGCAGCUCCUUGGCGAGGCUUUUGCAUGUCCGUGUUCCUCUUAUGUUCUUGUCUUUCGGUAGUCACUGAUGUAGCAUUUGGCGAGCUCUUCUAAUAGAUUCUCUCUCUCUCUCUCACGCGUGCAUAAUGCGGCCCACUAAGGAAUAGAAGUCCAAGAAUGUAAACAGAAUAAGAAACAGAAUUCAAAUUGUUCGCAGGAUGUGAAGGUUCUGGGAUGAAUAUUCUCUUCGUAGCAUUAUAAUAGUCCAAAACGGGAGUUGAACCUCACCUUCGCAUGACUUGGGUUGUAACGUGGCCAACACCUUGCGCUUAAAUGUCACCAAUUUCUUCGAUGCUCUUGUGAUCAGGCUAUACAUGGUAAUGUCUGUGAAUUCAUUAUUCUUCUUGCAACAACAAAGUCCACUUCUUUUUAUACAGAUGCUUUUCUUUUUGCUUGCAUUGUCUAUGUUAUAGUGAAGAAGCUCCUAGCAGAAUCCUGAUACAACCGCGAUAGUCAACAUAUGUUUCUUCUGUUGCAUUCAUCCGUUGCUUCUGUUGCAUUUAGUAGAGCCUUCAGUUGCCAAAUCGAAGAAUGGCGGCCGGAAGAUUGAGGGCACUGAUGUCUAAAUCAAGUGGUAUAACUCCUAAUGAUGUUGACUCAGAACUUAACUGCUACUAUGUUCUUUGAUCACCAAUUCUCAUCACUAAAACAAGUAGGAAUUGGUUUUAUGGUUGUAAUAAGUUGUGGAUUGAUCUGAACGCACCAGAUAGUGCUAAGGACAUGAUAAUCGACAUCCUUGAAAUGAAUAAAUAAAUCAAGCAUUGUGCAAAUCCAGCCAAUUGAGGCAAGAGGAGGUUAACGUGAGUAAAGAAAAAAAUAUGAUAAUAUCACUGGUCAUUUGUUCUAUGAAGGUGUUGUGUCAUUGUGCUGGUUAUGUCUAACGCAAGAGUUGGUGGGAAGUUUCUAAGCCUUGCAUAGUUUAUUUAGAUGUGAGUGUCUACAUUUGUGUCAGGUUGAACUACUGGAAGUCCUGCUUCCCUCAUCUUCAGUACGCUUGUUCCGGCUUCGUGCUUUGGAGUUGCUUUGCUACUGAAAACUAGAUAUUCUAAUGGAAAGCUGUUGGCUGUUUGGCAAUAUGACAGAAAGCUUUCGUUGUUCUUACCAUCCUUAUUAAAGAACUUCUGAUACCUUUUCAUUCUGUUACGAAAAAUCUAGUGAACUCAACAGCUUUGGCCACUUGUAUAGUCUAAUAUAUCACCAGAUGCAAUGGCACAUGCUAAUCUGGAUUCUAGAAGAGGCGCCCUAGAAGCGAGACAAUGAAAUGCCAACCCCCUCGAGCGGGAAACAUUCCAACAUAAACAGUGAUUUAAAAUUUCACCCUGAAUGGUCAGAGCAGGACGAAUGAAAUGAAGUCUCAUUGUUUUCUUUUCCUCAACCCGACGGUUUAUCAGAGAUCUAAAUACUUGUGUACUUCGACACUAAAGACACUUAAUACGUGAUUUUCAACGACACUUCCAUAUCUCUGCAUAUGUGCAGACCUGUGGGGAAUACUCGUUCUUGUGCUGAAUAUGUUAGUUUUUUUCGACUCUUAUUGAAAUCAUCGAACAGGUGCAUAUGUACAGCUUGGGACUCCACUUUGCUUUUGUUGGAUCCCUUGGCUCGGAUUCGUGGUCAUCGGUUUCACAGCACUUUUGGGCGUGUUAGACACAGGCCCUCAUCCACAUUAGAAAGCAAUUUCCAUAAUGCUAUGCCAUUUUGUAGGUCUAACUCAAUGUAUCAAGUCACAUAUGCAAGCCACCUUUAGGCUUUUUAGGUAGGUCCACGAUAUAUUUUGCCAGCCUUGUCGAUCAGAAUGCCAAGUCUUGGGUGAUUGAUUCGGAUAUAAAAGCAUUCAUACUUGAAUGUCAAGUCUUCUAAAAGUCCGUGAUAUGUAGAGCAUCCCGUGAAUCAAAUAAGACGCGAAUUCAAAAUCUCAAAAAUUCGUUUAAGUACGAAUUUUUUCACACCGGAUGAUAUAAAUGACUGAAUGCAACCAAAAACGAUAUGACCAUUUCAAGCUCAGCAGUCUCAAAGCAUUCUAAUUAUAAAUCAGAAGUACAAAAACCACUGGAAAUUUGAGAGUAACACUUUUUCUCAGAACCAAUUUCUCUCAACACAGACAUGAAUUCCGUCCAAUACAAAAAAGCCAAACCAACUGCCAAUGCAAUAACCAAAAGCAAAUCGUAAGGAAAGAACUAGAUGUACCUGGACAUGAGUAGUGGCAUCCUGACCAAACACGAUGUCGUGCCUCAUCUGCUUCACCACCGCCUGUCUCUUGUUACUCAGCAGCCUUAUACUUGCCACCGUCAUCUUCGCUGCCGUUUUGCUGUUCAUUCCCAAAACAAAAUAACAAAAAACUCUCCAUUAAUAUGACUACAAAAAGCCCUCACCUCUUAUUUGCUAUUUACCAGAACAUAGAAAGAAAAAAGCCCACAAAGUAAACCAAUUUCACGUGGGGAUUUUAUGUUGCGUACCUUGUGAAUAGUGGCCAGCGUUUGUCUCUCCUGAUCUGACCAGGUGGGAGAGGACACAGUCGCAGAUCUCCAUCUUCUUCCUCUCGAUCUCCUCCUCCUUGGCCCUGAAAGUGGACGGAGCAGCCCUCAACAUCUCCUCGUCCUCCCUCAACAGCAAAAUAUUGCUGCUGAAGCUCAAGUUCCCCGACG